UGAGUUGGGGUGCAUACACUUGCUUCAUAGUCUUUACCACAUUAUUGACUUACUAACUACAAUUUAUCCAUGCACAUUGCACAGGGUGGACUUGGUGGCGCUCAAGCAUUUGCGAAGUCAGAUAAAUUGGUGAAUAUGCUAAAGAAGCAAAAGGAAUCAAAUAGACCUUAUGGUGCUAUAUGUGCAUCCCCAGCUUUAGUGUUGGAGCCCCAUGGCUUACUCAAGGUACGACCGUUUCUGCUUAAAUUAUUUACUCAGAUUUGGAUCACCCAAUCUGAACUUGAUGAAGGAUUAUGAUGUUGUGUGAUUUUAUGAAUGUGGUCGUAUCUCAUGUAAGUCAGUGAUGAAUUAAUUGGAGUUUGCUGACAAAUUAGAAACUGAAAAACUGCUGCUGCUUCAUUAGUUACAUUACCCAAAGAGUUAAAAUAAACAUCCCAAAUUUUGUCCCAAAUUCUGUCCCAAAUGAUAUGGCAUUUAUUGAGUGAUUGUAUUAUCUAACCAACCAAUUGAUGAAUGUCACAUAAUUUGAGAUGGUUUUUUGGGAUAAAGAAUUUGGGAUUUUUACCCGCAAAAAUCCCAAGUACUUCCUGCUCCUGCAAUAUCAUUGCUGUGUAUUUGCUUUCCCCUUAGACAUAUUCAAUUGUGGUUCAGGGUAAAAAAGCUACAGCUUUUCCUGCUAUGUGCAACAAGCUGUCAGAUCAGAGUGAAAUCGAAAACAGGGUUGUGGUUGAUGGCAACCUCAUCACCAGUAGAGGGCCAGGAACUUCUAUGGAGUUUGCACUGGCAAUUGUGGAGAAGUUUUUGGGCCGCAACAAGGCACUUGAGCUUGCAAAGAUAAUGCUUUUCACUCGCGCCUAACGUUUGUAUGGGGACCUGUCUACUAUUAAACUAGUGUGUUUAUUUCUGUAUUGCUACUGCUUGUAGAGAGGGGAAAUGGAAACUUGAAUUCAUGUUUGAAUAUGGAUUCACUGUGUGGGUUUGUACAGCAGUUUGGUUUAUAAAUAAAUGAGUUCAUGGAGUCACUUCAAAUAUUCGGAAUAAACCUGAGUUUAGAUCUGUUAUCAAUGGUCGGAGUCCAAUUGCGAUCGACUCACUGGGAAUUUUAAUUAUGAAUCAUGUUAUAUUCCACCUUUCUCAUAAAAUGUUAACUCGAUUUACAGGAUAAGAAGGAAAAGAAAGACGCUAAGAGAGGAGCAGACACCCAAAAAGAGUUGACCACUUUGUUGGAACAUAAAUCUCUAGAAUAUUGAAAUAAAACACAUACCAUAUCUAGUAUCAAGUAUGUAUGUGCAAGAAGAUACAAAUUUGAAGAUCAGAUUUCUCAUUUCAAUUUAUGUUCUGCUUAGAGCAAUGGCUCUUAUUCCACAAGCACAAGCAGGAAAGAGUACGCACGAAGUUAAGAAACACACAUUGCAAAAGUUGCAUUAACUACUUGCGGCAACAUCAUCCAAGAACUUGACUUUAAUCUUCUUGAGCUUCGCUGCAGCAUCUGUCAUAUGCAUUCUCUUGUCAGGUGACUCCAUACAACAAUCCAAUGCCAAAUCCAUGAUGCUUAAUAAACAAUCCAUUUUGGCAGAAAAAGCUUGCUCUUCUCGCACCAAAUUUGCGUCAACAACUUCACUCAAUCUGUGAGGUAAUGACUCCUUCACCCAUCUCCUUAAACUCAUUUCUUCUGUGAACAUUUGAUCGGUGGGCCUCUUUCUCGUGAAAGUUUCCAUCAAUAACACACCAUAGCUGUAGACAUCACAUUUGGCUGAAACAAUUCCUUCUAAUCCAUACUCUGCAUUUUUUAAUUUUAAUUAUGAAACAAAUGAUAAAACAAAUAAUUUUUUUGAUAAUUAAGGUAACCCAAACUUUGCUCGUGCUUGAAAAAAGAGCAAAAAUUUUAAUUACAAUUGAAACUUUACCUGGUGCCAUAUAACCAAUUGUAGCCAUUGUCAUGGUUUGUGUCACACAAUCUUCUCCUUCACCUAAGAGUUUGGAAAUGCCGAAGUCGCACACAUGUGCCAUCAUAUUUUCAUCCAAGAGAAUGUUGGUGGGCUUCAAAUCACAAUGAAUUAUAGGUGCCGACGAAUGACCAUGAUGGAGAUAUUCAAGAGCCGACCCCACAUCUAUCAUUAUAUUCAACCUCUCUAGAAUGUCUAAGAAAUAAUUGUAAGAAUACAACCACUUCUCGAGACUACCAUUUGGCAUGAACUCAAGUACCAAUGCUUUGAAAUCUGGAUUAGAACAACUGCUAAGGAUCUUUAUGAGAUUUCGAUGACGAACAUUCCGUAAAACUUCACAUUCAGAAUCAAAACUCCUAAAUGCUCUCUCUAGUUGCAGAUUGAAAAUCUUUAUUGCAACAUUAGUCCCGUCGGAAAUGGUUCCUUUAUAAACUGAUCCAAAACUACCUGUACCCAGCAAGUUACAUUCAUUAAAUUCAUCAGUUGCUCGUUGAAUGUCAAGGUAGGAUGUUCUUCUCCAUGUUGCAAGAGGUAGGAAAUCUUCGUGAUCUGAUUUUUUUGUACUCCUCUUUCGGCAUCUUAUGUACAUAAUGAUGAUAAUCACUAUAAGUACAGAGGAUACUAUCGGAGGCAAAAUAUAUUUAAGGACAAUUAGAGCAACGUUCUUGGUGCUUUUGCUGUCACCUUGUUUGCAAGGUGGGACUCGGAGUUUAGGUGGACCACAGAGUGCAUAAUUUCCGAAAAAUGAUUCAGUUGACAAGUUUUUAAAAGACCCCUUAACAGGAAUUUCCCCUUCUAGCCUAUUAUGAGACACAUUAAAUUGUUUGAGAUGUGACAAUAUCUCCAAUGACUUAGGAAUUUUUCCAGAGAGAUUGUUGCCGGAGAGAUCUAAGGAUUCUAAGCUUAUCAAACUGCCAACUGAUUCAGGAAUAGGUCCCUGAAAUUGAUUACGAGCCAAGGAUAGAGUUUCUAGAUCUAUGAGGGCACCAAUGGUUGAUGGAAUAUCACCUAAUAAUUGAUUCCUUGAUAAAUCUAAAACUGUCAAGACCUUUAACUUUUGUACAUUGGAAGGGAGAGGACCAUUUAAUGAAUUAGACGACAAGUUUAUCUCUAAGAUGUACUCAAGGCUCCACAAGGAUGACGGUAUACUAGAAGUGAGCUUGUUGGAGCCUAAGCGGAGUUCUCUUAGAGAUGUCAAACUCGCCAAGCAUGGCGGUAUAUGUCCAGAGAGCUUAUUUCCAUUUAACCUUAUUCCGUAUAUCAACUCCAAGUGGCAAAGAUCAUAGGGAAUGGAUCCUUCCAAAUUAUUUUCUUCAAGAGAUAAACCUUGUAGCCGCUUAAGUCUUCCCAUCGUUGGUGAAAUAGUUCCAUUCAAGUCAUUGAAGCCGAGGCUUAAGAGGAUCAGGCCACGCAACUUACCAAUUUCUUUAGGAAUGCUGCCCCCGAGUUUGCAGUUGGAUGCAUAAAAUUGUCGAAGAGAAGCAGAGAAAUUUCCAAUCACUGGUGGAAGGAUGCCACCCAAUGGAUUAUAAGCUAAGGCUAAAAAUGUUAAAUUUCUGCAAUUAGUCAGAGAAGAGAGAAAACUCCACUGAUCUGCUGAAGAUGAUUCUGUCGUCAAGUUAUUAAAUGCUAAGCUGAGCACGUCGAGGUGUCUCAAGUUGCCAAAUGUAUUUGGAAUAUGGCCCGAGAAUGAGUUGAAGCCCAAGUCUAGGGCAACGAGUUUAGUAGCAUUGGUGAUAGAGUGGGGAAUUAUCCCUAUAAGAUUAUUGGCCGACAAGGCUAAAUACUCUAUGUUCGGAAGCGAGUGGCCAAUCGUUGACGGUAAGCGGCCUGAGAGUUGAUUGCCCCCCAGAGUAAGGAUUCUCAUGGUUGAAAUGUUGAAGAUCGUGGGUGGAAUGAGGCCACUUAAAUUGUUGUCAGCAAAAACAAGAACCUCCAAAUUUUCCAGAUUGCCAAUCUCGGUUGGAAUUUGACCUGCCAUCAGGCCAACAUUGAGGAGUCAUUGAGCUUUUAGCUUAAGGUAAAUUGAGUUUGACAAUGUUACCCUUGAAAAUGUAAAAGGAUCAAAUUAAUUUUAUUACACAAUAAUUUCAGCCAAUAAUGUUCUUUACACAAUAAUUCUGCAAAAUAUGCAUGCAAAUGGAAAAAUAUGCUUCAAUUACAAGAGGUGGUGGAGCGUACCUCGAAGAUUGCUGAAGCUAAGAUCCAGAUACACGAGUUUACUCAAAUUUCCAAUCCUUGAAGGAAUAUUUCCACCAAUAGUAUUGAACUCUGCACGCAGCGUCUCUAGCCUUGAUAAGUUGAAGAGAGAAUUAGGGAUGGGACCUGUGAAACUGUUAUUAUAAAGUCUCAAUAUUCGGAGUUUAGAUAAGACACCAAUCCAUGAUGGAAAGCUUCCGCUCAAUUUAUUGUAAGCGAAACUCACGACUCUGAGUCGACGUAAUUGCCCCAAUUCUUUCGGCAGAUGGCCAUGAAAAUUGUUCUCACUAAUGUCAAGAGACACUAGAAAUGAGAGAUUUCCCAAGUGUAGUGGAAUGGUGCCUCCGAGACCCAUAUCUGAAAGAUUCAAGGCAGUGACUCGUUGAUGGCGUGAACCACAAGAGAUACCAACCCAGCUACAUAUUGGAUAAGAUAUAGACCAAUUAUUUGCCAGGGCACUCCGAUAAUCAAGAAUGUGGGCUUUGAAUGCCAGAAGAGCUGAUUGAUCUGUUGUUAAAUCGUUUAAAGUCGUCACAGCUAAGCUAGCAAUGAGAUACUGUAACACUAACACCGACAUAGGAACAAAGAAGAAUGAUAAGCGCAUAUUGGUCGUUUUUAGUAGUAGUUGCAAGGCGAGAUUGAUACAAGUUUUAAGUAAAGGAAAUUAGCAUAUACUUAUAAUGAGACAUAUGAAUUUGAAAAUAAGAGCAGAAAAAAUAUACAGGAGACUUGCAAAUUGUUAUAUUCUGUCAUUGAGCGAGCCGUCCAAGUAAACGCAUUUACACUUGAACCCUAAAUAAAGGCCUUAUGGCACUUUAAUUGCCAUAAGGAAGAAGAUGCUCAACAUUGCCAAAAGUGUUUUUCUUGAAGUCUCGUCUUCCGUAAUGUUUGUAAAAUCGAGGUUUUACCAUCUCUAAUUAAAUAUUUACUCUUGAUUUAGACCACGUAAUCUAAACUUGACGAAAAAUUAUGAUCUUAUGUGAUUUUAUGAAUGUGGUCUUAUCUCUUAUAAGUCGGCAAUGAAUUAAUUAAAGCUUGCUGACAAAUUACAAGCUCAAAAAUAUCUUUUACUUAUUCACAAUCUUAUUUCAUUUUUUUAUAACAUAAUAUUAAAAAUUUGUCUAUUAAAUUAAUUUAAUAAUUUUUUUAAUAAAAAAUCUCAUUGACGACCAAACAACUAAUUUUUUUUUUAUAAAAGCUUUGCUUGUUAAAAUUAUGCUGAAAAAAACUCUACUUAAGUAAGUUCUAUUUUUUUUAUAAAAGCCAUUUUAUUUCUUUAUCUUUUUUAAUUAUUAUUGGAAAAGUAGCGCAGCUUAUCAAAAAAGGAAAGAAAAAAAAAAGUCAAAGUGACGAGUGGCUUGUUUUUUAAUUUCAAAGUCAAUGCAAAGUAAAAGUACCGAAAUAAUCAGUUUUUAAAUCCAAAUAAGUGGCAAUAAAGGGAGGUCUUGUUAGGGGUGUUCGCGGAUCGAAUUUUAUGGAUUGGACAUCAAUCCAUAUUCGAUCCACGAUUUUACGGAUUAUAAAAUUUCAAUCCAAUUCAAUCCACGGAUUUGUAAAAUUCAAUCCAAAUCCAAUCCAUAAAUCUGCGGAUCAGAUGCAAAUUUGACCUAAUCCAUAUCCAAUCUACAAUUUUGCGGAUUGGUUUGUGGACUGAAAAUUUUUAAUUCUGUCAAAUCCACGAACUAACUAAAUAAAAAAAUUUAAUAUAAAAAUAAUUUUACUACGGAUCAAAUUUAAAAUUAAAUAAGAUUUAAAUAAAUAAAUUGCUUAAAUAAAGCUAGCAAAUACAUUUAAAGUUUCAAAAUAUAACACACCAAAAUGAAAAAAAUAUCAUUCGUUUUAGAUCAAGGAAAUUAACUAUUUAGUAAACUAUAUUUGUUUAUUUAAUUAUUUUUUAUUUUUUAUUAUUAUCGGAUAUGAUAUAAUAUAAUGUUAAUGUAACUAUAUUUUAACUUAUUUAUUUACUAGUAAGUACUAAUAACAUAUUUACAAGUUUUAUUUUUAAUUAAAUAAAUACUUUUUAUUUUUUUGCGGAUUCGCGGAUUUUUACCGAUUUACAGAAGUAGAUCCAUAUCCAAUCCACUGAUUGCGGAUUAUCAAAUUUUCAAUUCAAUCCAAUCCACCAAUCCACGGAUCAGACGGAUUGAGCAGAUCGAAUUAGAUUAUGAACACCCUUAGGUUUUGGUGUGCAUUGUUGAAAACUUGGAAGUCUAUAUGACCAUUUAACCAAACUAUAGGGGUAUAACUGUCACAAAUUUUUAAAAAUAAAUUUUACCAAACAUUUAAAUGAUUUUUUUUUCACAAUUGAUUAUUAAAUUCUAAGUGUUAGACUAUUGUAAGAAUACAAAUAAUUGACAUGGACAUAAUAUUAAAUAAAAUUUACUUAUAUAUAUAUAUAUAUAUAUAUAUAUAUAUAUAUAUAUAUAUUAUUGUUUGUAUAUAAAAAUUGCUAACUAAAAAAUAUUUAUAUUUUAUCAAUUUUAUUUCUUUUAUUUUUUUAUCUCAAGAUAAAUAUAAUAAUAACAAUCUCUCUAAAUUUAAUUAUUUUUGCUCUUUAUUGAAUAAGGAUAAUUUUGAGUUUCUGUAAUAUAUGUGAGGAUAUAUAUAAAAUUGUAUUAAAUAUAUAACUAUUCUCAAAAUUAAAUUUUAAAAAACUAGUUCAUUCUCACUUUUCAUUUAAUUAGGCAAAUGGCCACAGAAAUUGUUCUCCCUCAUAUCCAAAUAAACUGAAAACGAGAGAUUUCGUAAGUGUGGAGGGAUGAUGCCUUCGAAACCCAUCACUGAAAGAUUCAAGUUUGUGACUCUAUGGUAUGAGCACCACAACAUAUGCCAAUUCGACUGCAUAUUGAGUAAGACAUGGACCAAUUAUUCAAGAGAUUCAUGAGCCUUCGAAGUGAGAAAUAAAGCAAAUUAUGUGGUGGUCGUGGGUCAAUUGACUACGUUUCGUGAUCUACGUGCGAUUGCAACAGUCGGUUCAUUAAGUGAAAUUAAUGACUCGUCCACUAUAGUAAGAUACUGUCCUCAUUAGGUUGGUGCUGGGUCAAUUUUAUCCAUGAGUCAACUUACAUUAAUUUGAAUUAAUUUAUAAGAGUAUCUCAUUUUCGUUGAUUACGAGUUGUGAUCGAUGACAUGCACGAAAGCAGUCAAUUUACAGGUCAUUCACUAUAUAUAUGGGGUCUAUGGGUGGAUGGAUCUAACGUAAAUUAAGGGUUGAUGAUGACCCUCGACUUCUAACGACGACCAUCGAAGACGACCUUGACUUUACAUGCAAACACACAAUUCGCUCUCAUACAUUAUGUUUUAAAAUUUCUCCAUUUUCCGGGGCCCCGCUGUCGACCGUACACAGUUUAAUUUGUAUAUACAAGACCUCAUUGUUUCUAGCAAGCAUAGAGCCAUAGACCAUAUUAAUUCCAAUUACAUAAAUCUUCAUUUUUAUCAUGAUUUUGGAUCUCGAGCAGUGUGGAUAUAUCCAACCAGAUCCGCCUCACUGGCAUCCCAAUAUAUUUUAGAAUUGAGUAAUGAGUAUCAAUAAAUGUGUAAUUGUAAAUCUACAACGUUUAAUUUUAAUUUGAGGACUCAAAUGAAUUUAUCCAACAAUACCUCGUUAAAUUAAUAUUCCAUAAAUUUUUAACUUUAAUUAAAUAACAAAUUUUGUCCGUCCCAACUUAGGAUUAACGUGGUAAUUAAUAAUUUGAUAAAUUGUUAGAUAAUAAUUUUUUAAAAAAAUCUUAUUUUUUUAUUGGAUCAAACUGAUAUAUAAAUGAAUAAUUAAUUAAUUUUAAAACUAAAUUCAUGUUAUGUCAAUCAAAUGUUAUUGCAAAGAAGACUAGCAGCGACGCUUUGAAAGGUACACCAAAGCCUUUUGCACCUUCUCCUCCGUGACCACCAAUAGAUACUUCCACCAUUUCAACGUCAUGACAUGAUGUAAGUUUCUUUUGUAGAAUUUGCGAAUUGGUAAUCUUUUACACGCGUAUAUUUAUAUCAUUGUAUAGUUAUAGAUUCAAUUACUUUUAUGAUGCAUUUAUUAAUUUGGAAUUGAAGUAGACAAGAAUGGGCUGUAAUGUGAAUGGAGAAUCGAAAUUAGAAUAAGUUAUUUACUUGAACUGUAGAAAUCGAAAUGAGUUGGAUUGUCAUUAAUGUGUUUACUUUGUCUUGGAAUCAGAAUUGAAAUAAGUUAGUUUAUAACAAAUUACUAAAAACUACUUAAUGAACUAUUGUUAUAAUUAUUAUUUUGUAUUUUAAUUAUUAUGAUUAUUUAUUAAAAAUUAUUAUUGUUAUUAUUACUUAUUGUUAAUAGUAUAUUAAUAUAUUAAUAAAUUAUAAUAAUAUAUUAAAUAACUAUAAUAUAUUAAAAAAUAUACUUGUAUUUACAAGAAAUGACUGAUAAAAUUUCUAAAAUCGUCUUCCUCCCUAAAACUCUUAAUGCCACAGCCCUAAAAAUUAAAAAGAUUUGGGAAUUAUAUGUCUUUUUUAAAAUAUUAAAGGGUGUUUAUUUCCUUAAACGGUGGGGACUAAAAGUCCUAUUCCCAAACGAGUAGUGUGCCGGCGUUGGAGGCUAGAAAGACAAUUUGUUACAUUGCUUCAGAAGUGCUUAAUGGAAAUUUUGGUGAGGCAUCACAUAAUUUAAAGGAUCAGGCUACGGUGCAACUGUGGUACCGUACUACAGUUGCAUCCAGCCGUUUUAAUUCACUUAUAUUGGUGAGGUUCACUGGCAUCCAACGGCUGAAUGCAACUAUGGCACGGUACCACAGUUGCACCACAAGUUUCCCCUAAUUUAAAUUACUGGAAUUUGCAUCAAUGGUUUUUAUUGGUUUAUUUACUCGUCAACAAAUUACUGUAACUGCAGAAAACAGUGUAACACAUUGUAUAAUACGUUAAUACGUUAUAUUGGUCAGUGCUCCUACCAAGGAAAUCUUUUUAAGUUUUGUUAGCAGAAUAUUCUUGUAAGGGUGGAGGCAUAAGAGAUUAAUAAUUUAAUAUCUCUUGUUCAUUAGAAGAUUUUUUUUUUUUGGGAAAAAAAAAGAAGAAGAUGGUUUGUUUAAUGUUGAUAAAUUUUGAAGUACAAUUUUAUAGAUGUCGAAUGUGGGCAAAAAGUAAAGAAGCUCAAACACUUUUCUACAUCUAAACUAAUCAUUAGGAUUUAUAUUAACUAAUAAACCCUAAUAAUACGAGCGUUCAUAAAAACUUCAUAUGAACAUUGAACCAGCAUGGCAUCAUAUUGUAAUAAGUUGUACAGCUGUCAAUCUCUUAUUAGUCAGAUAUAUUCUGAGUUAGUUACAUGAAUGUAGUAUAAAUAUCAUACUCUGUACACAUUCUUAGUUAGUUACUUCAGUAGAAUUUUCUCUCCUCUACUCAAUUUUUAAGUUAUCUUUUAUAUUGGGGGCAAAUGAUAUUUUAUUAACGAAAUGAUUUUGCCCUCUUAAUAAGCUCUCAUUUCUCCGCUUUGAUCAACACAGCCUUCUUUUAUUACAUCAAAAUUCUUCCUCUUUCCAUCAAAAUUUCAUGGAUCUGCCCUUACGUAAAAUCAUAUGAGAGUAUAUAAUAAAAUUAAUUAGGUAUGUUUGGAACAUUUUUGGUAUCCUUAAGCUGAUUUUAUUUUUAUUUUUUUAUAGUAUAUAUUGUCAAAAGUAAAUGCUAUAAACACUUUCGGAAAAAAAGAUGAAGAGCACCUUUGGAGUAAUUUUUUCUAUAGGAACUAACAAAACAACUAAAUGAUGUAUGUAUCUCUAAGAUUUAUUAUUAUUAAUUUUUUUUUCUGUAGUUGACAAAGCAUCAUGAUUGUGUUGGAUGAUAAGAUUAAAGGUGGGAAUGGUCCGAAUGGACCAAUUUUUUAGGAUAAAAAAAAAAAUGAUUCAAUCCUGGGCAUGUUUGGCUAUCGAAACUAGUUGAUUAGUCUAAAGUUUAAUUCAAAAGUAAUGGGACUAUUAAUCCUUAGGAAAAUUAUCAUUUGUAUACUCUAUAGAUGCUCUGUUAUAUAAAAAAUUACAACACUUUGAGAGUGUAUCAAUCGUCCACCCUAAGUUGACAAAAUAUAUCUGCCGUCCAUCAAACCGUUACUUGCUGUUUAAAUAGGAUAGCGCCAGAGGGGUAAUUUGGUCUUUUCAUAUGAUACAAGUGAUAAUUCAAGGGUAUACAAGUGAUAAUAAAAGAAUUUAAAGGUAUACAAGUGAUACUUUUCAAGGGUAAAAUCAUCAAUUCGCUAUAAUUCCGUUAACUUUCAAACGACAGCUAACGGUUUAGUGGUCGGCAGAUAACUUUUUUCAAUUUAGGGUGGACGAUUGAUACACCCUCAAAGUGUUAUAGUAUUUUUUAUAAUAGAACAUCUAUAGGGUAUACGAAUGAUAAUAUCCCUAAUCAAUCCUUAAUUCAACUUAGGUUUAAGUAGUAUAUAAAAAAUCUUCUUUAUCACUCUUUUCAUUUUUAUUUAGAUUAAAAUUCAUAUAAAUAAAUAUAAAGAAUUAAUUUCAUAAUUUAUUUAAACUAAAAUUUUAUAUUAUAUUAAAUAUCCAAAUUUUAAUUCAAUAAUUUAUUUAUAUUAGAAUUUUAUGCAAUAUUAAAUCCCAAAACUUUAUUUAAUAAUUUAUUUACAAAAAUAUUAAUAUCAAAUUCAACAAUUAGUAAUAUAAUUUAAAAUAAUUACACUAUUUUAAUAGUUAUUUAGCUAUAUUAAAUUAAAUUUAACAUAUCCUUGUCCGAUACUAUACUAAACAAACGAUAGUACCUUAUAUAGUAUAGUCAAUCUAUUAUAAUAUAAUUCAAUCUAAUCGAACGUGCCAAAUCAGUACAUUUUAAAAAAUAAUUUUAUAACAGCUUUAAAAAAGCAUUUUUUAAGUUACUUUUACAAAAUGUGCUUUCUCCGAAAGCACUCGUGAAAUGCAAAUUCUCACAAAACACGUGGUGUGUUCAAUUGGGCCUCCGCCCAUUAAAACUACAACCAUGAAAGCAAGCAAUGUUCAUUGGGCUUUAUUCUCUCGAGAAAACUUAUACACGUAGCCCACCACCGGCGCCCUAAUUUGUCUCCACCUCUCUAAAUAGAGUUGGACUAUUGGCACCUUUCCAAAAUUCUUCUGAAAUUCCUUUUUCAAUAAUAUUAAGUUUAAUGCUAAAAAUAUCCUUAUUUCCAAAUAAAUACAUUUAAUUUGUGAAUAUUUUAAUUUUCUAUUAUUUUCUCGCUCCUCACAAACAAAUUUUUAUGGGCGAUAAACUUCUUGAUAAAAAUCAAUUAAUUAAAUAAAAUAUCUAUAAGAUUAUAAUGUAAAAAAUUUUAUUAUGAGUCUUAAAAAAAGACAGAUAAAUUUAUCAGAAUGUGUUUUGUUUAUUAUCAAUAGAUUAUUUUAGUAAUUAAAGAAAAAUUUAUAGAGAAUUUGAGAAAAAAAAUUACGUGUGAGUUUGAUAGCAAAGAAAAUAUAAGAGUUUUUUUUUAAGAGAGAAAAUACAAAAGUUUGAAGUGAGAUAAAAUAGAUAUAAGAUAUAUUAGAGUAUUUAUCCUUAAAUUUAAUUGUAACAAAAGAGAGGUUUUAAAAAGAUUUUGGAGGAGUGUCUCCAACUCCUCUAAAUAUUAUUGAUUGAUGCAUAUGUUUCACAGCAUAGAGUGGCUUACAUUGGAGCUUUUCUAAAAAAAUGAAAAUUUCAUUUAAUUAUUUAUUAUUCACGGAUAAGAAAUUAACUUCUUCUUUUUUCUAACGCCACAGUCUGGUGAGCUUGCCUAGUGUGUUUUAGUUGGAUAAAAAUUUUAGCAAAUGCUUCUUGGCAAGGAAGCUUAAAUAGUUUAACCUGAAUUUAACCUCGAAUGAACCCAAAUUAUUAAACCGAACCAAUCCGAAUUGUGAAUCUGAAUUUCAGUUCGAUUCAGUUUGGUUCAGGUUCGUAUUUUCAACUCGAACAAGUUUAAUGCUCCAAUUCGAUCAGGUUGUAACCUAAACCGAAACUCGAAAACCCGAACUGAAACUCAAUUUGGCCACCCCUAAUGAGAACUGAGAAGUACCUGGAUCGUAAAAGAAAGGUUUUGAUGAUAAUUUUGGCUAAAAAUCUGUUUCUUAACUUCUAUUUUUAUUUUUUUAUGCUGUAUUUUAGUUGCUGAAUAGGUUAUAUAUAGAAGUUCAGUUAAUUUUGUUUUGGAUGAAAAAUCAAUGAGUACUUCUGUGAUUAAUAAGUGAAAUUUUGUUUGCAUCAUAUAGUCAGCUAUAAUGCAUUGGAUGGCUUUGACUCAGCAUGGAAGAAAUGCUCUCCGGCAGAUUACUAAAGAGAGCUCUGAUCGCGUGUUGCAUCACCCAUUGCUAUUUUCUUGUCAAGGAGUCAGAUACAGACGAUUGGAAGUGAUUCUAACAACAAUGAGUAAAUUGAUCUUUUGUUUUCCCUUUUCACCAGUUUGGAUCUCUUGACUAAUCAGCCUGUUUGAGUUUUAACUUGUGUAUUAAUGAUUGGUUUUAUAUGUUCAGAAAGUUGACAAGCUUGGUAAAGCCGGUGAAACUGUGAAGGUUGCUCCGGGGUAUUUCCGGAACCACUUGAUGCCCAAAUUGCUUGUUGUUCCAAAUAUCGAGAAGUUGGCUCAUCUCAUUAGAGAGCAGCGCAGGUAUUUGUUUUUCAUGAUUCUUCUCGGUUGAACUUUUUUUGUUUGGGUUGAGAAUGGUUAAUUCUAGUGAUACAGAAAUUUGCUCAUUUUCUUUAGAUACUUUGUUUAGCCAGUUUGUCAAUUAAUUUGACUCAUGGCUUCAAAUUAUUGCUAAAUUCUCAGUUUGGAAAUAUUUGUGAUUUUUGAAGGGGCAUUACAAGUUAUUAAAGUUUGUUGUGCCUGUGACUUAUUUUCAUCAGAUUUGCCAGCCUGAGGAAGAGGAAGAGGAAGAGGAAGAGGAAGAGGUUAGAGUUAUCCGGAAGUCUGAGGACAAUAUGAGUAGAGAAUUUGAGAAGGCAGCUAGGCGCCUAGAGAAUGCUCGACUGGUUUGUGGCCUAUCUUUUAAUUUCUUCAGAUUCGGGACAAAUUGUCUUGGAGUGAACUGAUGUGUUGCCUUUUCCUUUUUUUUUAGCUUGAAUGAUCUAUUUGCUACAGUUAGGAGUGAACGUCGUAAUGAAUUUUAAAUUAUACUGUUUGUUUCGAUUUACUUUUCUAUCUUAGCUCCAUCAAGUGAUUAGUGGAAUGCUGGUCCUGUGAGUAUAAAAUGAAACUCCUUAAGUUAAAUUCCUUAGGCUGUGUUUAUUUUCUGUAGUGGGAGCGAGGAGUGUAAAUUCUUUUCAUUUCAGUAUUUAUUUCAACAAAUUGGCUCCGGAUUGAGAAUCCCACUCAGUAGACCCCACCCAUUUUUGGAGUGAGAUUCCCAUGGGGAGAGGUGGGAGUGAGAUUCCCACUCCCACCUCUCCCUUUUUUUACAUUUUUUUUAAUUUAAUUUAAUUUAACUUAAUUUAAUAUUUAAUAAAAUAAAAUAAAUAAUAUCAUAUUUAUUUGAAUAAUAUUAUUAUAUUUAUUUUAAAAAUAAUAAUACUAUAUUUAUUUAAUAUUAAUAAUUAAUAAUAAUAAAUAGUUUAUUCUAAGAAAAUAUUAAUUUUGUCCUAAAUAAUAUUAUAUUAUUAUUUUAUAUAAUAAUAAAUUUAAUAUAAUUAUAUUAAAUAAAAUAAAAUAAUGUUUCAUUUUAUAUUUACCCUUCUUUUUUACCCUCUUUUUAUUAAAUUUACUAUAAUUAUAUUUAAUAAAUAUUUAAAUAAUAUUAUAUUUAUUUAAAUAAUAUUAAUAUAUUUAACUAAAUAAUAAUUUGGUUUGAUUCUAAGUCUAAAUUACUUAAAAAUAAUAUUAUUAUAUUAAUACAGAAUUAAUAAUAUUACUUUUAUACCAUCUUUAUUUGAAAAUAUAUUAUUAUUAUUAUUAUAUUUAUUUAAAAAUAUUAGUAUUAUAUUUAUUUAAUAUUAAUAAUUAAUACUAAUAAAUAGUUUAUUCUAAGAAAAUAUUAAUUUCAUACUAUGUUAAUAGUAAAAUAUUUCAUUUAUAUUGCCCUUAUCAAUAAUUUUUAAUUUAUAUAAUUAAAAUUAAAAUUAAUAAAAAAAUGUGAUGUUCAUAAUUAAGAAUAUUAAUAAUUAUUAUAAAUUUACAAAUAUAAAUGUUUAUUCAUUAAAUAUAUUUUUUAUUAACUUUGUAAUUAAAAACUAUAAUUCUUUAAAUAAGGAUAAAAUUGUAAUUUGAAACUAUUUACUCCCAAUCCGAGACAAACUAAACACAUAAAUUGAAUUCUGAUCUCCAUUCCAUGCUUUCAUUUUAGUGUAAGUAAACAACAUACUCCCACUCCCAAUCCUAAGAUUCCCACUCCAAUUCAAAAAGUAAACGCUACCUAAAUACAAGUAAUCUUGCUUUCAGAUAUGAAUUAUCUGAUGGAUGUUGUAUUUUCAAGGUAUUGAGGAGAUUCCCCAAUAUUGAAAAAUUGCGUUCCCGUGCAUCAAAAGAUGAUCCCAUAGAAUUGCGUUCACCUGUGACAAAAGAGGAGCUUGUAGUUGAGGUAUGGAUUUUUAUAUUUCUUGGUUGUUUUUAUACUUGUUUCUCAUCAUAAUAGCAAAAGCAGUUUGUUCUGAGUGAUCUGUGUGGUCUCCUAUCAAUGACUGCCGUUUCUAUCAUUUAGUACUAUUGACUAUGUGUGUAUAAAUAUUUUGUUUUUACCAUGUAAUUUCAUAUUCGAUGCAUUUCUAAUACAUUGCAUAGCGUCCAUGAAUGGGAAUGAUAAAAUAAAUUUCAAGCGUGUUUCAAUAGAUGAAAAAACUUGGAACGAUUUAGAAGGAUUUGCUGAUUAAAUAAUUUUCCAAUUUGUUUGCUUGGAGGAAUUGAAUAGUUAACUGAUUAAAGGAUUUCAAGGUGGUUCGGUCCCGCUGGGCAUUGUCAAUAUCAACGGUCAUUAAUUCCUAUUAUCUGAAAUUGAAUUUCCAGUGUGGCAUGGUAACUUUCUGCUAGGGUGUGAUUGUAUAGUAGCCAAUUGUGAGCAACAGAUCCGCAUAGUAAUAUAGAUUGAAAUUUUGCAUCUUAAUCCAUGAAGAUAUAGAUUUUGGCAAUAUUAUACAAGCACUGGGGAUUACCUUAAAUAUUCUGGACUUGUCAUUGAUAGAGUUUCUUUUACCUAGUUAUUGAUAUUUCUUUCAAUUUUCUAUUUUACUCAUACAAUUUAUACAAUUUUAGGUGGCAAGACAACUUUCGUUUUCUAUUGAGCCUGAAAACCUGCAUCUACCAUCACCUCUAUCUGCUUUUCGAGAAUAUGAGGUUCCUAUGCGCUUACCCAAAGCCAUCCCCCUACCGGAAGGAAAGGUCCAAUGGAUUCUCAAUGUUAAAGUCCGCGGCAAAUAAAUAUUUUUUAGUUAAUUUUUUAAUCAAUAAAAAAAGGUAAUUAAAAAUGUAAUUAAUAAAUUACUUAUUAGCAAAUUAAAAAACAAAUAUUAGCAUAAAAUAAUUGAUAUUUCAUUCUCUUACAACAAUCUUACCAAUUAUUAUUUAUAAAUUAAUUAAUGCAAGUUAAUUUAAAGUAAUGUUUAAUAUUCUUGUAACAACCUUACUAAUAAUUUUUUGAUAAAAAAAUUAAUUUAUUAAAUUAAUCCUAGAAGUAAAAUAAUAAUAAUUAAUUUGUAUUUUAUUUUUAAGAUUAAUUUGAUAAAUUUAAUUUUUUUUAACUAAUAUCUCCAAGAAUAUAGUUGUAACGAUAUUAUUACAAAAGGAAAAAAAAUAUAAGAUUAUAAUAUAUUUACCAGUAAGAAUAAUUUAAAAUAUUUUUUAAGAUAUAAAAAUUAAACGGACACUUAAUUAAAAAAAAAAAAAAAAAACUAAAUAAGUAGUUAGCUUUUAACAUUUCAACCUAGUGGUCAUACAAUCAUGGUGCGGCCCGGGAUGGCUGGCCCAGCCCAUCAUGUAAAAAUCCAUGUCACCCUCAUUCUUAAGCUGCUACUCUGCCACUUGCCACGGAGCUCCCCACAUCAUACCGUACCGAUGCCUCUAGAAAGCUAACUUUAAAAAAAUGGUAUUAAUAAGCGUACGCCACGUCACUCCUCACUCUCUUCUUCGUCACUUUCCUCUCACUCAACAUUUUCUCCCCAAACAAAUUCCUUCUUUGAAAAAUCGCAUUUUCUCCUUCACAGCAACCGCUACAAUGUCUUCAACUUCCAAGAAGGUAAUUUUUUUAAAUUUUAUUUUUUGUUUAGUUUCUUUCUGUUGCCUUUUUGUUUCGUUUUUUGAAUUUUCUGUGUCGUUUUUUUUUUCCCAAGGUUUUGGUGCCUGUUGCGAACGGGAGUGAGCCGAUUGAAGCCGUGAUAACGAUCGAUGUUUUGAGAAGGUCUGGAGCUGACGUCACGGUUGCGUCUGUGGAUAAACAGCUUCGUGUCGACGCGUGUCAUGGUGUCAAGAUUGUCGCUGAUGCUCUCGUGUCUGACUGCCGCGACGCUGUUUCUGAUCUUAUAGCUCUGCCCGUAUGUAUUGCAGCUCACCUCAGCUCAUGCUAAUUUAUGUGAUGUUUGUAUAAUUAUAGAUGAUUACUGCUGAUACUGAAUGUUAAAGCUAAAUAAUUCGUUCUUAAGUCAUCUUCAUUUAAUUUUCGAUUGAAAAUGAAAAAAAAAAUAAUUUUAAGCAAAGAAAAUGUUUAUUUUGUUUUAUUUUUAUUUUUAAAUUUUUGGGAUUUCCUUAUUGUGACUGUUGUCAUUCAUUAUAUGGUCCUAGUUAAAUGUUUCAAGUUGUUGUAGUCUGUGAAACUCUUUUCGAUAUUUGUUCUGGCAUGUACAUUUUUCCUUUCAAUUUAUUUUGUUGCUGAUACUUUGAUUAUGAUAUAUCCUUUUUUGUUUCCCUUGUAGGGUGGCAUGCCCGGUGCUACCAAUCUGAAAGAAUCUGAAGUAUUAGAAACCAUUGUGAAGAAGCAGGCUUCAGCUGGGCGUCUUUAUGCUGCUGUCUGUGCUUCACCUGCUGUGGCAUUAGGGUCUUGGGGUCUGUUGAAGGGAUUGAAGGUAAGAAUUAGAUAAGCCUUUUUUUAUGUUUGGUGUUCUUUUGGGAAUUGCAUUGAUAUUUGUGUUAUACAUCAGUUUUGCUCUCACCGAUGAUUGUUAAGUUCUAAUUUAUGGGGUUAUUCAUUUUUUGUAGGCUACUUGUUACCCGUCAUUUAUGGAGCAAUUAGCUCCUGCUUGUGCAGCAACUGUUGAAUCAAGAGUACAGCAGGAUGGUAAAGUUGUUACGAGUCGUGGACCUGGCACUACUAUGGAGUUUGCCAUUGCACUUGUCGAGCAGUUGUAUGGGAAAGAGAGAGCUGAUGAAGUUUCUGGGCCACUGGUAGUAACUUUUAUAGAUAAUGUUGUUUAAAAAAAUUGUGAGUUAUAUAAUUUGUGGAAAUUCAUUCUAAUAGGUUCAUCUAGUAUGUCAAAUUGGAAGGUUCAGAUGCUAAUAUAUUCCAAAAAAUUUGUUCAGGGGAAAAGUAUGACUUUUUGCAUUAGAGAUUCAUUAGAUGAAGUUGUAUACCUGCUGGCCCAUCUUAAUGUGGUGAAAACGAUGUCUGAUGAGACUGAUAUAAUUAUUGGAAUCUUGAUAAAUGCAUUUGUUGAGCUUGAAUGUCUCCACUGAUCACGUUCUUUUUAAUGUAAGUUCUUUCUCUUGGUAUUUGUCUUUGAAUCUUCUCUUCCUCAUGCUUUCGUCUUCACUGUCACCUUGUGCCUAGGUAAUGCGUGCAAAUCAUGGAGAUGAAUACACUAUUGCUGAAUUCAAUCCAAUUCAGUGGACAUUUGACAAUUCUCCCCAAGUAAGAUUUGACUUCUAGUUUCUUGUAGUUGUUUUUCUUCAUCCGAUGUUUUCAGGGAUACCCAUUUGGCAGUAUAUAAAAGUCUGUGAUAUCUUCUAUACAUAUACAUCAUUGGCUUCAGUCAUUUUCGAACAUAUUGGAGGUAGUAGAUGUAUUUUUAUGAUAUCUCUAAUAAAAUCCCAAGUUUGAUCAAUUACAAAAGAAGUAUGAGCGGUGCUGGACCGGGGGGGAAGAAGAAGUGGGGGGUCGGUGUGGUGGGGGUGUGCAGUGCAUGAAUAAAAGGAAAUGAUAGGGGGUGAAAGUUUGUGCUACCGACAUGCUGUAAAAUGGGGACAUAAUAUUUCAAAUUAGAUAUUGUGUGAUCCUUAAUAUUGCUGACUUUUGCUUAAAAUGGAAUUCUUGAUAACUUCAAAUGUUAAAGUUCUUGGUGAAAUUUUGUACUUUCUUUUCUUUCAGAUUCUUGUGCCUAUUGCAAAUGGUUCAGAGGAGAUGGAAGCUGUUAUGAUAAUUGAUAUUCUGCGACGAGCUAAAGCAAAUGUUGUAGUUGCAUCAGUUGAGGAUAAACCAGAAAUUCUGGCUUCUCGUCAAAUUAAAUUAGUGGCAGAUGUGCUCAUUGAUGAGGCGGCUAAACUCUCGUAUGAUUUAAUUGUCUUGCCAGUGAGUUGGGGUGCUUACUGUUGCUUCAUAGUCUUUACCACAUAAUUGACUUACUAACUACAAUUUAUCCAUGCACAUUGCAUAGGGUGGACUUGGUGGCGCUCAAGCAUUUGCGAAGUCAGAGAAAUUGGUGAAUAUGCUAAAGAAGCAAAAGGAAUCAAAUAGACCUUACGGUGCUAUAUGUGCAUCCCCAGCUUUAGUGUUGGAGCCCCAUGGCUUACUCAAGGUACGACCAUUUCUGCUUAAAUUAUUUACUCAGAUUUGGAUCACCUAAUCUGAACUUGAUGAAGGAUUAUGAUGUUGUGUGAUUUUAUGAAUGUGGUCUUAUCUCAUGUAAGUCGGUGAUGAAUUAAUUGAAGUUUGCUGACAAAUUAGAAACUGAAAAACUGCUGCUGCUUCGUUAGUUACAUUACCCAAAGAGUUAAAAUAAACAUCCCAAAUUUUUUGUCCCAAAUUCUGUCCCAAAUGAUAUGGCAUUUAUUGAGUGAUUGUAUUAUCUAACCAACCAAUUGAUGAAUGACACAUCAUUUGAGAUGGUUUUUUGGGAUAAAGAAUUUGGGAUUUUUACCCGCAAAAAUCCCAAGUACUUCCUGCUCCUGCAAUAUCAUUGCUGUGUAUUUGUUUUCCCCUUAGACAUAUUCAAUUGUGGUUCAGGGUAAAAAAGCUACAGCUUUUCCUGUUAUGUGCAACAAGCUGUCAGAUCAGAGUGAAAUCGAAAACAGGGUUGUGGUUGAUGGCAACCUCAUCACCAGUAGAGGGCCAGGAACUUCUAUGGAGUUUGCACUGGCAAUUGUGGAGAAGUUUUUUGGCCGCAACAAGGCACUUGAGCUUGCAAAGAUAAUGCUUUUCACUCGCACCUAACAUUUGUACGGGGACCUGACUACUAUUAAACUAGUGUGUUUAUUUCUGUAUUGCUACUGCUUGUAGAGAGGGGAAAUGGAAACUUGAAUUCAUGUUUGAAUAUGGAUUCACUGUGUGGGUUUGUACAGCAGUUUGAUUUAUAAAUAAAUGAGUUCAAAGAGUUACUUCAAAUAUUCGGAAUAAACCUGAGUUUAGUUCUGUUAUCAAUGGUCGGAGUCCAAUUGCGAUCGACACACUGGGAAUUUUAAUUAUGAACUAAAAAAUUGUUAUGUUAUAUUCCACCUUUCUCAUAAAAUGUUAACUCGAUUUACAGGAUAAGAAGGAAAAGAAAGACGCUAAGAGAGGAGCAGAGACCCAAAAAGAGUUGACCACUUUGUUGGAACAUAAACCUCUAGAAUAUUGAAAUAAAACACAUACCAUAUCUAGUAUUAAGUAUGUAUAUGCAAGAAGAUACAAAUUUGAAGAUCAGAUUUCUCAUUUCAAUUUAUGUUCUGCUUAGAGCAAUGGCUCUUAUUCCACAAGCACAAACAGGAAAGAGUACGCACGAAGUUAAGAAACACACAUUGCAAAAGUUGCAUUAACUACUUGCAGCAGCAUCAUCCAAGAACUUGACUUUAAUCUUCUUGAGCUUCGCUGCGGCAUCUGUCAUAUGCAUUCUCUUGUCAGGUGACUCUAUACAACAAUCCAAAGCCAAAUCCAUGAUGCUUAAUAAACAAUCCAUUUUGGCAGAAAAAGCUUGCUCUUCUCGCACCAAAUUUGCGUCAACAACUUCAGUCAAUCCGUGAGGUAAAGACUCCUUUACCCAUCUCCUUAAACUCAUUUCUCCUGCGAACAUUUCAUCGGUGGGCCUCUUUCUCGUGAAGGUUUCCAUCAAUAAAACACCAUAGCUGUAGACAUCACAUUUAGCUGAAACAAUUCCUUCUGAUCCAUACUCUGCAUUUUUUAAUUUUAAUUAUGAAACAAAUGAUAAAACAAAUAAUUUUUUGAUAAUUAAGGUAACCCAAACUUUGCUCGUGCUUGAAAAAAGAGUAAAAAUUUUAAUUACAAUUGAAACUUUACCUGGUGCCAUAUAACCAAUUGUAGCCAUUGUCAUGGUUUGUGUCACAGAAUCUUCUCCUUCACCUAAGAGUUUGGAAAUGCCGAAGUCGCUCACAUGUGCCACCAUAUUUUCAUCCAAGAGAAUGUUGGUGGGCUUCAAAUCACAAUGAAUUAUAGGUGCCGACGAAUGACCAUGAUGGAGAUAUUCAAGGGCCGACCCCACAUCUAUCAUUAUGUUCAACCUCUCUAGGAUGUCUAAGAAAUAGUUGUGAGAAUAUAACCACUUCUCGAGACUACCAUUUGGCAUGAACUCAAGUACCAAUGCUUUAAAAUCUUGAUUAGAACAACUGCUAAGGAUCUUUAUGAGAUUUCGAUGACGAACAUUCAGUAAAACUUCACAUUCAGAAUCAAAACUCCUAAAUGCUCUCUCUAGUUGCAGAUUGAAAACCUUUAUCGCAACAUCAGUCCCGUCGGAAAUGGUUCCUUUAUAAACUGAUCCAAAGCUACCUGUACCAAGCAAGUUACAUUCAUUAAAUUCAUCAGUUGCUCGUUGAAUGUCUAGGUAGGAUGUUCUUCUCCAUGUUGCAAGAGGUAGGAAAUCUUCGUGAUCUGAUUUUUUUGUACUCCUCUUUCGGCAUCUUAUGUACAUAAUGAUGAUAAUCACUAUAAGUACAGAGGAUACUAUCGGAGGCAAAAUAUAUUUAAGGACAAUUAGAGCAACGUUUUUGGUGCUUUUGCUGUCACCUUGUUUGCAAGGUGGGACUCGGAAUUUAGGUGGACCACAGAGUGCAUAAUUUCCGAAAAAUGAUUCAGCUGACAAGUUUUUAAAAGACCCCUUAACAGGAAUUUCCCCUUCUAGCCUAUUAUGAGACACAUUAAAUUGUUUGAGAUGUGAAAGUGUCUCCAAUGACUUAGGAAUUUUUCCAGAGAGAUUGUUGCCAGAGAGAUCUAAGGAUUCUAAGCUUAUCAAACUACCAACUGAUUCAGGAAUAGGUCCUUGAAAUUGAUUACUAGCCAAUGAUAGAGUUUCUAUAUCUUUGAGGGCACCGAUGGUUGAUGGAAUAUCACCUGAUAAUUGAUUCCUUGAUAAAUCUAAAACUCUCAAGACCUUUAACUUUUGUACAUUGGAAGGGAGAGAAUCAUUUAACGAAUUUGACGACAAGUUUAUCUCUAAGAUGUACUCAAGGCUCCACAAGGAUGACGGUAUACUAGAAGUGAGCUUGUUGGAGCCUAAGUGGAGUUCUCUUAGAGAUGUCAGACUCGCCAAGCAUGGUGGUAUAUGUCCAGAGAGCUUAUUUCCAUUUAACAUUAUUCCGUACAUCAACUCCAAGUGGCAAAGAUCAUAGGGAAUGGAUCCUUCCAAAUUAUUUUCUUCAAGAGAUAAACCUUGUAGCCGCUUAAGUCUUCCCAUCGUUGGUGAAAUAGUUCCAUUCAAGUCAUUGAAGCCGAGGCUUAAGAGGAUCAGGCCACGCAACUUACCAAUUUCUUUAGGAAUGCUGCCCCCGAGUUUGCAGUUGGAUGCAUAAAAUUGUCGAAGAGAAGCAGAGAAAUUUCCAAUUACUGGUGGAAGGAUGCCACCCAAUGGAUUAUAAGCUAAGGCUAAAACUGUUAAAUUUCUGCAAUUAGUCAGAGAAGAGAGAAAACUCCACUGAUCUGCUGAAGAUGAUUCUGUCGUCAAGUUAUUAAAUGCUAAGCCAAGCACGCCGAGGUGUCUCAAGUUGCCAAAUGUAUUUGGAAUAUGGCCUGAGAAUGAGUUAAAGCUCAAUUCUAGGCCAAUGAGUUUAGAAGCGUUUGUGAUGGAGUUGGGAAUUUUUCCGGUAAGGUUAUUGGCCGCCAAGGUUAAAUACUCUAUGCUCGGAAGCGAGUGGCCAAUCGUUGAUGGUAAGUGGCCUGAAAGUUGAUUGCUAAUUAGAUUAAGGACUGUUAGGGUUGAAAUGUUGAAGAUUGUGGGUGGAAUGGGGCCACUUAAAUUAUUCGCACUAAGAACAAGGGUAUCCAAAUUUUGUAGAUUGCCAAUCUCAGUUGGAAUUUGACCUGUCAUAAAGAUAAACGCCAAAUUGAUGAGUUAUUGAGCUUUUUACUUAACAUAAAUUUUAAUUUCAUAACGCAUGAAAAUCAAAUUUGCCCACAAAAUGUGUGUUAUUAGUUUUAUAAUUUUUUUUUGGGUUUUUUUUGGGGGGGGGGGGGGGGAGAUUGAUAUUGCUACCUCAUAAUUUUUGUAAAACCCCACCCGCUUUCAGAGAAUUAUUGGAACAAGAUUCUUAAAAAAAUUCAAAUAAAGAAGAAGUUUGGAGAAAUAAUCAAUUAAAUCCAUCUUAAUAUACUUUUUGAAACUUAUAUUCUUUUAUCAUAUAUAAUAACUAAGGUUGCUUUAACAUAAAUUUAAUAUAACUAGUCUACUCUCAUAAGGUAGAAUUACUAAAAUACCCACAAAUUUACUUCAACUUCAACUAAACUAACAAAAUGUAUUUGUUGACAUGUGGGGAACUAAAAAUUAUUGAAUUUUAUUUUAGAAAUAUUGUAUUACAAAACAUAAAACAAAAUGCCGAAACUAUAUAUUAGAUACAAUAGUACAUGUUUUUCGGGGUAAUUUGGUCAUUUUAUAUUAUAAGAGUAAAAUAGUCAAAUUAAACUUAUUUUAAAGCAACCGUAAACGGUCAAAGAUUGUUAAAAGCCCUAAGUCAUAAAAGAAAAACAUUAUAAAAAUAAUUUAUUAAUUGUUCAGACUUAAUUUAUAAUUUUAUAACAUAAUGUGAACUUAUUAUAACUAUCUUUUCAAAAUGAGGUGGGUUUGCAAGAAUAAUGAGUGGAAAUAUCCCCACCCUAUAAAAUAAAAAGAAUUUUGCAGCUAUGCAAAUGCAAAUAUGUAGAACGUACCUUGUAGGUUGUUAUAACCUAGAUUCAGAAUGAAAAGGCUGCUAAAAUUUCCUAUCCCUGAAGGAAUAUUUCCAUCAAUAACGUUGUAGAUUGCGUCGAACACCUCCAGCUUCGAUAAAUUGAGGAGAGAAUUUGGGAUUGGACCCGUGAAACUGUUAUUAUAAAGCCUCAACGUUUGUAAUUUGGAUAAGACACCAAUCCAUGUUGGAAUGCUUCCACUCAAUUUAUUGAAACCGAAUCUAAUGAAUCUGAGUCGGCGUAAUUGCCCCAAUUCAUUAGGCAGAUGGCCAUGAAAAUUAUUAUGAGCAACAUCAAGAGAUACUAAGAACGUGAGAUUUCCCAAGUGUAGUGGAAUGGUGCCUCCGAGACCCAUAUCUGAAAGAUUCAAGGCAGUGACUCUUUGAUGGCGUGAACCACAAGAGAUACCAACCCAGCUACAUAUUGGAUAAGAUAUAGACCAAUUAUUUGUCAGAUCACUUCGAUAAUCAACGACACGGGCUUUGAAUGCAAGAAGAGCCGAUUGAUCUGUUGUUAAGUUGCUCAAAGUCGUCAUAGCUAAGCUAGCUAUGGAAUAUUGUACCAACAACAUAGGAACAAAGAAGAAUGAUAAGCACAUAUUGGUCGUUUUUUUUUAUAGAUGCAGCAAUCUAAUUGCUAGGUGAAGUUGAUACAAGUUUUAAGUGAAGGAAACUAGCAUAUACUUAUACAAGAGACGUAUGAAUUUGAAAACAAGAAAAGAAAAAAAUGUACAGGAGAGUGGAGACAUGCAAAUUGGUAUAUUUCAUCAUUGAGCGAGUCGUCCAAGUAAACUCAUACAGACCUGUAAAUUGUUAUAGGCCGCGGUACUUGAACCGUGAAUAAAGGGCUUAUGGCACUUGACUUACCAAAAAGAAGAAGAUGCUCAACAUUGGCAAGGCCUAUGCAUUCUGUCCAUUUGUUCACGUUUUGCCAAGGCUCAGGGCAACCACAAUAUGUUCUUUUUCUUCCCUCUUAAAACAAAAAACAAAAAAAAAAGACGACAUUUACAUUUGGGCUAAUAAUUAUAACUAAACAAUUAAUAAUACUGAGGGUCAGUGGUAAUGUAGCUUUAAAAUAAUUGUUAUUAGUUGUGUCUUAAAAAUAAAGAAAAAAAAUAACUAUACCCAUAUAAUUAAUAAAAUAAUCAUGUAAAUUCCUAAGCUUUUAACAAUAUACACCAAGACCCCCUACCGUUACUUUUUACCAUUUAUUUGGAUGUCACAUGCUUUUUUUUUUUAAUUUUCACAGUGGAUAUCAAAUGCUAAAUUUACUGUUAUUCCCAUAUCAUGUCAUCACUUGCUUCUACACACAUUGAUUGUUUUUCCAAAGUUUCAAAUUGAAUUAAAAACAUUCUAAUUAACCUAAAAAAAACUCAUCCAACCAGAUAUAAAUCAUCUAAUUAACCUAAAGAUAGCUACACCCCCAUAUUAAUUCCAAUUAAAUAAAAUUCAUUUUUGUCAUGAUUUUGGAUCUCGAGCAGGGUGGAUAUAUCCAACUAGAUCCGCCCCAUUGGCAUUCCAGUAUAUUCUGUAAUUGGAAGAGUAUGAAUGACUUAAUUUGUAAUUUUAAAUUUGUAACGUUCAAUUCUAAUUUGAGGAUUCAAAUGAAUUUAUGCGAAUCUAAAAGGGGACUGAAGAUUGGCAUGCAUACAUGCAUACAUAUACAUAUAUAUAUAAAUAGAGAGAGAGAGAGAGAGAGAGAGAGAGAGAGGUAAUAUAACAUUCUUCUUGAUGAAGAUUUUUGUGCCAUACGAAUUAAAGAGAGUAUUGUGUCGAUGUUCGAGGCUAGAGCGACAAUUGGUUACAUUGCUUCAGAGGUGUUUAGUAGAAACUUUGGUGAGGCAUCACAUAAUUUAAAUUACUAGAUUUAGCGAGAUAUAUAUAUUUUCCACAUUGGAUUUACAAGCAUUUCGAGCAGUAUAAUGAAUUAAAAUUACUCGGAAUUGUAAACAGCGAGGAAAGUGAAAUUGCUAAGAAGAUGAAUAUUUUGUUGUUUUGUGGUGUACACGGACUCGUCCAUCGGAUAGGUCGCCCAUGAACAGAGGGAUAGAAAUGUUAUUGCCAAGAAGCAGACUGACUAGCAGUGACGCUUUGAAAAGUCCACCGGACAUCGUCUCCUCCAAGACCACCAAUAGAUUCUUCCACCAUUUCAACGUCGUGACGUGGGGAUCGGAAUUGAAUUAUAGGAUGCUUGUAAGUUUCCUUUGUGGAACUUGUGAAUUUGUGAUGGCAAAAGUCAAUGAUGCAUGUAACUAGCUAGCCCGUGUAGACUCCGUUUUACACUUUUUCAAAACCCAAAAGCACGCUAAAUCUUAAUCUUAAAAGAAUUUUUGAUUCAGUGCUGAAUUUUGGGCUUAUCUUUAAGUAAUCUUUUACCACGCAUGCAUUUUUGUCAUUGUGCAGUCAUCGAUUGCUUCUAAAGAUCGUAAUCCUUAAGAAAAAAUUACUUCUCUUGAAAGUGAAAGCAGGGCAGCUAUUGGCGUAUUGCAUUGCAGCUGCUAUGUGUAGUAGUCAAUUCUUGGAAACAACUAGUUUUCUUAAAUUGUAAACGGUCCCCUUUAUGACUGGGAGAUUUUGAACAAAAUUAAUAUGACGAAUUCUUUGCAGGUGUUGUUCCUUGAAGUCUCAUCUUUCACAAUGUUUCUGAAAUAAAGAUAUUACCAUCUCUGAUUUAAUAUUUAUUCUUGAUUUGUACCACCUAAUCUGAACUUGAUGAAAGAAUAAAGAUUAUGAUCUUGCCUGAUUUUAUUAAUGUGGUCUUAUCUCACGUAAGUCAGUAAUGAAUUAAGGAAAAUUAUCAUUCGUAUACCCUAUAAUUGCUCUGUUAUAAAAAAUACUACAACACUUUGAGGGUGUAUCAAUUGUCCACCCUAAGUUAACAAAAUGUAUCUGUCAUCCACCAAACCGUUAUUUGCCGUUUAAAUAGAAUGACACCAGAGGGGUAAUUUUAUCUUUUCAUAUGAUACAAGUGAUAAUUUAAGGGUAUACAAGUGAUAAUAAAAGAAUUUAAAGGUAUACAAGUGAUAAUUUUAUUUACUUUAAUUUAAGUUUCAAGGGUAAAAUCGUCAAUUCACUAUAAUUCCGUUAACUUUCAAACGGUAGCUAACGGUUUGGUGGUCGGCAGAUAGCUUUUGUUAAUUUAAGGUGGACGAUUGAUAUACUCUCAAAGUGUUGUAGUAUUUUUGAUAAUAGAGCAACUAUAGGAUAUAUGAUUGAUAAUUUCCCAUGAAUUAAUUAAAGUUUACUGUCAAAUUACAAACACAAAAACUGCUGCUGCUUCAUUAUUCACAAUACCUAAAGUCAGUGCAGAACUUAAUAAGUUUUCCAAAAGUUUUACGCUUUCUUUCCCCCAAAUCCCAAGUACUUACUAGAUAUGUCAUGUUUAUACCCAAAGUCAGUGCAGAACUUACUCGAUAUGUCAUGUUUACACAAGAGUUUGUUUAUAAAUAAAUGAGUUGACAAAUAUUUGCCAAAAAAAACGGUGAGUGAUGUCUAGUUCUAUUUUCACAGUUCAGAGUCCAAUUUUGAUUACUGGAAAUUUUAAUUAUGAAGUUGAACUAAGAAUUUGUUAUAAUAUCUUCAACCUUCCUAUACAGUCAUCUGGAAUAAUAAUAUAUCAAAAACAGUAAUAACUCGAUUUACAGGGUGAGAAAGAAAAGAAAGACGCUACGAGGGAAGCAGAGAUUCAAAGACUUCGCCACUUUGUUGGAGGAACAAUUUCAUAAAUCUCCAGAAUAUUGACAUAAAACACAUAACAUACAUAUCUAGCAUUAAGUAUAUUUAUGUAUGUCCAAAGAUAAAAAUUUGAAGAUUAAAUUUAUCAUUUCAAUUUAUGUUCUGCCCAAAGCAAUGGCUUUUAUUCCACAAGCACAAACAAGAAAGAGUACGCACAAAGUUAACAAACACACAUAGCAAACGUGACAUCAACCACUUGCAGCAGCAUCAUCCAGAAACUUCACUCUAAUCUUCUUGAGCUUUUCAGCGGCGUCUUUCGUAGAUGCCCCCUGUUCUGGUGAUUCCAUGCAACAAUCCAAUGCCGAAUGCAUGAUGCUUAAUAAACAAUUCAUUUUAGGAGAAAAAACUUGCUCUUCUCUCACCAAGUUUGCAUCGACAACAUCACUCAAGGCACGAGGUAAUGACUCCCUUACCCAGUCUCUUAAACUUAUUUCUCCUGUAAACAUUUCAUUUGUGGGAUUCUUUCUGGUGAAAGUUUCCAUCAAUAAAACACCAUAACAAUAGACAUCACCUUUGGCCGAAAUCAUUCCUUCUAAUCCUUACUCUGCAUUUUUUUGGUUUCGAUAGAUCAAAUGGAUGUGACAUCAUAAAACAAAUGAUAAACAAAUAGUCUUUUGACAGUCAAGAUGGCCCAAACUUUGACUGUGCUUCGAAAAGAGCGAAAAUUUGAAAUUAUAAUUGAAACCUUACCUGGUGCCAUAUAACCAGUUGUAGCCACUGUCAUGAUUUGGGUCACAGAAUUUUCUUCAUCACCUAAGAGUUCGGAAAUGCCGAACUCACAUGUGCCACCAUAUUUUCAUCCAAGAGAAUGUUGCUAGGCUUCAAAUCACAAUGAAUUACAGGUGCUGAUGAAUGAUCGUGAUGGAGAUAUUCAAGUGCCAGCCGCACAUCUAUCAUUAUAUUCAACCUCUCUAGGAUAUCUAGGAAAUAGUUGUGUGAACACAACCAUUUCUCAAGACUACCAUUGAGCAUGAACUCAAGCACCAGUACUUUAGAAUCUGGAUUGCAACAGCUGCUAGUGAUCUUUGUGAGAUCUUGAUGACGAACAUUCCACAAUACUUCACAUUCAGAAUCAAAACUCCUAAAGGCUCUCUCUAGCUGCAGAUUGAAAACCUUUAUUACAAUAAUAGUCACAUCAUAAAGUGUGCCUUUAUAAACAGAUCCGAAGCUCUCCAUACCUAGCAGGAUACAUUCACUAAAUCCAUCAGCUGCUCGUUGAAUAUCAUGAUAGGAUAGUCUUCUCCAUGUUGUCGAAGAGAACAAAUCUUCUUUAUCUGGAGUUCUUGUUUUCCUAUUUUGAAAUAUUAUGAAGAAUCAUAACAAUUGUUAUUAGUGCAUUGGAUAUAAUCGAAGGCAAAGUAUAUUUCAGGACAAGCAGAGUAGCAUUCUUGGAUCCUUUGCUAUUAUCUUCUUUGCAAGGUGGGACUUGAAGGCCUGGUGGACCACAUAGUGCAUAAUUCUCAAAAAACGAUUGAGCUGAAAUGUUUUUAAAAGGUCCUUUGAUAGGAAUUCCCCCUUCUAGCCUAUUGUGAGACACAUUAAGUUGUUUGAGAUAUGAGAGUGCCUCCAUUGACUUUGGAAUUUCUCCAGAGAGAUUGUUGCUAGGGAGAUCCAAAGAUUCCAACCUUAUCAAACUACCAAAUGAUUUAGGGACCAGACCAUAAAAUUGGUUUCUAGCCAAGGACAAAGUUGCUAGAUCUUUGAGGCCACCAAUACUUACUGGUAUAUCACCUGAUAAUUGAUUUCUUGAUAAAUCAACUCUAUUAAGACCUUUAAGUUUUGUACAUCUGAAGAUAGAUGACCACUUAGAGAAUUUGUUGACAAGUUUACAUACAAGAUGUACUCAAGAUUCCACAAGGAUGAUGGGAUACUAGAAGUGAGCGUGUUGCAGCUUACAAAGAGUGUUUUUAAGGAAUUGAAUAUCUGAAAUCUUGUAUGUAAAUAUUAACACUUAGAGAAUUUGUUGACAAGUUUUUAAGGAUUUACUGAUUAAAUAAUUUUCCAAUUUGUUUGCCUGGAGGAAUUGAAUAGUUAACUGAUUAAAGGAUUUCAAGGUGGUUAGGUCCAGCCGAGCAUUGUAAAUAUUAACGGUCAUUAUGAAUGUGUAAUUCCUAUAUGUGAAAUUGAAUUUCCAUGGUAAAUUUCUGCUAGGGUGUGAUUGUAUGGUAGCCAAUUGUGAGCAACAGAUCCACAUAGUAAUAUAGACUGAAAUUUUGCGUCUUAAGCCAUGAAGAUAUAGAUUUUGGCAAAUAUUAUACAAGCAUUGUUUGCAACACCACAGCUAAUUUGCAGUAGGAUGAAACACUCAGAAUUUUGCCUUUUUCAUGUAUAAAAUUUUAUUUUUUUAAUUGUGAUAUUACAGUUUUGCCCAUCAAGCAUUAUGAAGCUUAAUAUUUGGAUAAAUGUUAGGUUUAAUCUAUAAAUUUUAACUUCAGUGUUUAUUUAGUUUUUAUAUUUUGUAAAAUAUCUCAAGGCAGCCCUAUUAUCAAAUAUUGGCUUGAUCCGUAUAUAUUAACUUCAGUGCUUUAUUUAGGUUUUAUAUUUUGAAAAAUACUUUAAGGCAGUUCUAUUAUCAAAUAUGUUAUGCUCUUGCUUUUAUUUUUUCUUUGUUUUUAUAAUAAUACUCUGAUAACAAUAUUUUUUUACAUUAAUUUUUUAAUCAAUAAAAAGGUAACUAGCAAAUUAACUGAUAAAUUAAUUUGUUAAUUUUUUUAAUCAAUAAAAAAUUUAAUUAAUAAAUUACUUGGUAGCAAAUUAAAAAAUAAAUAUUAGCAUAAAACAAUUGAUAUUUUUCAUUCUCUUACAACAAUCUUACUAAUAAUUUUUUUAUAAAAAAUUAAUUUAUUAAAUUAAUCCUUAAAAGUAAAAUAAUAAUAAUUAAUUUGUAUCUUAGUUUUAAAGUUAAUUUGAUAAAUUCAAUUUUUUAAUUAAUAUCUCCAAAAAUAUAGUUGCAACGAUAUUAUUGCAAAAGUAAAAAAAAAAAUAUAUAUAGAAUUUUAAUAUAACUGCCAGUAAAAAUAACUUGAAAUAUUUUUUAAGAUAUAAAAAUUAAACCAACACUUAAUUAAAAAUAUAAAGAAUUAAAUAAACAUUUAUCUUCUAACAUUUCAACCUACUGGCUAAUGGUCAUACAAUCGUGGUGUGGUCCGGGAUGCCCGGCCCAGCCCAUCAUGCAAAAAGCCAUGUCACCCAUAUUCUUAGGCUGCUACUGCAUUAAAAAAAUGAUAUUAAUAAGCGUACGCCACGUCACUCCUCACUCUCUUCUUCGUCACUUUCCUCUCACUCAACAUUUUCUCCCCAAACAAAUUCCUUCUUUGAAAAAUCGCAUUUUCUCCUUCACAGCAACAGCUACAAUGUCUUCAACUUCCAAAAAGGUGAUUUUUUUUUAAUUUUAUUUUUUGUUUAGUUUCUUUCUGUUGCCUUUUUGUUUCGUUUUUUGAAUUUUCUGUGUCGUUUUUUUCCCCCAAGGUUUUGGUGCCUGUUGCGAACGGGAGUGAGCCGAUUGAGUCCGUGAUAACGAUCGAUGUUUUGAGAAGGUCUGGAGCUGACGUCACGGUUGCGUCUGUGGAGAAACAGCUCCGUGUCGACGCGUGUCAUGGUGUCAAGAUUGUCGCUGAUGCUCUCGUGUCUGACUGCCGCGACGCCGUUUUUGAUCUUAUAGCUCUUCCCGUAUGUAUUGCAGCUCUCCUCAGCUCGUGCUAAUUUAUGUGAUGUUUGUAUAAUUAUAGAUGAUUACUGCUGAUACUGAAUGUUAAGCUAAAUAAUUCGUUCUUAAGUCAUCUUCAUUUAAUUUUCGAUUGAAAAUGAAAAAAAUAAUAAUUUUAAGCAAAGAAAAAUAUAGAAAAUGUUUAUUUUGUUUAAUUUUCAAUUUUUAAUUUUCAGGGAUUUCAUUAUUGUGACUGUUAUCAUUCAUUAUAUGGUCAUAGUUAAAUGUUUCAAAUUGUUGUAGUCAGUGAAAUUCUUUUCGAUAUUUAUUCUGGCAUGUAUAUUUUUCCUUUUCAAUUUCUUUUGUUGCUGAUUCUUUGAUUAUGUUAUAUCCUUUUUUGUUUCCCUUGUAGGGUGGCAUGCCCGGUGCUACCAAUCUGAAGGAAUCUGAAGUAUUAGAAAGCAUUGUGAAGAAGCAGGCCUCAGCUGGGCGUCUUUAUGCUGCUGUCUGUGCUUCACCUGCUGUGGCAUUAGGGUCUUGGGGUCUGUUGAAGGGAUUGAAGGUAAGAGUUAGAUAAGCCUUUUUGAUGUUUUGUGGUCUUUUGGGAAUUGCACUGAUAUUUUUGUUAUGGUUCAGUUUUCUUCUCGCUGAUGAUUGUUAAGUUCUAAUUUAUGUAGUUGUUCAUUUUUCCUAGGCUACUUGUUAUCCGUCAUUUAUGGAGCAACUAGCUCCUGCUUGUGCAGCAUGUUGAAUCAAGAGUACAGCAGGAUGGUAAAGUUGUUACGAGUCGUGGACCGGGCACUACCAUGGAGUUUGCCGUUGCACUUGUUGAGCAGUUGUAUGGGAAAGAGAAAGCUGAUGAAGUUUCUGGGCCACUGGUAUUAGCUUUUAUAGAUAACGUUGUUUAAAAAAAUUAUGAGUUAUAUAAUUUGUGGAAGCUUCAGAUGCUAAUGUAUUCAAGAAAAUAAGUUCAGGGGAAGAGUAUGACUUUUUGCAUUAGUGAUUCAUUAGAUGAAAUUGUAUACCUGCUGGUCCAUCAUAAGGUGGUGAAAACAAUGUUUGAUUUAAUUAAUGAAAUCCUGAAAUAUGCAUUUGUUGAGCUUCAAUGUCUCCACUGAUAAAAUUCUUUUUAAUGUAAGUUCUUUCUCUUGGUAUUGUAUUUGAAUUUUCUGUUCCUCAUGCUUUCGUCUUUACUGUCACCUUGUGCCUAGGUAAUGCGUGCAAAUCAUGGAGAUGAAUACACUAUUGCUGAGUUCAAUCCAAUUCAGUGGACAUUUGACAAUUCUCCUCAGGUGAGAUUGGACUGUUAGUUUCUUGUAUUUGUUUUUCUUCUUCCAUGUUUUGAGGGAUACCCAUUUGGCAGUAAAUAAAAAUCUGUGAUAUCUUCUAUACAUGUACAUAUACAUCAUUGACUUCACUCAUUUGUGAACAUAUUGGAGGUAGUAGAUUUAUUGUUAUGAUAUGUCUAAUAAAAUCCAAAGUUCGAUGCAACUACAAAAGAAGUAUGAGCAGUGCUCGACCAGAGAGGAAAAAGGUGGUUUUUUUCUUUUUUUUUUUUGGGGGGGGGGGGGGGGUUGGUUGGGUGGCAAAGGGAAUGAUAAGUUCAGGGUAUCAACAAGCUGUAAAAUGGCUAUCGAAAAACUGAUAUUUCACAUUAGAGAAUGUGAGGACCUGAAGAUUGCUGACUUGUGGUCAAAAUGGAAUUCUUGAUAACUUUAAAUGUUAAAAAUUCUUGGUGAAAAUUUUGUACUUUUUUUUCUUUCAGAUUCUUGUGCCUAUUGCGAAUGGUUCAGAGGAGAUGGAAGCUGUUAUAAUAAUUGAUAUUCUGCGACGAGCUAAAGCAAAUGUUGUGGUUGCGUCAGUUGAGGAUAAACUAGAAAUUCUGGCUUCUCGUCAAGUUAAAUUAGUGGCAGAUAUGCUUAUUGAUGAGGCAGCUAAACUUUCGUAUGAUUUGAUUGUCUUGCCAGUAAGUGGGGUUGCUAACUCUUGCCUCAUAGUCUUUACCAAAUUAUUGACUUACUAGCUACAAUUUAUCUAUGCACAGGGUGGACUUGGUGGUGCUCAAGCAUUUGCGAAGUCAGAAAAAUUGGUAAAUAUGCUAAAGAAGCAAAAGGAAUCAAAUAGACCUUACGGUGCUAUAUGUGCAUCCCCAGCACUAGUGUUGGAGCCCCAUGGCUUACUCAAGGUAUGACCAUUUCUGCUUAAAUAUUUAUUCUUGAUUUGAAUCACCUAAUCUGAACUUGAUAAAACAUUGUGAUCUUGUGUGAUUUUAUGAACGUGGUCUUAUCUCAUGUAAGUCUGUAAUGAAUUUAUUGAAGUUUGCUGACAAAUUACAAACUCAAAAACUGCUGCUGCUUCAUUAGUUACAGUACCCAAGGAGUUAUGAUAGACAUCCCAAACUUUUUACCCCAAAUUCCCUCUCAAAUGACAUGGUAGUUAUUAAGUGGUUGGUAAUUUUUUAUAAGAUAUAAGUGAAUUAAUUAAUUAUAUUAUUUAAUCAACCAAUUGAUGAAUGUCACGCCAUUUGAGAUGAAUUUUUGGGAUGUGUAGCAAAACUUUAUGCUGAUUUGUUUUGGCUACAUUCAUGUAAAACAUUUUUCCCCAAAUCCCAAGAACUUCCCGCAAUAUCAUUCCUUUGUAUUUGUUUUCCCCUUUAGACAUGUUUAACUUUGGUUCAGGGUAAAAAGGCUACGGCUUUUCCUGCCAUGUGCAACAAGCUAUCAGAUCAAAGUGAAAUCGAAAACAGGGUUGUGGUUGAUGGCAACCUUAUCACCAGCAGAGGGCCAGGAACUUCCAUGGAGUUUGCACUGGCAAUUGUGGAGAAGUUUUUUGGCCGCAACAAAGCACUUGAGCUUGCAAAGAUAUUGCUUUUCACCCGCACCUAAAAUUUGUACCAGGACCCGACUAAUAUUAAACUAGAGUGUUUAUUUCUGUAUUACUACUGCUUGUAGAGAGGCGAAAUGGAAACUUGAAUUCAUGUUUGAAUAGGGAUUCACUGUGCGGGUUUGUACAAGAGCUUGUUUAUAAAUAAAUGAGUUCAUAAAGAGUCAUUUUAAAUAUUUGGAAUAAACGUGAGUUGCUGUUUAGUUCUGUUUUCAAUGUUCACCGUUCAAUUGUGAUCCAGAGCAAUAUAACUACACUCACUGGGAAUUUUAAUUAUGAACCAAGAACGAAGUUGAACCGAGAAUUUGAUACUUUAUAUAUUCCAGUUACCAUAUUUAAGAAAGAGUAUUGAAAAGAAAGACGCUAAGAGAGAAUAUUGAAGUUAAACAGAUACCAUAUCUAGUAUUAAGUCUGUAUGCCAAAGUUACAAAUUCGAAGAUCAGAUUCCUCAUUUCAAUUUAUGUUCUGCUCAAAACAAUGGCUCUUAUUCCACAAGCACAAACAAGAAAGAGUACGAACAAAGUUAACAGAGACACGCAGUGAAAAUUACGCUAAUUGGUUGCAGCAGCAUCAUCCAGGAACUUCACUUUAAUCCUCUUGAGCUUUGCUGCAGCGUCUGUCAUAUUUAUCCUCAUGUCGGGUGACUCCAUACAACAAUCCAAUGCCAAAUCCAUUAUGCUUAAUAUACAAUCCAUUUUGGCAGAAAAAGCUUGCUCUUCUCGCACCAAAUUUGCGUCAACAACUUCACUCAAUCCGUGAGGUAAUGACUCCUUUACCCAUGUCCUUAAACUCGUUUCUCCUGUGAACAUUUCAUCGGUGGGCCUCUUUCUCGUGAAAGUUUCCAUUAAUAAAACACCAUAGCUGUAGACAUCACAUUUAGCUGAAACAAUUCCUUCUGAUCCAUACUCUGCAUUUUUUUUAAUUUCAAUUAUGAAACAAAUGAUAAAACAAAUAAGUUUUUGAUAAUUAAGGUAACCCAAACUUUGCUCGUACUUGAAAAAAGAGUAAAAAUUUUAAUUACAAUUGAAACUUUACCUGGUGCCAUAUAACCAAUUGUAGCCAUUGUCAUGGUUUGUGUCACAGAAUCUUCUUCUUCACCUAAGAGUUUGGAAAUGCCGAAGUCGCUCACAUGUGCCACCAUAUUUUCAUCCAAGAGAAUGUUGGGAGGCUUCAAAUCACAAUGAAUUAUAGGUGCCGACGAAUGACCAUGAUGGAGAUAUUCAAGAGCCGACCCCACAUCUAUCAUUAUAUUCAACCUCUCUAGAAUGUCUAAGAAAUAGUUGUGAGAAUACAACCACUUCUCGAGACUACCAUUUGGCAUGAACUCAAGUACCAAUGCUUUAAAAUCUGGAUUAGAACAACUGCUAAGGAUCUUUAUGAGAUUUCGAUGACGAACAUUCUGUAAAACUUCACAUUCAGAAUCAAAACUCCUAAAUGCUCUCUCUAGUUGCAGAUUGAAAACCUUUAUCGCAACAUCAGUCCCGUCGGAAAUGGUUCCUUUAUAAACUGAUCCAAAGCUACCUGUACCAAGCAAGUUACAUUCAUUAAAUUCAUCAGUUGCUCGUUGAAUGUCUAGGUACGAUGUUCUUCUCCAUGUUGCAAGAGAUAGGAAAUCUUCGUGAUCUGAUUUUCUUGUACUUCUAUUUCGGCAUCUUCUGUACAUAAUGAUGGUAAUCACUAUAAGGACCGUGGAUACUAUCGGAGGCAAAAUAUAUUUAAGGACAAUUAGAGCAACUUUCUUGGUUCUUUUGCUGUUAUCUUGCUUGCAAGGUGGGACUCGAAGUUUAGGUGGACCACAGAGUGCAUAAUUUCCAAAAAAUGAUUCAGCUGACUAGUUUUUAAAAGACCCCUUAACAGGAAUUUCCCCUUCUAGCAUAUUUUGAGACACAUUAAAUUGUUUGAGAUGUGAAAGUGCCUCCAAUGACUUAGGAAUUUUUCCAGAGAAAUUGUUGCCGGAGAGAUCUAAGGAUUCUAAGCUUAUCAAACUGCCAACUGAUUCAGGGAUAGGUCCUUGAAAUUGAUUACUAGCCAAGGAUAGAGUUUCUAGAUCUACGAGGGCACCAAUGGUUGAUGGAAUAUUACCUGAUAAUUGAUUCCUUGAUAAAUCUAAAACUCUCAAGACCUUUAACUUUUGUACAUUGGAAGGGAGAGAAUCAUUUAAUGAAUUUGACGACAAGUUUAUCUCUAAGAUGUACUCAAGGCUCCACAAGGAUGACGGUAUACUAGAAGUGAGCUUGUUGGAGCCUAAGCGGAGUUCUCUUAGAGAUGUCAAACUCGCCAAGCAUGGCGGUAUAUGUCCAGAGAGCUUAUUUCCAUUUAACCUUAUUCCGUACAUCAACUCCAAGUGGCAAAGAUCAUAGGGAAUGGAUCCUUCCAAAUUAUUGUCUUCAAGAGAUAAACCUUGUAGCUGCUGUAAUGUUCCUACAGAUGUUGGAAUAGUUCCGUUCAAGUCAUUGAAGUCGAGGGUUAAGAGGAUCAAGCCACGUAAAUUACCAAUUUCUUUAGGAAUGCUGCCCCCGAGUUUGCACUCGUAAGCAUAAAAGCUUUGAAGAGAAGCAGAGAAAUUUCCAAUUAAUGGUGGAAGGAUGCCACCUAAUGGAUUAGAAUCUAAGACUAAAUAGGAUAGCUUUCUACAAUUAGUCAAAGAAGAGAGAAAACUCCACUGAUCUGCUGAAGAUGAUUCUGUCGUCAAGUUAUUCGUUCGUAUGCUGAGCACGUUGAGGUGCCUCAAGUUGCCAAAUGUAUUUGGUAUAUGGCCUGAGAAUGAGUUAGAGCCCAAGUCUAGACCAAUGAGUUUGGAAGCAUUGGUAAGAGAGUCAGGAAUUGUCCCGAUAAGAUUAUUGAUCGCCAAGGUUAAAUACUCUAUGUUCGGAAGCGAGUGGCCUAUCGUUGAUGGUAGGCGGCCUGAGAAUUGGUUGCUGUGUAGAUUAAGGACUCUUAUGGUUGAAAUAUUGAAGAUCGCGGGUGGAAUGAGGCCACUUAAAUUAUUCGUACCAAGAGCAAGACUCUCCAAAUUUUGUAGAUUGCCAAUCUCGGUUGGAAUUUGAUCUGUCAUAUCGAUUAAACCAACAUUGAUGAGUUAUUGAAUUUUUUGCUAAACAUAAAUUUAAUUUCAAAAUUCAUGAAAAUCAAAAUUUCCCACAAAAUAUGUGUUAUUAGUUUUAUAAUAAUUUAGGGGGUAAUGAUAUUUCUACCCCAUGAUUUUUGUAAAACACACAUGCUUUUAGAAAAUUAUUACCGCAAGAUCACAUUAUUCUUAAAAAUUCAAAUUAAGAAGAAGUUUCUAGAAUUAAUCAAUUAAAUCCAUAUUAAUUUAUAUUUGAAACUUAUAUUCUUUUAUUAUAUUUAAGUACUAAGGUUGUUUUAACAUAAAUUUAAUUGACUAUUUUACCCUCCUAAGGUAAAAGUACUAAAAUCCUCAAAAAUUUACUUCAACUAAACUAACAAAAUGUAUUUAUGACCUAUGGGGCAUUAAAAAUAUUGAAUUUUAUUUUUAAAAUAUUAUAUUACAAAACAUAAAACUAUAUGCUAGAUACUAUAGUACAUGUUUCUUGGGGUAAUAUAGUCAUUUUACAUUAUAAGGAUGAAAUAGUCAAAUUAAACUUAACUUGAAGCACCCGUAAAUGCCAAAAAUUGUUAAAAGACCUAAGUCAUAAAAGAAAAUUAUUAUCAGAAUAAUUUAUUUAGUUAAUUAUCUGACUUAUUGUUAAUUUAUAAUUUUAUAAGCUAUUGUGAACUUAUUGCAAUUAUCUAAUGGAGAUGAGGGGGGGUUUUGCAAGAAUAUGAGCGGCAGUAUUGCCACUCUAUAAAAUAAAAAGAAUUAUGCAGUCAUGCAAAUGCAAAUAUGCUGAACUUACCUUGCAGGUUGUUAUGACGAAGAUCCAAAUCAAAAAGGUUGCUCAAAUUUCCUAUCCCUGAAGGAAUAUUUCCAUCAAUAACGUUGAAACUUGCUUGUAACAUCUCCAAUUUCGAUAAGUUGAAGAGAGAAUUUGGGAUUGGACCCGUGAUAUUGUUAUUACGAAGACUCAUUAUUUGUAAUUUGGAUAAGACACCAAUCCAAGUUGGAAUGCUUCCACUCAAUUUAUUGAAACUGAAACUAAUGAAUUUGAGUCGGCCUAAUUUCCCCAAUUCAUUAGGUAGAUGGCCAUAAAAAUUGUUCAAAGUAACAUCAAGAGACAUUAGGAAUGAGAGAUUUCCCAGGUGUGGGGGAAUAGUGCCUCCGAGACCCAUGCCUGAAAGAUUUAAAGCCUUGACUCUUUGAUGGCGUGAAUCACAAGAAAUACCAACCCAGCUGCAUAUUGGAUGAGAUAUAGACCAAUUAUUUGCUAGGACACUCCGAUAAUCACCGACGUGGGCUUUGAAUGCAAGAAGAGCUGAUUGAUCUGUUAAAUUGUUUAAAGUCGUCGUAGCUAAGUUAGCUAUGGAAUAUUGUAACAACAUAGGAACAAAGAAGAACGAUAGGCGCAUAUUGGUCGUUUUUAAUAGAUACAGCAACAUAAUUGCUAGGUGAGAUUGAAACAAGUUUGAAGUGAAGGAAAUUAGCAUAUACUUAUACAAGAGACAUGAAUUUGAAAACAAGAAAAGAAAAAAUAUACAGGAGACUUGCAAACUGUUAUAUUUUGUCAUUAAGCGAGUCGUCCAAGUAAACGCACGUAUGGACUUGCAAAUUGUUAAACGUCGCUGUACUUGAACCGUAAACAAAGGGUGUGUUUGGUUGGAGGAUUAAAAGUGGGGAUUAGACACUUUUUUUUUUUUUUAAAUUUUAUCCUUAUCUCAUGUUUGGUGCUGUCAAGGGUAUUAGGAUUUAGUUAUCUUGAACUCACAAGCUAAUCUUAAUUUUGUAAAGGAAAUUAUCCCAAGAGGGGUCAUGGGAUUAGUUAGUAUUGGAUUAUAUUGAUAACUCAAUUAAACAUAAUAAUUUAUAAAUAUUAAAAUUAUAGUAAUAUGUGAUAAAUGUAAUAAAAAAAUAUUGAUUUUAAUAAUGUAAAUAAUAAAUUAUACUAAAAAUCAUUAUUAAUUUCACAUUAAAUUAAAAUUCUAUUUUACUUUAUUUAAUUAUUAAAUAUUUUUUAUAAUUCCAAAUUUACGUUAUAAAUUAAUUAUUAAAUUAGUAUUCAAAAAGAUAAAUUUUUAUAAAAUAAUAGAUUAUUGAAUAAAUAUCAUAUAAAUAUCAUAUACAUAUUUAACAAAAUAAUAAUUAUUUAAAUUAUGAUUUCUAUUUCUUUAACGUCAUUGAGGUUGAUUUGUAUAAUUAAUAAUACAAAAUUUUAGUUUAUAAUAAUAUUAAUAAUAAUAAUAACUUGUAAAUUGUAAUAUUAUAAUGUAAAACAUGAUUAUUUAUAGUCCAAUCUAAUAUUGUACCAAACACAAUAUAGUAUUAUAUAUAAUCCACUAUUAUUCAAUCCAAUUCAAUUUUAUCCAAUUUAAUCUAAUCUAAUUCAAUCAAAUCCGGCGGACCAAACCAGCCCAAAGGGUUUAUGGCCCUUUACUUACCAAACAGAAAAAGAUGCUCAACAUUGACAUCUUUGACCCAAUCCAAAUCUAAUCCAUACAUCUGCGGAUCAGAUGCAGAUUUAACCUAAUCCAUAUCCAAUCCACCAUUUUACGGAUUGGUUUGUAGACUGAAAAAUAUUAUAAGAAUAAUUUAUUAAUUGUUCAGACUUAAUUUAUAAUUCUAUAAGAUAAUGUGAACUUAUUAUAACUAUCUUAUCAAAAUGAGGUGGGAUUGCAAGAAUAAUGAGUAGAAAUAUCCCCAACCGAUAAAAUAAAAAGAAUUUUACAGCUAUACAAAUGCAAAUAUGUAGAACGUACCUUGUAGGUUGUUAUAAGCUAGAUUCAGAUACAAAAGAUUGCUAAAAUUUCCUAUCGCUGAAGGAAUAUUUCCAUCAAUGACGUUGUACGUUGCGUGUAACGCCUUCAGCCUCGAUUAAUUGAAGAGAGAAUUUGGGAUUGGACCCGUGAAACUGUUAUUACGAAGACUCAACACUUGUAAUUUGGAUAAGACGCCAAUCCAUGUUGCAAUGCUCCCACUCAAUUUAUUGAAAGUGAAACUAAUGAAUAUGAGUCGGCGUAAUUGCCCCAAUUCAUUAGGUAGAUUGCCAAGAAAAUUGUUCAGGCUAACAUCAAGAGAUUCAAAUGAAUUUUUGAUGGCGCGAACCGCAAGAAAUGCCAAUCCAGGUACACAUUGGAUAAGAUAUAGACCAAUUAUUUGUCAGGAUACUUCGAUAAUCAACGACACGGGCUUUGCAUGCAAGAAGAGCCGAUUGAUCGGUUGUUAAGAUGCAAUAGUGAGUAGUGAAAGUGGUUUGAGGUGGAGAUGCACCGGGAUCUACGGCCAUCCUGAGUUCAGCCAGAAGCAUAAUACUUGGACUCUCAUGAAAAGGUUAGCCAGCCUAUUUUCCUAUCCUUGGUGCUGUUUUGGUGAUUUUCAAUGAGAUAAUGCAUAUGCAUGAGAAAAACGGGGGCAAUGAGAGAAACCUGAAUAGGGUUGCCGAGUUUAGGGAAGCUGUGCAAAGCUGCAAUUUGCAGGAUAUGGGGUGUAAGGGAUAUCCCUAUACGUGGUCAAACAAAAGAUACAGAGAUCAUUUUAUUGAUGAGAGAUUGGACCGUUUUCUGUGUAGUAAAGAUUGGGGGAUUAAUUUUCAAGAAUCUGUAGGCACAAAUCUAGUGAACUGGUCUUCGGACCACUGCCCAAUCAUUCUAGAUUUCCAUGAGCGAAGCCAAAAUUCGAGACAUGCGGGCAAAUCUCUCCCCCGAGAUUAUUAUGAGGAUAUGUGGAGCUCCCACGAAGGCUGUAGGAGUAUAGUCCAGGAAGAGUGGAGCCGGUAUGGGGCUAGAGCUUGGGAAGCCCCUGUUCAGCAAUUUCAAUGAAUAGCCAAAUCUUCCUUGGCCCAGCUAAAACUUUAGAGCAAAACCGAAUUUCAUGGUAGGCAAAGAAAGUAAGAAAAGCUUAUGCAGAGCCUCCAGGAUGCUAUGAGAGGGAAUUCAAAGCUGGAUGAUGGCCAGGAAAUUAGGAGAUUGGAAAGUCAGAUUAACUCUAUGCUAGUUGAUGAGGAGAUUUACUAGAAACAGCGUUCGAGGGCCGACUGGCUUAGAGAAGGGGAUAAGAACACGAAGUAUUUUCACGCCAAAGCAUCUGCCCGCAAAAGGAAGAACAAGGUGUGGGGGAUUGAGAAUGACCAGGGCAUUUGGUUGAAGGAAAGGGAUGAAAUAGAGGAGGAGAUUUGCAGCCAUUUCCAAAAGCUUUUCACUACUUCCAGCCCGACUCCAAGCCAAAUCCAAGCAACCCUUCAAGGCAUGACAACAAAAGUAACUCCGGAGAUGAAUGUUCAGCUGGAGAAGCCGUUCACCGCUGAAGAUGUUGAGGAAGCCCUUGCCAACAUGUGUCCCACAAAGGCCCCAGGGCCUGAUGGUCUUCCAGCUGCCUUCUUCCAGAAGCAUUGGAAAUCUGUCCGUAACAGAGUGAUCUCAACGUGCCUUAAUGUCCUUAAUGAGCAAGGUAACCCAUCUACCCUCAAUCACACCUUUAUAGCUUUGAUUCCAAAAAUUGCAAAUCCUAGGAAAGUGAGUGAUUAUAGACCUAUCAGCCUCUGUAAUGUUAUUUAUAGAGUUGUAGCUAAGGCCAUUGCAAAUAGAAUGAAGCCGAUCUUUUCCCAAAUCAUCUCCCCUAUGCAAAGUGCAUUCAUCCCCAAUAGGCUCAUUACCGACAAUGUUAUUAUUGGUUAUGAAUGCCUUCAUAAAAUUAGGCAUAGCAAAGGGAAGAAGAACGGACUUGUAGCUUUAAAAUUGGAUAUAAGUAAGGCUUAUGAUAGAGUUGAGUGGCCUUUUUUGGAACAAACUAUGCUAAAGAUGGGGUUUCCUAGUAAUUGGGUAGCUCUGAUAAUGAGAUGUGUUAUUUCCACUUCAUUCUCGGUGCUAAUUAAUGGUGUGCCAAAAGGAAUGAUCCAGCCAAAAAGAGGCUUGCGACAGGGCUGCCCGCUAUCCCCGUACCUUUUUAUCCUUUGUGCAGAGGCUCUCUCCAAUUUGCUGGUUGUGGCAGAACAGAACCAGCUAAUCCAAGGGCUCAAAUUUGCGCGGGAAGUUUCAAUUACGCACUUGCUGUUUGCGGACGAUAGCUUGGUAUUCUCUCGUGCAUCAGUGGCUGAAUGCAGGCAUUUAAAAGAAAUGUUUGAUAAAUAUGCUGCAGCAUCAGGGCAGAUUUUUAAUUUUCAGAAAUCCUCACUGUUCUUCAGUGGAAAAAUUCCAGAGCAUCAACGGGCUGCUAUAAGGGGUAUCUUUAAUCUAAAUGUAGUCUCAAAGCAUGAGAAAUACCUUGGCCUACCAUCAAUGAUUGGGAGAAAGAAGAUGGGGUUCUGUAACGACAUCAAGCUGAAAGUGUUGAACAAGAUUGCAGGAUGGCAGCAUAAAAUGUUGUCUAGUGGGGGGAAGGAAGUUCUGAUCAAAGCGGCAGCCCAAGCAAUUCCGGCGUAUGCAAUGAGUGUUUUCAAGCUCCCAAGAGGCUUUUGUGAUGAUAUUCAGCGAGCUAUAGCGAAGUUCUGGUGGGGCUCGAAAGGGGAUAAGCACGGAAUCCAUUGGCGAAAAUGGGAGAAGCUCAGCCAGGCAAAGAUUAGAGGGGGGCGGGGAUUUCGAGAGUUUUCUUGCUUCAAUCAAGCGCUGGUAGCUAAGCAAGCUUGGAGGUUACUGCAGUACCCAAAUUCGCUGGUCUCCAAAGUCCUUCAAGCAAGAUAUUUCAGGAAUUCCAGCUUUUUAUGUGCAAAGGCAGGAGCCAAUGCCUCGUAUAUUUGGAGAAGCAUCAUGUGGGGUAGGCAGGUGAUUAAGAAGGGUAUGAGAUGGCAGAUAGGUAAUGGCAAGAAGGUAGCAAUUUUCUCGGAUAACUGGCUGCCAAGACCAGAGACCUUCAGACCUAUCUUCCCUCCAUCUUUGCCCGUAAGCUCAGUUGUUGCAGAUUUAAUUAAGGCUGAUAAUCAAUGGGAUGAAAUAAAGCUUCGACAGCACUUCAUGGAUGUAGACACAGCAGAGAUCCUCAAGAUUCCCCUCCCAACUGAGAAAGAAGAAGAUGGAGUGCUUUGGGAUUACGACAAAAGAGGGAACUACUCUGUCAAGAGUGGGUAUCAGCUAGCAUUGAGAUCAAAAUUUCCAGAUUCCACCAGCUGCACAGAGGCUUCCCACAAGUACUGGAGUGCCCUUUGGACACUGGAGUUGCCUGCGAAGCUUAAAAUUUUCAUGUGGAGGGCCUCUAAUAAUCUGCUUCCAUCGGUGGAAAAUCUGUGGAAAAGGAAGGUAGUGGAGGAGCCAACUUGUAAGCGAUGCAAACUGAGUGUUGAGACUAUCAGCCAUGCUCUCUUGGAGUGUAAGGUAGCGAGAAAAAUUUGGCUCCAAUCCCCCUUUUCAGGCCUUAGAUUAGAAGCCAAUUCUCAGGACAUUUUCAGCACUUUGCAAAAUAUGGCUAAGGAGAUGAGGAAAUCAGAUCUGGAAUUAAUGGUAGCUCUGUGUUGGUCUGCCUGGUAUGCUAGGAACAAAUGUAUCUUCGAUGGCAGGGAGAUUAAUCCUAUUAUAUCAGCUGCUAAAGCGGAGUCUGUUUUGUCAGCUUUUCAGAGAGUUAGGAAGCCCCAGCAAGCUCACAUCUCUAUCUUCAUAAAAGAGAAGCAGCAGGAGUGGCUCCCCCCUCCCCCGAAUGUUUUUAAAGUUAAUGUGGAUGCUGCUCUUAAUUCAAAGAAUCUGAGUGCAGGAGUGGGAACUGUGAUUAGAGACUCUAAUGGAAAGAUAGUUGCGGCUGGGGUAAAUCAGAACCUCCUAAAGGGGUCAGCUAGCUUGGCUGAAGCAGAGGCGGUGCUUUGGGGCCUUCAGCUGGCGAGAAAGGCGGAUGUAUCCUCUUUGAUUAUUGAGUCUGAUUGUUUAGAGGUGGUCCAGCUAGUGAACAACACCAAGGGCAGCAGAUCAGAAAUUUUUUGGACAAUUCUGGCAAUCCAAAACCAGAUGAAGAACUUCCAGAAAGUGGUUGUCAAUCACAUUCCAAGACAUUGUAAUGCUUGUGCCCAUUACCUAGCUAAGAUAGCUUUGGGGAAAAUCUCUCCCUGUAUGUGGCUGGGAAAUAUUCCAGCUGAAUUGUAUGGUAUUAUCAAGGUGUUGUGAUUAAUGAAAGGUUUACUUUCUUUUCAAAAAAAAGAAGAAUGAUAAGCGCAUAUUGGUCUUUUUUUUUAGAUGCGUCCAUCUAAUUGCUAAGUGAAGUUGAUACAAGUUUUAAGUGAAGGAAAUUAGCAUAUGCAUAUACAAGAGGCGUAUGAAUUUUGAUAACAAGAAAAGAAAACAAUAUACAGGAGAGUGGAGGCUUGCAAAUUGUUAUAUUUCAUUAUUUAGCGAGUCGUCCGAGUAAACGCGUAUAGACUUUUAAAUUGUUAUACGCCGCCGUACUUGAACCGUGAAUAAAGGGCUUAUGGCACUUGAGUUACCAAAAAGAAGAAGAUGCUCAACAUUGGCAAGGCCUAUGCAUUCUGUCCAUUUGUUCACGUUUUGCCGAGGCUCAUGGCAACCACAAUAUGUUCUUUUUCUUUCCUCUAAAAAACAAAAAGACGACCUUCACAUUUGGGCUAAUAAUUAUCACUAAACAAUUAAUAAUGCUGAGGGCUAGUGGUAAUGUAGCUUUAAAAUAAUUGUUAUUAGUUGCGCCUUAAAAAUAAAGAAAUAAAGAUAGUUAUACUAUACCCCCACAAUUUAAUAAAAUAAUCAUGUAAAUUUCUAAACUUUUAACAAUAUACACCAAGACCCCUUAUGUUACUUUUUACCAUUUAUUUGGAUGUCACAUGCUUUUUUUUUUUUUUUUUUAAAUUUUUCACUGCAGAAAUUAAAUGCUAAAUUUACUGUUAUUCCCAUAUCAUGUCAUCGCUUGCUUCUACACAUAUUGAUUGUUUUUCCAAAGUUUAAAAUUGAAUUAAAAACAUUCUAAUUAACCUAAAAAUUAAAAAAAAAACUCAUCCAACCAGAUAUAAAUCUUCUAAUUAACCUAAAGAUAAGCUACACCCCCAUAUUAAUUCCAAUUAAAUAAAUCUUCAUUUUUGUCAUGGUUUUGGAUCUCGAGCAGGGUGGAUACAUCCAACCAGAUCCGCCCCAUUGGCAUUCCAAUAUAUUAUGGAAUUGGAAGAGUAUCAAUGACUUAAUUUGUAAUUUUAAAUUUGUAACGUAUAAUUCUAAUUUAAGGAUUCAAAUUAAUUUAUGCGGAUCUAAAAGGGGACUGAUGAUGGGCAUGCAUACAUACAUGCAUACAUAUAUUUACAUAGAGAGAGAGAGAGUGAGGUAAUAUAACAUUCUUCUUGAUGAAGAUUUUUGUGCCAUACGCAUUAAAGAGAGUAUUGUGUCGAUGUUGGAGGCUAGAGGGACAAGUGGUUACAUUGCUUCAGAGGUGUUUAGUAGAAACUUUGGUGAGGCAUCACAUAAUUUAAACUACUAGAUUUAGCGAGAUAUAUAUAUUUUCCACAUUGGAUUUACAAGCAUUUGGAGCAGGAUAAUGAAUUUAAAUUACUCGGAAUUGUAAACAGCGGAAAGUGAAAUUGCUAAGAAGAUGAAUAUUGUUGUUUUGUGGUGUAUACGGACUCGUCCAUCGGAUAGGUCGCCCAUGAACAGAGUGAUAGAAAUGUUAUUGCAAAGAAGCAGACUGACUAGCAGUGACGCUUUGAAUAAAUCCACCAAACAUCUUCUCCUACAAGACCACCAAUAUAUUCUUCCACCAUUCAACGUCGUGAUGUGGGGAUCAGAAUUGAAUUAUAGGAUGCUUGUAAGUUUCCUUUGUGGAACUUGUGAAUUUGUGAUGGCAAAAGUCAAUGAUGCAUGUAACUAGCCGGCCCGUGUAGAGGCCGUUUGACUCAUAAAUAUUUGUCACUUUCACUCUUUUUCAAAACCCAAAAGCACGCUAAAGCUUAAUCUAAAAAGAAUUUUUGAUUUAGUGCUGACAUUUUGGGCUCACCUUUGAGUAAUGUUUUACCACGCAUGCAUUUAUGUCAUUGUGCGGUCAUCCUUUACUUCUAAAGAUCGUAAUCUUUAAGAAAAAAUUACUUCUUUUGAAAGUGAAAGCAGGCCAGCUAUUGGCGUAUUGCAUUGAAGCUGCUAUGUGUAGUAGUCAAUUCUUGGAAAGAACUAGUUUUCUUAAAUUGUAAAUGGUCCCCUUUAUGACUGGGAGAUUUUGAACAAAAUUAAUAUGAUGAAUUCUUAGCAAGUGUUGUUCCUUGAAGUCUCAUCUUUCACAAUGUUUUUGAAAUAAAGAUAUUACCAUCUCUGACUAAAGAUUUACUCUUGAUUUGGACCACCUAAUCUGAACUUGAUGGAUGAUUAUGAUCUUGCCUAAUUUUAUGGAUGUGGUCUUAUCUCACGUAAGUCAGUAAUGAAUUAAUUAAAGUUUACUGUCAAAUUAUGAACUGAAAAACUGCUGCUACUUCAUUAUUCACAAUGCCCAAAUUCAGUGCAGAACUGAUUAUAAGUUUUCCGAAAGUUUUACGCUUUCUUUCCCCCAAAUCCCAAGUACUUCCUGUAAUAUCAUUCCCCUAUAGAUGUCUUCCCCUGAGACAUUUUUAACUUUGGUUCAGGGUAACAAAGCUAUAGCUUUUCCUGUCGUGUGCAACAAGCUAUUAAAUUAGAGUAUUUAUUUCUGUAUUACUACUAGUAGUAAGAGAGGCGAAAUGGAAUCUUGAAUUCAUGUUUAUACAACAGUUUGUUUAUAAAUAAAUGAGUUGAUAACAAGUCAUUUUAAAUAUUUGCAAAAAAAAAAACGGUGAGUGAUGUCUAGUUCUAUUUUCAAUGUUCAGAGUCGAAUUUUGAUUACUGAAAAUUUUAAUUUAUGAAGUUGAACUAAGAAUUUGUUAUAAUAUAUUCCACCUUCCUAUACAGUCAUCUGGAAUAAUAAUAUAUCAAAAACAGUAAUAACUUGAUUUACAGGGUGAGAAAGAAAAGAAAGACGCUACGAGGGAAGCAGAGAUUCAAAGACUUCGCUACUUUGUUGGAGGAACAAUUUCAUAAAUCUCCAGAAUAUUGACAUAAAACACAGAACAUAUCUAGCAUUAAGUAUAUUUAUGUAUGUCCAAAGAUAAAAAUUCGAAGAUUAGAUUUAUCAUUUCAAUUUAUGUUCCGCCCAAAGCAAUGGCUUUUAUUCCACAAGCACAAACAAGAAAGAGUACACAAAGUUAACAAACACACAUGUUGAUGCGAGAUUCUGGUUGUCCUCGUUCUACGACCAGGGUCUCUGCUCGAUCAACUUCACCACGACCAGGAUCUCUCCUCGUAAAGCUUCUUCUCCAGAGGUUCCUGCGCACACAGACAGGUCAGAGUACGCCGGUUUUUUUCCCGGCGCAAACCCUCCAACGCUCAAGUCAGAAAUAGGGGUUCUGGGAAUGUUUGCCACGAAUCUUAUGGCUUCUUUUUAAUCUCAGUUCUCGGAACUUUCUUUUCUUAGUUCUAAUAGCAAAAAGUCUAACCCUUUUACCUUUGCUGGCUACUUUUUUAUAGGCUUCCUCUGAAUCCCGGUCUUCCGUAGUCCACGCCCAUUACUCUUCCCACCCUCGGAUGUGGAUGCCCCAUUGUCGUCAUUGUGGGCGAAUGGAGAUGGACUUCGUGCCUUGAUUCUCGGAUAGGAACGCACGUCUUGCCAACUGUCGUUGACCGGGUCUCCUCGCCUCGACCCCUAGCAGGAAUGGCCUUAUGCCUCUAACAGGAGUUCGUCCUCGUGAAUGGCAUAUUUGUGGACGAGCAGAAUAUUCCUGCUCCUGUUCCCUUGCUACCAGGCUCUUACAGGACAUACCUGUUCGCAGAACUCUGCCACCAAAUAUAUGCUCAUCAUGUCUGGUCUCGUCGAAGUAUUUCCCUCAAACACCGGUCCCCCAGUUUCUGGUGUUGGGUAAUGUAAUGGACCAGCAGUAGAAACUCAACAGUUCUUGCUCGCGUGAGACUUGAAAAGGCUGCCAAGAGUCGUGUCGCAUUUAAUUGCGGAUGCAGUGAUGUGGCAGAAAUCUACCCCUUCGUUUGAAUUUCAAACCUACGGUUGCAAGAUUCUCAGAAUCUGCGUCAUUAAAUGCUGGCAGCCCAAAAGUUUGCUUCUCAGUAAGAAAACCCAAAAUCCUCAAACACGAACUCGUCAUUUUCUCCAUUCCUGUCUCUCCGGCUAAUGAACCUCGGCAUUAAAGCUUUCAUCCCUGUCUCUCUCUGAGCGAGUCCCUGCUUCAGGUAUUUCUUCUAUCUUCACGGUCUCGGUUAGUUGUAGAUAAUUUCUUUUCUCUUUGCUUUGCUUGGGGUAGUAUCUGGUAGUGGUGUUUUGGUUAUAACCUAGGGAAUGUCGAAGGGUAAGGAGAAAGUCGUUGAUAUUGAUGACGACGAACUAGGUUUCUUGCCUAGUCUGCUCACUGAUUCUGCUUUUGGCCCCGGGAUCCCCUUAGAGCCCACUAGGUCUAGUGUUGGGACUAGCGCUAGGAGGAUGUCCCCCCAAACAACCUCCACGAGCGGAAGUAGUGGCGAGGAGGGACCUUCUGGCUCGGAAGACACCCUAAGUGAGGAUCAAUGAGGUGACUCUGGUGAGGGAUCUUCACCGGGAACACUGCGACCAGAAGGGUGUAGUACAGUAGGAGGUAGAGCCUUGUCGCGGGAUUAUGCUAUUGAUUACAUGACCUGCACGACCACAUUCAACGAGCUGGAUGACCUCCGGCUCAGGUAUCAUAUUCCUGGUGAGGUACUCCUUAGGAUCCCAGGAAAGAAAGAUAGUCUUAGCAGGCCUCCUAGGGGAUUUGUCACCUUGUUCUUGGAGAGUUUUAAGUACGGGCUAAGGUGCCCCUUGCAACUCUAUUUUGCUCGCAUACUCCACGGGCUCAAUCUAGCUCCUGGUCAGUUGAACCCCAAUGGGUGGAGGGUGCUCUUUGGUCUGUUCAUAUUGUGGGACAGAUGUUGCCAAAGCGAGCCCACGGUUGAUGAGGUGAAGCACCUGUACCAGCUAAGGAGUAGCCCCAAAGAUGCCGGCUGGUACUACUUCCAAUCUAGUACCAAGAGUAGGAAACCCAUAACUGAUCUUCCAACUGGUGGUGGUGGGACUUGGAAGAGGAAAUUCUUUUUUGCUGGGGGUCCUUGAGGUCAAGUUGCACAAAUAGACGGGAAGGAUUGUCGCGUCCCACCCCGUUUCACGGUCCCAGGUUGCCUGCUCACUUUAGAUGUCUUGUAUCCAUAAUUGUUCUUACUUUAUUGGUUUGUCUCUAACCAAGUGUCUGUUUGUGUUGUAGUUUCUUGGGGUGUUCAUUUUCCGCUCAAACCUGAUCAGCUCAAACGGGUCGAGGCUGUACUAGCCAACUCCUGCCCGAGCCGAGAACUGAUAACUAUUUAUAACUUCCUCGAGUCUCGCUUGGUACUCCCUGGCCAUAAGAUGGAGGACGCUGUGAUUGGGGCUCUGAACAGGAAACGUUCUCGACCUCAAAACACGAAGAGGGACCAGAACAAGGACGCCCCUAGGGCAAAGCGGACCAACAUCGUGCAGCAAGUCUCUCCCUUGAAGACUUUACCUCCUGCUCCUGCCAAAGUCAGCGAAACUAGUGGAGCAGCCACAGAUCCUGCUUCCUCUUCUCCUCCUGUCGGGCCUCGAUCUCGCUUUCCUGACAGCCGAGCAGAACACUUGGUCCCCUAUCUCAAUGAGUUAUCUAAACUCGUGAGCAAGAAGGACCUGGAGGACUUUAAUGGCUGCACCCUGGGCGAGCUGGUAGGAGCCAUGCAGUAUAGUGCUUUCCAUCUCAGCUGCAUGACCACCUAUUAUAAGGCUAAGGUUGGCCGUUAUGACAGGAAGAUGAAGGAGGACAUUCAAUCAGCGAUGACCAGAGCUGACGCCGCCGAGAAGAAAGCAGGAGAGCUAAAUGUCGAGAACCUGAAGCUGAUAGAGCAAGAAUCUCUUGCUCAAGCAAAAGCCAUUACCCUCGAGGAGGAGCUGACCAAGGUCAAGGAGGAUCUUCAAAGGCAGAAGGCAAUGUAUGAGGCUCAGCUCGAAUCUCUCCGCGAUUCCCAUCGAGCUCAGGUCGAGAACUUGGAGAAGGAGGCCGACAACCAGUACGACCAGGGACUUCGGCAUUCCUAUCGUUGCAUCAUGGCCGUCCUCGGGAAGCAGCAUCCUGAUCUAAAGAUGGACGACCUUGCAGCUGGUGUCGCCCAACAUAUGGACGAGGAGGCUGCAAAGGAGGAUGCCGAAGGGGUAGACGCAAUCGUGAUUGAGGAGGAAAACUCUCCUCCUCAUGUAGACCCUGCUGACGUUGGCGAGGCGAGCACCCCCCCGGACGCAACUGGUGAUACCCCCCCUGCACCUGAGGAGGUCCAGCCAACCGAUGCUGCUCGGCAUACUGAUCCGCCAUCUUCUUGAACUUAUCUUGUGCUGUAAUUGCUUUUUGAAUAUUCUAUAUAACAGCUUUGUAAACUUUUAAGAGCUUAAUAAGAUUGUUCUUAUUUGCUUCCUCGCAUUGGUAUUUUAAUUUAUUUAUCUAUUUGGCUUCUGUCCUCGUCACAGAGGAGGCCUUGAAGUUUGACGAGCCUUUGCCUGUCUUGGAUAAUUUCUUCAAUGAUUGGGAUUCUGCUCGCCUUCGCGUGGUCGAGCAGAUCCUGGCACGCUUGGCUUUUGGUCUCGCCAUAAACAGGCUUUGAGACUCGACGAGCCUUUGCAUGCCUUAGUUUCUUCAAGGAUUGGGAUUCUGCUCGCCUUCGUGUGGUCGAGCAGAUCCUGGCACGCUUGGCUUCUGGUCUCGCCAUAAACAGGCUUUGAGACUUGACGAGCCUUUGCAUGCCUUAGUUUCUUCAAGGAUUGGGAUUCUGCUCGCCUUCGCGUGGUCGAACAGAUCCUGGCACGCUUGGCUUCUGGUCUCGCCAUAAACAGGCUUUGAGACUCGACGAGCCUUUGCAUGCCUUAGUUUCUUCAAGGAUUGGGAUUCUGCUCGCCUUCGCGUGGUCGAGCAGAUCCUGGCACGCUUGGCUUCUGGUCUCGCCAUAAACAGGCUUUGAGACUUGACGAGCCUUUGCAUGCCUUAGUUUCUUCAAGGAUUGGGAUUCUGCUCGCCUUCGCGUGGUCGAGCAGAUCCUGGCACGCUUGGCUUCUGGUCUCGCCAUAAACAGGCUUUGAGACUUGACGAGCGUUUACAUGCCUUCAAUUCUUCAAGGAUUGGGAUUCUGCUCGCCUUCGCAUGGUCGAGCAGAUCUUGGCACGCUUGGCUUCUGGUCUCGCCAUAAACAGGCUUUGAGACUUGACGAGCCUUUGCAUGCCUUCAAUUCUUCAAGGAUUGGGAUUCUGCUCACCUUCGCGUGGUCGAGCAGAUCCUGGCACGCUUGGCUUCUGGUCUCGCCAUAAACAGGCUUUGAGACUUGACGAGCCUUUGCAUGCCUUCAAUUCUUCAAGGAUUGGGAUUCUGCUCGCCUUCGCGUGGUCGAGCAGAUCCUGGCACGCUUGGCUUCUGGUCCCGCCAUAAACAAGCUUUGAGACUUGGUGAGCCUUUGCAUGCCUUUGAUAAUUUCUGGAAAGCUUAGGAUUCUGCUCACCUUCUCGUGGUCGAGCAGAUCCUGGCACGCUUGGCUUCUGGUCUCGCCAUAAACAGGCUUUGAGACUUGGUAAGCCUUUGCAUGCCUUUGAUAAUUUCUUGAACAGUGUAGUUGAUUCAAACUCCUCAUUGAUUCAUUUAUUAUUGAAUUCGGCUUACAUGAGGUUGCUUUGAAAUAAGAAAUAAAAAAAUAGAAAACAACAGACAUGAACAGAAAAAAAACUUUAAAACAUGAGUAAGUCUUACUAGAAAUAUUUCCUGAGGUGUGCCGCGCUCUAGGGGCGUUUCACCUCGUGGCCCUCCGUGCGAACCAACUUGUAAACUCUGGGUCCAACUAGCUGCCAUUCCUGGCUUCCACUCGGGUAUCAAAGGAUGUUAUCUGCAUUGCUUCCUUUGUUGCCGAGGAGUAACAGCUUCGUGCGAUUCUCUGGUCUCCUCGUACCACUCCAACUACCCCAUUCACCCGGUACUUGAGAGCCAGAUAAUGGUUGGACAGCACCGCUUUGCUCAUCCUCAGAAAUGGCCGGCCUAGGAUCAUCUGAUAAGGACCUUCCUCAUCCACUACCACAAAGUCCAGUAUCAUUGUCCUUUCUGUCGGGGAGCUCCCAAUCGUGAUAAGUAGCUCGACCACGCCCAGAGGGACCAACUUUCCUCCUCCAAACCCCUUCAAGGAGGUAUUGGUGUAAUCCAACUUCAGGUCUGCUAUUCCCAUUUCCUCCAGGGUUGACUUAAACAACACAUCAACUGAGCUCCCUGUGUCAACCAGUAUCCUGUCAAACUUCUUGCUGGCAACAGUGGCCUUGAUGACCAAAGCAUCCUCGUGGGGGUAUAGAAUCCCUUCUUCAUCCUCAUCUGUCCACAUGAUUGGCACUUGCCUGACUCUUGCACAUUUGGCUGCUGGGGUGUUGAAGAAUACAUCUUUGCUGGUCAUGGCGUAUCUAGCGUAAUUCUUCCUCGACCUGUUGGAAUCUCCGGCCAAUGUUGGGCCCCCAGCUAUCACCCUUAGUGCAGGAUGCUCGCGCCUCAGGUUUCUAUCACUCUGCUCCCCUUCAUAUGUCGAGGCCACCAUCGGGAAAGUCCCAUCUACAAACUCGUCCAGGUACCGAUUUCUCACCAAAUCUUCAACCUGGGUCUUGAGAUCUCUGCAUUCUGCGGUGGUAUGGCCAUGAGUGCCAUGGAACUUACAAUGGCGUCCCCUAUCCCUCCUGCCGGGUAGCUUUGUUAUUGGGGCAGGGAGGUACAGCAGUCCUCGGUCCUUUAUGGCCUCGUAUACUUCAUCUAGGGACAUCUUCAAGGACGUGUAUCGCCCAUACUCCUGGUUCUGGUCGAUCAGGUGCACGGCCCUUUCUCUAUUUGCUCCGUUCUGAGUUGGAGGCGAUGACAGCAUUUCUGGUCUGCUCCCUCUACUACCGUGGGAGUGUUGAUGAAGACCACCAUAUGUCGAAUCAUGCCUUCUCCAAGGCUCCCUAGCUGGGGAACGAGGAGGGUGCGCCCUGCUGCGCUGAUACUGUGGUGGCCUCUGAUGAGGCUGGUGAGCUGUUACCCGACCUCCUGCUCCACUACCUGAGGCCUGGAGGUCCCUCCUCCUGAUCGGCCAAUUUCCCAGUAAUGCCCUCUUUUCUUUCUUUUCCAACCCCUCCAGCUGGUCUGUCUUAAUCCGAGCUGCCUUUUCUUCCUCGAUCUCUAUGUCUCUUUUAGCUUGCUCGUAUGCGGCUGCAUACGUCUGAAUAGCUGGGCUUCUCAAGUUGUACCACAGCCUUCCUAUCUUCACUCCCUCUUUCAAUCCCCUUAGUGCCUGAGGAUGGUCGAAGGCUCCCAAAUCGAGGACAGCACGAUGAAACCUCUUGAUGAAUUCCCGAAGAGUUUCUUGUUCCCCUUGCUUCAUGCUUUUCAACUCCAUCAUGUCAUCUUCUAGUGCCAUUGCCCCACGAAACUGCUCUGCAAACUCCUGGCACAUCUGCUCGAAGGUUUUAAUGCUCCUCCCCCGAGGAAGUUUUCUGUACCACUCUCGUGCACGUCCCUCAAGGGAUAGUGGGAACACCCUGCCUGCACCUUUGGGAUUGAGAUAAUCCUUGUACCCCAAUUAUGUCGUUGAAGCGCUCUAUGUGCACCAGCGGAUCUGUUCGUCCCGAAUAUCUAAGGUCUGGGAGGCGGAAAUCUCUCGGAAUAACUGCCCUCAUGAUCUCUGCUGCGAGCGGUGAUUCUCCAUCUAGCAUUAUCCUCCAACCAGGAGCUCUGCUCCUUCCUUGCAUGUCGUCAAUUAUCUGCGCUAGUCUGCGCACUUCCUCCUCCAGCUGCACUGCACGACCAGGGUCACGUGCUGCAACUUGAUCCCGCUCUUGCUCUACAUCAAGCAAGUGUUGCCUCAACUCUGUUUCCUCUGCAUUUGCCACCCCGUCGUCCUCGUCAAAAAUCUGUCUUGCCGGGAAUUGCUCUUCCUCUCUACGGAAUUCUCCCCGCAGAGGUAUGUUACCUCUCUCACCACCAAAUCUCCCGGUGGUUUGACUUCUCCUCGUACUAUCGGGACCUAGUGCCACUCCACCAACUCUCAUCCUUUCCUCCUGGGUUACCCUUCGUUCACUCCGCAACUCAUGCAGGAUGGUUGUCAGGGUCUCCAUCUGCUUUUCCAUUCGUUCCAUUCGGUCGAACAUGGCUUUUUCCCGUGCUUCACUGGCUAUCUCCCUCAGAGUCACGGAAUCGUUAAGCCUCAUAUCACCCCCUUGUGCACUACUUCCUCCUGUCUCCAUUGCUUUUCACUUGCUUCACUCCUCUUCUUGCUAUCAACAGAAGCUUUUUGAUCAGCUCCCCACAGACGGCGCCAAAAUAUUGAUGCGAGAUUCUGGUUGUCCUCGUUCUACGACCAGGGUCUCUGCUCGAUCAACUUCACCACGACCAGGAUCUCUCCUCGUAAAGCUUCUUCUCCAGAGGUUCCUGCGCACACAGACAGGUCAGAGUACGCCGGUUGUUUUCCCGGCGCAAACCCUCCGACGCUCAAGUCAGAAAUAGGGGUUCUGGGAAUGUUUGCCACUAAUCUUAUGGCUUCUUUUUAAUCUCAGUUCUCGGAACUUUCUUUUCUUAGUUCUAAUAGCAAAAAGUCUAACCCUUUUACCUUCGCUGGCUACCUUUUUAUAGGCUUCCUUUGAAUCCCGGUCUUCCGUAGUCCACGCCCAUUAGUCUUCCCACCCUCGGAUGUGGAUGCCCCAUUGUCGUCAUUGUGGGCGAAUGGAGAUGGACUUCGUGCCUUGAUUCUCGGAUAGGAACGCACGUCUUGCCAACUGUCGUUGACCGGGUCUCCUCGCCUCGACCCCUAGCAGGAAUGGCCUUAUGCCUCUAACAGGAGUUCGUCCUCGUGAAUGGCAUAUUUGUGGACGAGCAGAAUAUUCCUGCUCCUGUUCCCUUGCUACCAGGCUCUUACAGGACAUACCUGUUCGCAGAACUCUGCCACCAAAUAUAUGCUCAUCAUGUCUGGUCUCGUCGAAGUAUUUCCCUCAAACAACACAUAGCAAACAUGACAUUAACUACUUGCAGCAGCAUCAUCCAGAAACUUCACUAUAAUCUUCUUGAGCUUUUCAGCGGCAUCUUUCGUAGAUGCCCUUUGUUUUGGUGACUCCAUGCAAAAAUCCAAUGCCGAAUGCAUGAUGCUUAAUAAACAAUUCAUUUUAUUAGUACAUUGGAUAUAAUCGAAGGCAGAGUAUAUUUCAGGACAAGUAGAGUAGCAUUCUUGGAUCCUUUGCUAUUAUCUUCUUUGCAAGGUGGGACUUGAGGUCCUGGUGGACAACAUACUGCAUAAUUCUAAAAAAAUUAUUGAGCUGAAAUGUUUUUAAAAGGUCUUUUGAUAGAAACUCCCCCUUCUAGCCUAUUGUGAGACACAUUAAGUUGUUUGAGAUAUAAGAGUGCCUCUAUUGACUUUGGAAUUUCUCCAGAGAAAUUGUUGCUUGGGAGAUCCAAAGAUUCCAACCUUAUCAAACUACCAAAUGAUUUGGGGAUUAGACCAUAAAAUUGGUUUCUAGCCAAGCUAGAUCUUUGGGGCCACCAAUAUUUACUGGCAUAUCACCUGAUAAUUGAUUUCUUGAUAAAUCUAACUCUAUUAAGACCCUUAAGUUUUGUAUAUCACUUGAUAAUUGUUUGUAUUGGGCCUUCUAUUUUCAUUAUAGAAUAAAUUAACUAUUAAUUUUCAUGAGAAAAAUACUUAUUUCCAUAAAAUUAUUCAAGCUUUUAAAAAGAUUUAGAAUUAAAAAUCAAACUUUGUACUGUAGAAAAUUUGCCGGUACGUUCAAUUAGUACUUUGUUUGAGGAAAUAAGAUUAGAAUAGGCUAUAGGUACGGUAGUUAUGCGGUACCUGUUUAAUAACCGUAGUAUAGUAAAUGUUUGACUUUUUUAUUAGAAAUAUAUCAUUAACAAUUUUGUUCGCUAAUUGAAUAGAGAAAGAAAGGGGGGGUGGGGGGGGGGGGAGGGCAAAAAGGUUAACACAUUUCGAAACUACAAACGAUUGCCUUUUCCUAUUAAUAAUGUUUGCGGAUUCUAACAAUUGAAUCUCAAGGUCAUUACAUAGUGAAUUUUAUAGUUAAUAAAAUUAAUAUUCCACAUACUAUCUACUCAAUUAAUGUCACAUUUUUUGAAACUUGAAUGAUCUAUUUGCUACAAUUAGGAGCCAACGUCGUAAUGAAUGUUAAAUUAUGCUGUUUGUUUUGAUUUACUUUUCUAUCUUAGCUCCAAGUGAUUAGCGGAAUGCUGGUCUUGUGAGUAUAAAAUGAACUCCUUAAGUCAAAUUCCUUCUGGGGUGUUGGAGAAAGAACUAAAUACAUGUAAUCUUGCUUUCGGAUAUGGAUUAUCUGAUGGAUGUUGUAUUUUCUAGGUAUUGAGGAGAUUCCUCAUUAUUGAAAAAUUACGUUCCCGAGCAUCAAAAGAUGAUCCCAUAGAAUUGCGUUCUCCUGUGACAAAAGAGGAGCUUGUAGCUGAGGUAUCGAUUUUUAUCUUUCUUGAUUGUUCUUUAUAGUUGUUUCUCAUCAAAAUAGAAAAAGCAGUUUGUUCUGAGUGACCUGUGCGGUCUACUAUCAAUCACUGCCAUUUCUAUCAUUUAGUACUAUUGACUGUGUGUAUAGAUAUUUUGUUUUUGCCAUGUAAUUUCAUGUUUGAUACAUUUCUAAUACAUUGCAUAGCGUUCAUGAACGAGAAUGAUAAACUAACUUUCAGGUGUGUUUAAGUAGAUGAAAAAACUUGGUACAAUUUAGAAGGAUUCACUAAUUUUCCAAUUUGUUUGUAUGGAGAAAUUGAAUAGUUAAUUGAUUAGAGGAUUGCAAAGUGGGUAGGUCCAGCUGGGCAUUGUCAAUAUUAACGAUCGAUGUUUUGAGAAGGUCUGGAGCUGACAUCACGGUUGCGUCUGUGGAGAAACAACUUCGUGUCGACGCGUGUCACGGUGUCAAGAUUGUCGCUGAUGCUCUCGUGUCUGACUGCCGCGACGCCGUUUUUGAUCUUAUAGCUCUUCCCGUAUGUAUUGCAGCUCACCUCAGCUCAUGCCAAUUUAUGUGAUGUUUGUAUAAUUAUAGAUGAUUAUUGCUGAUACUGAAUGUUAAGCUAAAUAAUUCGUUCUUAAGUCAUCUUCAUUUAAUUUUCGAUUGAAAAUGAAAAAAAUAAUAAUUGUAAGCAAAGAAAAAUAUCGAAAAUGUUUAUUUUGUUUUAAUUUUAUUUUUUAAUUUUUUGGGAUUUCCUUAUUGUGGCUGUUAUUAUUCAUUAUAUGGUCCUAGUUAAAUAUUUCAAGUUGUUGUAGUUAGUGAAUUUCUUUUCGAUAUUUAUUCUGGCAUGUAUAUUUUUUCUUUUCAAUUUCUUUUGUUGCUGAUUCUUUGAUUAUGUUAUAUCCUUUUUUGUUUCCCUUGUAGGGUGGCGUGCCUGGUGCUACCAAUCUGAAAGAAUCUGAAGUAUUAGAAAGCAUUGUGAAGAAGCAGGCUUCAGAUGGGCGUCUUAAUGCUGUUAUCUGUGCUUCACCUGCUGAGGCAUUAGGGUCUAGGGGUCUGUUGAAGGGAUUGAAGGUAAGAAUUAGAUAAACCUUUUUGAUGUUCUGUGGUCUUUUGGGAAUUGCACUGAUAUUUUUGUUAUAGUUCAGUUUUCUUCUCGCUGAUGAUUGUUAAGUUCUAAUUUAUGUAGUUGUUCAUUUUUCGUAGGCUACUUGUUAUCCGUCAUUUAUGGAGCAAUUAGCUCCUGCUUGUGCAACAACUGUUGAAUCAAGAGUACCACAGGAUGGUAAAGUUGUUACGAGUCGUGGACCCUGCACUACUAUGGAGUUUGCUGUUGCACUUGUUGAGCAGUUGUAUGGGAAAGAGAGAGCUGAUGAGGUUUCUGGGCCACUGGUAGUAACUUUUAUAGAUAAUGUUGUUUAAAAAAAUUGUGAGUUAUAUAAUUUGUUGAAAUUCAUUCUAAUAGGUUCAUCUGGUAUGUCAAAUUGGAAGGUUCAGAUGCUAAUGUAGUCCAAAAAAUUAGUUCAGGGGAAAAGUAUGACUUUUUGCAUUAGAGAUUUAUUAGAUGAAGUUGUAUACCUACUGGCCCAUCUUAAUAUGGUGAAAACGAUGUAAAAUCGGGAGAGGGGGUUCGGGGGAGAGGGGAAGCCCUCUCCAACCGCAAGGCCGUUAUUCUGACAUGAAUAGAGUAAGGCCUUUACUUUUAUAAAGAAAGGUCCCUGUUUUGCACGUCUCCACUGAUCACAUUCUUUUUAAUGUAAGUUCUUUCUCUUGGUAUUUGUCUUUGAUUUUUCUCUUCCUCAUGCUGUCGUCUGUCAAAAGAUUUGGCUGCAGCAUCUAGAAGUUUUGAAGAAGCAAAAUGGGUCACACGGCUUUGAAGUUCUAGAUGCCGUAAUGUUUGGUAAAAGUAAAAAAAAAUUCAAAGCUCAAAAAUUCAAAGUUCGAAAAACUGAAAUUUUUGAGCUGUAUGGCUUGUAAUUUUAUAGCCACUUUUUUGACUUUUAAGGAAAAGUUUUACCUAUAAAUACAAGCUCUCAAUUUAGAGCUUGCAUCCAAUUUUGUAAAGAGAGUCGAGAGCUGUGAAAAGCAAUUCUUGCAGAGCAGAGAGUUUGUAGAGCUUAAAUAAUAAAAGCUGUUGUUUUAAUGAUUUGAGAGUUUGGAUGUAUUGGGGUUUUGGGAAGUGAGCUAAAAUACUACAAUACUUGUAACUCCUUUUCACUAGUAAAAUAUUUUUCUUCUAUCUUCACCCAUGGACGUAGGUUAAAAGCCGAACCACGUAAUUUCCUGGUGUCCUCUUUGUGCUUCUUCUUGAUUUUUUUUUCCCAAUUUUACUUUAGUUGCGGCCCUGCUUCACCCGCCAAUUUCCUAACAGCGGUAUCAGAGCUAUUAGUUGUAUUAUUUGGAGUCGGGUACUAUUCACAUACGGUACUGUUCACAUAUACGGUACUAUUCAUGUAUACGUUACUAUUCACGUGAAACGGUGGGAGCAAUUCUAGUAUUGGCGAUGCAAAGCAGGGGAAUAGUGUGUGUGAGUGGAGUAAUUGUGUGGUUUUGGACAUGUGUAAGAAAGUUCUGUCACAAAGGCGAUAAGAGCCUAAGGAGUUAGGAUUUUAAGUGGGACUAUUGUGACCCCUCCAGUCUUUCCUGGGAACUUUCUUGGUGUGCUCUCACACAUACUCACAACUAUUCAAGCUGGUACACUAGUUUUGUACAAUAUUUAUCAACAAAAUGGUGGCAAAGUAUGAAAUUGAGAAGUUUAACGGAAAUAAUUUUUCGUUGUGGAAAAUGAAGAUGAAAGUUGUAUUGAAGAAAAAUAAUUGAUUGGCAGCAAUUAGAGAAAGGCCCAUGGAGAUAACUGAUGACAAGUGGAACAAGAUAUAUGGCAACGCCAUUUUUGAUCUACACUUGGCACUUACGGAUGAAGUAUUAUUCAGUGUGGCAGAGAAAACUACAGCGAAGGAAAUAUGGGAUACUCUCACAAAAUUGUACGAGACCAGGUCACUACACAACAAAAUCUUCUUAAAGAGGAAGCUCUAUACUCUUCGAAUGACGGAAUCUACAAUGGUGACCGACCACAUCAAUACCUUGAAGACUCUAUUUUCACAACUCACAACGUUAGGUCAUAAUAUAGAGGAAAAUGAACAUGCAGAGCUUCUACUUCAAAGUCUACCAGAUUCGUAUAAUCAACUCAUCAUCAACCUGACGAAUAAUAAUCCAGCGGACAGUUUGGUUUUCGACGAUGUUGCAGCCUCCGUAUUAAAUGAGGAGAGCAGGCGGAAAAAUAAGAAAAAUAGACAAGCAAGUUUGCAGCAAGCGGAGGCGUUAUCGGCGACGAGAGGGAGAUCAACGGAACGUGGCUGGCCCCAGUGGGAGUCACAAUCGUGGUAGAUCAAAAUCCAGAAGUAAGAAGAAUGUUAAAUGCUACAAUUGUGGUAAGAAAGGGCACGUCAAGAAAGAGUGUUAGAGUAACCAGAAGAGAAAAGAUGGCAAAAAACCUGAGUCAUCAAAUGCUCAGGGGUGUGUAGCAAGUACCUCGGAUGAUGACGAAAUUCUCUACAGCGAGGCAACAACUGUUUCAGAAGGUAGAAAAUGACUAUAUGAUGUCUGGCUUAUAGACUCAGGAGCUACCUGACACAUGACCUAUCGUAGAGAAUGGUUCCACACAUAUGAACAUAUCUCAGGAGAAUAUGCAUAUAUAGGUAAUGAUCAUGCCUUGGAGAUCGUUAGUAUUGGUACUAUCAAAAUAAAAAUAUUUGAUGGUACAAUUCGCACAAUUGAGGAGGUACAACAUAUCAGCGGCCUGAAGAAAAAUCUAUUGUCUUUGGGACAAAUGGAUAGUCAUAGGUACAAAACUCAUGUGGAGAAUGGAAUUAUGUAGAUCGUUAAAGGCGCGCUUGUAUUGAUGAAGGCAGAAAAGAUCAGUGCUAAUUUAUUCAUGCUUAAAGGAGAAACACUACAGGAGGCUGAUGUAUGUGUCGCGUCAAAUGGAGAAGAGUCAACGAUGAUGUGGCAUCUCAAACUUGGCCACAUGUCAGAACAAGGCUAGAAGAUUCUCUCUGAGUGAAAAUUGCUUCCAGGGUUCAAAUCGGUAAGUUUACCAUUUUGCGAGCAUUGUGUUAUAAGUAAGCAACAUAGAUUAAAGUUCAGUAGAUCUAUUACUAGAAGUAAAUGCAUUCUAGAAUUGAUUCAUUCUGAUGUUUAGGAAUCGCCGGAUAUGUCCAUGGGAGGUGCAAAGUACAUGGUGACUUUCAUUGAUGAUUAUUGCAGGAGAUGUUGGGUGUAUUCAAUUAAGAAAAAGUCAGAUGUAUUUCCAGUGUUUAAAGAAUACAAAGCGCGGGUGGAACUUGAAUUUGGUAAAAGGAUCGAGUGCUUGGGGACAAAUAAUGGUGGAGAGUAUACAGACGGCGAGUUUCUUGCUUUCUGUAAGCAAAAAGGUAUUUAGAGGUAGUUAAUGGUAGCAUACACUCCUCAACAAAACGGAGUGGCGAAGCGAAUGAACAUAACUCUUACAAAAAGAAUAAUAGCUAUGUUGAGGACUGCUGGUCUACCCAAUUCAUUCUGGGCAGAAGCAGCCAAAACUGCCUGUUAUAUCGUAAAUCGAUUGCCAUCUACAACAAUUGGGCUGAAGACAGCGAUGGAGAUAUGGACUGGAAAGCUAGCUGAUUACUCAUACCUACAUGCAUUUGGAUGUCCUGUGUACGUGAUGUACAAUGCCCAAGAAAGAAUAAAGCUUGAUCUAAAAUCUAGAAGAUGUAUCUUCUUGGGAUAUACUGAUGGAGUAAAGGGGUAUCGUCUGUAGGACCCCACUGCCCACAAGAUCGUCAUCAGCAGAGAUGUUAUUUUUUGUAGAAGAUCAACUACAAAGGAAAGAUAGAGAUGAUGACACUGUAAAAGAAAAGUCAGAGACUGUGCCAGUAUAUGUGGAAAAUAAUCCAGAAGAUUCAGAUUCUUCUGAAGCAACACCAGAGCAUGAAGAAUAAGAAUCAGUCGAGUUCGAGGCUCCAGAAGUUCGUCGGUUAACUCGUGAAAGACGACCGCCAACGUGACACUCGGAGUAUGUCACAGAGAUCAACGUUGCAUACUGUUUUCUAACAGAGGAUGGAGAGCCUUCAACUUUCCAUAAAUCUUUAAACAGCUCAGAUGUUACUUUAUGGAUGACAACAAUGCAGGAAGCAAUUGAGGCUCUACAUAAGAACAAGACAUUGGAGCUUGUACCACUACUACGUGGAAGAAAAGAUAUUGGAAACAAAUAGAUCUACAAGAUCAAAUGUGAUGGUAAUGACCAAGUGGAACGGUAUCAUGCAAGAUUGGUGGUGAAAUGAUAUGCUCAGAAAGAAGGUAUUGACUUCAACGGAAUAUUUUCUCUGGUGGUUUGACUCACAACAGUCAGAAUAGUCUUGGUAAUGUGUGCUACAUUUGACUUACAUCUUGAGCAGUUAGAUGUGAAAAUUGCAUUUCUUCAUGGAGAACUUGAAGAAGAAAUUUAUAUGCUCCAACCAGAAGGUUUUGCUGAAAAGGGAAAGGAGAACUUGGUUUGCAGGUUGAACAAAUCUUUAUACGGUCUCAAACAGGCACCGAUGUGUUGGUAUAAGAGAUUUGAUUCCUUCAUCAUAAGCCUCAGAUACAAUAGACUCAGCUCAGACCAAUGUGCAUAUUAUAAAAGGUUUGAAGAUAAUGAUUUCAUUAUUUUGAUAUUGUAUGUGGAUGACAUGUUGGUAGCAGGCCCCAACAAAGAUCGAGUCCAAGAAUUGAAGGUAUAAUUGAUUAGGGAGUUUGAAAUAAAGGACUUGGGACUAGAAAAUAAGAUUCUAGGGAUGCAAAUUCACCGAGACAGAAAUAACAGGAAGAUUUGGCUUUCUCAGAAGAACUACUUGAAGAAAAUUUUGCGACGCUUCAACAUGCAAGAUUGUAAGUCAAUUUCUACCCCACUUCCUGUUAAUUUCAAAUUAUCCUUAAGUAUGUGUCUGAGCAAUGAAGCAGAGAAGGAGGAGAUGUCUCGAGUACCGCAUGCAUCAGCAGUGGGAAGUUUGAUGUUCGCUAUGAUAUGUACUGGAUCGGACAUUGCACAAGCAGUGGGAGCAGUCAGUCGGUACAUGGCAAAUCCUAGUGGAGAGUAUUGGAUAACUGUGAAGAAGAUUCUGAGAUACAUCAGAGGAACCUCAGAUGUUGCAUUAUGUUAUGGAGGAUCAGAGUUUACUGUCAGGGGUUAUGUGGAUUCAGAUUUUGUAGGAGACUUUGAUAAAAGAAAAUCCACUAUUGGCUAUAUGUUUACACUUGCAGGAGAAGCUGUAAGCUGAGUUUUGAAACUGCAGACCGUUGUGGUUUUAUCUACAACAGAAGCAGAAUACAUGGCAGCUACACAAGCUUGGAAGGAAGCUAUCUGGAUACAAAGGUUAUUGGAGGAGUUCGGGCACAAACAAGAGAAAAUUUUUGUGUAUUGUGACAGUCAGAGUGCCUUGCAUAUUGUAAGAAAUCCAGCAUUUCAUUCAAGGACAAAGCAUGUAGGAGUUCAGUAUCACUUCGUUCAAGAAGUAGUGGAAGACGGAAGUGUGGAUUUACAGAAAAUCCAUACGAAGGAGAACCUAGCAGAUGUUUUGACCAAGCCGAUAAAUACUGAUAAGUUUGUCUGGAGUAGAUUCUCUUGUGGCCUAGCAGAAACGUAGGCAACAUGACAGUGGCGAAGCAGAAACGAUGGUGUGGAGAUUGAUUGAUCCUCAAUCAAAUCUCCAAGUGGGAGAAUGUCAAAAGAUUUGGCUGCAACAUCUAGAAGCUGCAUCUAGAAGUUUUGAAGAAGCAAAAUGGGUGGCACAUGACUUUGAAGUUCUAGAUGCUGUAAUGUUUAGUAAAAGAAAAAGAAAAAAAUUCAAAGCUAAAAAAUUCAAAGUUUGAAAAUCUAAAAUUUUUGACCUGUAUGGCUUGAAAUUUUAUAGCCACGUUUUUUACUUUUGAGGCAAAGUUUUGCCUAUAAAUACAAGCUCUCAAUUUAGAGCUUGCAUCCAAUUUUGUAAAGAAAGUCGAGAGCUGUUAGAAGCAAUUCUUGCAGAGCAGAGAGUUUGUAGAGCUUAAAUAAUAAAAGCUCUUGUUUUAGUGAUUUGAGAGUUUAGGUGUAUUAGGGUUUUGGGAAGUGAGCUAAAAUACUACAAUACUUGUAACUCUUUUUCACUAGUAAAAUAUUUUCCUUCUGUCUUCGCCCGUAGAAGUAGGCUAAAAGCCGAACCACGUAAUUUCCUGGUGUCCUCUUUGUGCUUGUUCUUUAUUUUUUUUCAAUUUUAUUUUAGCUGCGGCCCUGCUUCACCCACCAAUUUUCUAACAUCGUCUUCACUGUCACCCUGUGCCUAGGUAAUGCGUGCAAAUCAUGGGGUUGAAUACACUAUUGCUGAAUUCAAUCCAAUUCAGUGGACAUUUGACAAUUCUCCCCAGGUGAGAUUGGACUUCUAGUUUCUUGUAUUUGUUUUUCUUCAUCCGAUGUUUUCAGGGAUACCUAUUUGGCAGUAUAUAAAAAUCUGUGAUAUCGUCUAUACAUAUACAUAUACAUCAUUGGCUUCAGUCAUUUGUGAACAUAUUGGUGGUAGUAGAUGUAUUUUUAUGAUAUCUCUAAUAAAAUCCUAAGUUUGAUUAAUUACAAAAGAAGUAUGAGCGGUGCUGGACCGGGGGGGAGGGGGGAGGAGUGGGGUGUCGGUGUGUUGGGGGUGUGCAGUGCAUGAAUAAAAGGAAAUGAUAGGGGGUGAAAGUUUGUGCUACCGACAUGCUGUAAAAUGGGGACACAAUAUUUCAAAUUAGAGAUUGUGAGAUCCUUAAUAUUGCUGACUUGUGCUUAAAAUGGAAUUCUUGAUAACUUCAAAUGUUAAAGUUCUUGGUGAAAUUUUGUACUUUCUUUUCUUUCAGAUUCUUGUGCCUAUUGCAAAUGGUUCAGAGGAGAUGGAAGCUGUUAUGAUAAUUGAUAUUCUGCGACGAGCUAAAGCAAAUGUUGCAGUUGCAUCAGUUGAGGAUAAACUAGAAAUUCUGGCUUCGUCAAAUUAAAUUAGUGGUAGAUGUGCUCAUUGAUGAGGCGGCUAAACUUUCGUAUGAUUUAGUUGUCUUGCCAGUGAGUUGGGGUGCUUACUCUUGCUUCAUAGUCUUUACCACAUUAUUGACUUACUAACUACAAUUUAUCCAUGCACAUUGCACAGGGUGGACUUGGUGGCGCUCAAGCAUUUGCGAAGUCAGAUAAAUUGGUGAAUAUGCUAAAGAAGCAAAAGGAAUCAAAUAGACCUUACGAUGCUAUAUGUGCAUCCCCAGCUUUAGUGUUGGAGCCCCGUGGCUUACUCAAGGUACGACCAUUUCUGCUUAAAUUAUUUACUCAGAUUUGGAUCACCUAAUCUGAACUUGAUGAGAGAUUAUGAUGUUGUAUGAUUUUAUGAAUGUGGUCUUAUCUCAUGUAAGUCAGUGAUGAAUUAAUUGGAGUUUGUUGACAAAUUAGAAGCUGAAAAACUGCUGCUGCUUCGUUAGUUACAUUACCCAAAGAGUUAAAAUUAACAUCACAAAUUUGUUAUCCCAAAUGAUAUGGCAUUUAUUGAGUGAUUGGUAUUAAUUGUAUUAUCUAACCCACCAACAGAUGAAUGCCGCACCAUUUGAGACGAUCUUUUGGGAUAAAAAAUUUGGGAAGUGCAGCAAAUUUUUAUGCCGAUUUUUUUUGGCUUCAUUCAUGUAAACUCCUCCCCCCCCCCCCCCAAAAAAAAAGGAAAACCAGCAAACACCAAAAAAAAAAAAUUCUGAAGUACUUCCCUUAAUAUCAUUCCUGUGUAUUUCUUUUCCCCUCAAGACAUAUUUAACUUUGGUUCAGGGUAAAAAAGCUACAGCUUUUCCUGCCAUGUGCAACAAGCUGUCAGAUCAGAGUGAAAUCGAAAACAGAGUUGUGGUUGAUGGCAACCUCAUCACCAGUAGAGGGCCAGGAACUUCAAUGGAGUUUGCACUGGCAGUUGUGGAGAAGUUUUUUGGCCGCAACAAGGCACUUGAGCUUGCAAAGAUAAUGCUUUUCACUCGCGCCUAACGUUUGUACCGGGACCUGACUACUAUUAAACUAGUGUGUUUAUUUCUGUAUUACUACUGCUUGUAGAGAGGGGAAACGGAAACUUGAAUUCAUGUUUGAAUAUGGAUUCACUGUGUCGGUUUGUACAGCAGUUUGGUUUAUAAAUAAAUGAGUUCAUAGAGUCAUUUCAAAUAUUUGGAAUAAACCUGAGUUUAGUUCUGUUAUCAAUGGUCGGAGUCCAAUUGCGAUCGACUCACUGGGAAUUUUAAUUAUGACCACCUUUCUCAUAUAUAUAUAUAUAUAUAUCAAAUGUUAACUCGAUUUACAGGAUAAGAAGGAAAAGAAAGACGUUAAGAGAGGAGCAGAGACCCAAAAAGAGUUGACCACUUUGUUGGAGCAUAAAUCUCUAGAAUAUUGAAAUAAAACACAUACCAUAUCUAGUAUUAAGUAUGUAUAUGCAAGAAGAUACAAAUUUGAAGAUCAGAUUUCUCAUUUCAAUUUAUGUUCUGCUUAGAGCAAUGGCUCUCAUUCCACAAGCACAAACAGGAAAGAGUACGCAUGAAGUUAGGAAACAAACAUAGCAAAAUUUGCAUUAACUACUUGCAGCAACAUCAUCCAAGAACUUGACUUUAAUCUUCUUGAGCUUCGCUGCAGCAUCUGUCAUAUGCAUUCUCUUGUCAGGUGACUCCAUACAACAAUCCAAAGCCAAAUCCAUGAUGCUUAAUAAACAAUCCAUUUUGGCAGAAAAAGCUUGCUCUUCUCGCACCAAAUUUGUGUCAACAACUUCACUCAAUCUGUGAGGUAAUGACUCCUUUACCCAUCUCCUUAAACUCAUUUCUCCUGUGAACAUUUCAUCGGUGGGCCUCUUUCUCGUGAAAGUUUCCAUCAAUAACACACCAUAGCUGUAGACAUCGCAUUUGGCUGAAACAAUUCCUUCUGAUCCAUACUCUGCAUUUUUUAAUUUUAAUUAUGAAAAAAAUGAUAAAACAAAUAAUUUUUUGAUAAUUAAGGUAACCCAAACUUUGCUCGUGCUUGAAAAAAGAGUAAAAAUUUUAAUUACAAUUGAAACUUUACCUGGUGCCAUAUAACCAAUUGUAGCCAUUGUCGUGGUUUGUGUCACAGAAUCUUCUCCUUCACCUAAGAGUUUGGAAAUGUGCCACCAUAUUUUCAUCCAAGAGAAUGUUGGUAGGCUUCAAAUCACAGUGAAUUAUAGGUGCCGACGAAUGACCAUGACGGAGAUAUUCAAGAGCCGACCCCACAUCUAUCAUUAUAUUCAACCUCUCUAGAAUGUCUAAGAAAUAGUUGUGAGAAUACAACCACUUCUCUAGACUACCAUUCGGCAUGAACUCAAGUACCAAUGCUUUGAAAUCUGGAUUAGAACAACUGCUAAUGAUCUUUAUGAGAUUUCGAUGACGAACAUUCCGUAAAACUUCACAUUCAGAAUCAAAACUCCUAAAUGCUCUCUCUAGUUGCAGAUUGAAAAUCUUUAUCGCAACAUAAGUCCCGUUGGAAAUGGUUCCUUUAUAAACUGAUCCAAAGCUACCUGUACCCAGCAAGUUACAUUCAUUAAAUUCAUCAGUUGCUCGUUGAAUGUCUAGGUACGAUGUUCUUCUCCAUGUUGCAAGAGGUAGGAAAUCUUCGUGAUCUGAUUUUUUUGUACUCCUCUUUCGGCAUCUUAUGUACAUAAUGAUGAUAAUUACUAUAAGUACAGAGGAUACUAUCGGAGGCAAAAUAUAUUUAAGGACAAUUAGAGCAACGUUCUUGGUGCUUUUGCUGUCACCUUGUUUGCAAGGUGGGACUCGGAGUUUAGGUGGACCACAGAGUGCAUAAUUUUUGAAAAAUGAUUCAACUGACAAGUUUUUAAAAGAUCCCUUAACAGGAAUUUACCCUUCUAGCCUAUUAUGAGACACAUUAAAUUGUUUGAGAUGUGAAAGUGUCUCCAAUGACUUGGGAAUUUUUCCAGAGAGAUUGUUGCCGGAGAGAUCUAAGGAUUCUAAGCUUAUCAAACUGCCAACUGAUUCAGGAAUAGGUCCUUGAAAUUGAUUACUAGCCAAGGAUAGAAUUUCUAGAUCUACGAGGGCACCAAUAGUUGAUGGAAUAUCACCUGAUAAUUGAUUCCUUGAUAAAUCUAAAACUCUCAAGACCUUUAACUUUUGUAUAUUGGAAGGGAGAGAAUCAUUUAAUGAAUUUGACGACAAGUUUAUCAUCAGGAUGUACUCAAGGCUCCACAAGGAUGACGGUAUACUAGAACUGAGCUUGUUGGAGCCUAAGUGGAGUUCUCUUAGAGAUGUCAAACUCGCCAGGCACGGUGGUAUAUGUCCAGAGAGCUUAUUUCCACUUAAGUUUAAUAUAUUCAACCUCUCCAAAUGGCAAAGAUCAUGAGGAACGUAUCCUUGCAAAUUAUUCUCAGGGACAUAAAAACCUUGUAGCUGCUGUAGUGUGCCUAUGGAUGUUGGAAUAGUUCCAUUCAAGUCAUUGAAGCCGAGUCUUAAGGCGAUCAAGCCACGUAAAUUACCAAUUUCUUAUGGAAUGCUGCCCCCGAGCCUGCACUCGAAUGCAUAAAUAUUCUGAAGAGAAGCAGAGAAAUUUCCAAUUAAUUGUGGAAGGAUGCCACCUAAUGGAUUAGAAGCUAAGGCUAAAUUGGAUAGAUUUCUGCAAUUAGUCAAAGAAGAGAGAAAACUCCACUGAUCUGCUGAAGAGGAUUCUGUCGUCAAGUUAUUCAUCAUAACGUUGAGCACGCUGAGGUGUCUCAAGUUGCCAAAUGUAUUUGGAAUAUGGCCCGAGAAUGAGUUAAAGCCCAAGUCUAGGCCAAUGAGUUUAGUAGCAUUGGUAAUAGAGUUGGGAAUUUUCCCUAUAAGAUUAUUGGUCGACAAGGCUAGAUACUCUAUGUUCCGAAGCGAGUGGCCAAUCGUUGACGGUAAGCGGCCUGAGAGUUGAUUGCUCUCUAGAGUAAGGAUUCUCAUGGUUGAAAUAUUGAAGAUCGUGGGUGGAAUGAGGCCACUUAAUUUAUUAUCAGCAAGAUCAAGAUUCUUCAAAUUUUGUAGACUGCCAAUCUCGGUUGGAAUUUGACCUGCCAUCAGGCCAACAUUGAGAAGUCAUUGAGCUUUUAACUUAAGGUGAAUUGAGUUUGACAAUGUUACCCUUCAAAAUGUAAAAUGAUCAAAUUAAAUUUAUUACAUAAUAAUUUCAGCCAAUAAUGUUCUUUAAAAUAUUUCAUAGAUAACUCUGCAAAAUAUGCACGCAAAUGGAAAAUUAUGCUUUAAUUACAAGAGGUGGUGGAACGUACCUUGAAGAUUGCAAGACCAAAGACCCAGAUUCACGAGUUUUCUCAAAUUUCCAAUCCUUGAAGGAAUAGUUCCACCAAUAAUAUUGAACUCUGCACGCAGCAUCUCUAGCCUUGAUAAGUUGAAGAGAGAAUUAGGGAUGGGACCUGUGAAAUUGUUAUAAUCAAGUCUCAAUAUUCGAAGUUUAGAUAAGACACCAAUCCAUGAUGGAAAGCUUCCGCUCAAUUUAUUGUAAGCGAGACUCAUGACUCUGAGUCGACGUAAUUGCCCCAAUUCUUUCGGCAGAUGGCCAUGAAAAUUGUUCUCACUGAUGUCAAGAGACACUAGAAAUGAGAGAUUUCCGAAGUGUAGUGGAAUCGUGCCUCCGAGACCCAUAUCUGAAAGAUUCAAGGCAGUGACUCUUUGAUGGCGUGAACCACAAGAGAUACCAGCCCAGCUACAUAUUGGAUAAGAUAUAGACCAAUUAUUUGCCAGGGCACUCCGAUAAUCAAAAGCAUGGGCUUUGAAUGCUAGAAGAGAUGAUUGAUCUGUUGUUAAAUCGUUUAAAGUCGUCAUAGCUAAGCUGGCAAUGAGAUAUUGUAACACCAACAUAGGAACAAACAAGAAUAUAAACGCAUAUUGGUCGUUUUUAAUAGUAGUUGCAAGGCGAGAUUGAUACAAGUUUUAAGUGAAGGAAAUUAGCAUAUACUUAUAAUGAGACAUAUGAAUUUGAAAAUAAGAGCAGAAAAAAAAUACAGGAGACUUGCGAAUUGUUAUAUUCUCUCAUUGAGCGAGCCGUCCAAGAAAACGCAUUUAUACUUGAACCCUAAAUAAAGGCCUUAUGGCACUUUAAUUGCCAAAAGGAAGAAGAUGUUCUUUUUCUAAGGCUUAUGGCAACCAUAAUAUGUUCUUUUUCUUUUCUCUAAAAAGAAAAAAAAAAAAAAAAGGCAACCUUCACUUGACUUGGUCUAAUAAUUAUCACUAAACAAUUAAUAAUACUAAGGGUCAGUGGCAUCCAGCUUUAAAAUAACGACAUAAUUGGGGUAAGUUGUGUUUUAGAAAUAAAGAAAAUAGAUAACUAUACCUCCAUAAUUUGAUGAAAUAAUCAUAUAGACUUUCAAAUUUUUAAGAAUGGAUACUAAAACCCUGUUAUGUUACUUUCUACAGUUUAUUUAGAUGUCAAAUGCCUUUUUUUUUUUUCUCCUUUUUUCCACUGUGGAUGUCAAAUGUAAAAUUUAUUGUUAUUCCAAUAUCAUGUCAUCACUUGCUUCUAUACAUGGAACGAUAUAUUGACUGUUUUUCCAAAGUUUUAAAUUGAAUUAAAAACAUUCUAAUUAACCUUUAAAAAAAAGUCAUCCAACCAAAUAUAAAUCUUCUAAUUAACCUAAAAAUAGCUACGCCCCCUAUUAAUUUGAAUUAAAUAAAUCUUCAUUUUUGUCAUGAUUUUGGAUCGCCAAUGGGGUGGAUAUAUCCAACCAGAUCCGCCUCAUUGGCAUUCCUAUAUAUUCUGGAAUUGGAAGAGUAUCAACGACUUAAUGUGUAAUUCUAAAUUUGUAACGUUUAAUUCUAAUUUGAGGAUUCAAAUGAAUUUAUGAUGAUCUAAAAGGGGACUGAAGAUUGGCAUGCAUACACACAUACACACAUACAUAUAUGUAUAUAUAUAUAGAGAGAGAGAGAGAGGGGUAAUAUAAUAACAUUCUUCUUGAUGAAGAUUUUUGUGCCAUACGAAUUAAAUAAAGUGUUGUGUCGACGUUCGAGGCUAGAUUGGUUACAUUGCUUCAGAGGUGUUUAGUAGAAACUUUGUUGAGGCAUCACAUAAUUGAAAUUACUAGAUUUAGCGAGAUGUAUAUAUUUUCCACAUCUUCGAGCAGGUGUUUAGCAGGAUAAGCAUCGAGGAAAGUGAAAUUGCUAAGAAGAUGAAUAUUGUUGUUUUGUGGUGUAUACGGACUCGUCCAUCGGAUAGGUCGCCCAUGAACAGAGUGAUAGAAAUGUUAUUGCAAAGAAGCAGACUGACUAGCAGUGACGCUUUGAAAAGUCCACCGGACAUCUUCUCCUCCAAGACCACCAAUAUAUUCUUCCACCAUUCAACGUCGUGACGUGGGGAUCGGAAUUAAAUUAUAGGAUGCUUGUAAGUUUCCUUUGUGGAACUUGUGAAUUUGUGAUGGCAAAAGUCGAUGAUGUAUGCAACUAGCCGGCCCGUGUAGAGUCCGUUUGACUCAUAAAUAUUUGUCACUUUCACUCUUUUUCAAAACCCAAAAGCACGCUAAAUCUUAAUCUUAAAACAAUUUUUGAUUGAGUGCUGACAUUUUGGGCUUAUCUUUAAGUAAUCUUAUACCACGCAUGCAUUUUUGUCGUUGUGCGGUCAUCGUUACUUCUAAAGAUCGUAAUCUUUAAGAAAAAAAUUACUUCUCUUGAAAGUGAAAGCAGGGCAGCUAUUGGCGUAUUGCAAUGCAGCUGCUAUGUAUAGUAGUCAAUUCUUGAAAAGAACUAGUUUUCUUAAAUUGUAAAUGGUCCCCUUUAUGACUGGGAGAUUUUGAACAAAAUGAAUAUGAUGAAUUCUUUCCUUGAAGUCUCAUCUUUCAUAAUGAUUUGGAAAUAAAGAUAUUACCAUCUCUGGCUAAAUGUUUACUCUUGAUUUGGACCACCUAAUCUGAACUUGAUGAAAGAUUAUGAUCUUGCCUUAUUUUAUGGAUGUGGUCUUAUCUCACUAAGUCAGUAAUGAAUUAAUUAAAGUUUACUGUCAAAUUACGAACUCAAAAACUGCUGCUGCUUCAUUAUUCACAAUACCCAAAUUCAGUGCAGAACUUAUUAUAAGUUUUCCGAAAGUUUUAUGCUUUCUUUCCCCCAAAUCCCAAGUGCUUCCUGUAAUAUCAUUCCCCUGUAGAUGUCUUCUCCUAAGACAUGUUUAACUUUGGUUCAGGGUAACAAAGCUAUAGCUUUUCCUGCCAUGUGCAACAAGCUACUAAAUUGGAGUAUUUAUGAGUUGAUAACAAGCCAUUUUAAAUAUUUGCACCAAAAAAAAAAAAAAAGGUGAGUGAUGUCGAGUUCUAAUUUCAAUGUUCAGAGUAGAAUUUUGAUUACUGGAAAUUUUAAUUUAUGAAGUUGAACUAAGAAUUUGUUAUAAUAUAUUCCACCUUCCUAUACAGUCAUCUGGAAUAAUAAUAUAUCAAAAACAGUAAUAAGUCGAUUUGCAGGGUAAGAAAGAAAAGAAAGACGCUACGAGAGAAGCAGAGAUUCAAAGACUUCACCACUUUGUUGGAGGAAAAAUUUCAUAAGUCUCCAGAAUAUUGACAUAAAACACAUACCAUAUCUAGCAUUAAGUGUAUUUAUAUAUGUCCAAAGAUAAAAAUCGAAGAUUAGAUUUGUCAUUUCAAUUUAUGUUCUGCUCAAAGCAAUGGCUUUUAUUCCACAAGCACAAACAAGAAAGAGUACGCACAAAGUUAACAAGCACACAUAGCAAACAUGACAUCAACUACUUGCAGCAGCAUCAUCCAGAAACGUCACUAUAAUCUUCGUAGAUGCCCCCUGUUCUGGUGAUUCCAUGCAAAAAUCCAAUGCCGAAUGCAUGCUGCUUAAUAAACAACUCAUUUUAGCAGAAAAAGCUUGCUCUUCUCUCACCAAGUUUGCAUCGACAACAUCACUCAAUGCAUGAGUUAAUGACUCCCUUACCCAGUCUCUUAAACUUAUUUCUCCCGUAAAUAUUUCAUUUGUCGGCUUGUUUCUGGUGAAAGUUUCCAUCAAUAAAACACCAUAACUGUAGACAUCACCUUUGGCCGAAAUCAUUCCUUCUAAUCCGUACUCUGCAUUUUUUUGUUUCAAUUGAUCAAAUAGAUGUGACAUCAUAAAACAAAUGAUAAACAAAUAAUCUUUUGACAGUCAAGAUGGCCCAAACUUUGACUGUGCUUAGAAAAGAGCGGAAAUUUGAAAUUAUAAUUGAAACCUUACCUGGUGCCAUAUAACCAGUUGUAGCUACUGUCAUGAUUUGGGUCACAGAAUUUUCUUCAUCACCUAAGAGUUGGGAAAUGCCAAACUCACAUGUGCCACCAUAUUUUCAUCCAAGAGAAUGUUGCUAGGCUUCAAAUCACAAUGAAUUACAGGUGCUGAUGAAUGAUCGUGAUGGAGAUAUUCAAGUGCCAGCUGCACAUCUAUCAUUGUAUUCAUCCUCUCUAGGAUAUCUAGGAAAUAGUUGUGAGAACACAACCAUUUCUCAAGACUACAAUUGAGCAUGAACUCAAGCACCAGUACUUUAGAAUCUGGAUCGCAACAGCUGCUAGUGAUCUUUAUGAGAUCUUGAUGACGAACAUUCCACAGUACUUCACAUUCAGAAUCAAACCUCCUAAAAGCUCCCUCUAGCUGCAGAUUGAAAACCUUUAUUACAAUGAUAGUCACAUCAUAAAGUGUGCCUUUAUAAACAUAUCCGAAGCUAUCCGUACCUAGCAGGAUACAUUCAUCAAGGGUGCGUUUGGGAUUGGGGUUGGGCAGCUGUAGCUUAAAAGCUACAGCACUAAAGUGUUUGGUAAACACUAACUGCUGUAGCUUUAAAGCUAUGUUGAUAUGAUUUUUCACUUGUAUAAUAUAAAAUUUAUUAUAUCUUUAAUAAUCUUAUCAAAAUUAGUAUUUAAAAUUUAUAUUUACUAUAUAUUAUUAACUUUUGUUUCAUAAUUACAGCUUUUUUUUCACAACAGCUGUAGCUUAAAAGCUACAGCACCUCAAUCCCAAACACACCCUAAAUCCAUCAGUUGCUCGUUGAAUAUCAUGAUAGGAUAUUCUUCUCCAUGUUGUCGAAGAGAACAAAUCUUCUUUAUCUGGAGUUCUUGUUUUCCUAUUUUGAAAUAUUAUGAAGAAUCAUAACAAUUGUUAUUAGUACAUUGGAUAUAAUUGAAGGCAAAGUAUAUUUCCGGACAAGCAGAGUAGCAUUCUUGGAUCCUUUGCUAUUAUCUUCUUUGCAAGGUGGGACUUGAAGUCUUGGUGGACCGCAUAGUGCAUAAUUCUCAAAAAAACGAUUGAGCUGAAAUGUUUUUAAAAGGUCCUUUGAUAGGAAUUCCCCCUUCUAGCUUGUUGUGAAAAUUUUAAUAUACUCGCAAGCACACGAAUUUAGAAAUAUAAUAAUGGUAACGAGGGCGAUCCCACGUGGAUUGUUAUAAAUUGAAAAGUUUAAUUUAAAUCUAAAAUUAAUAUUAAUCAUAACCUAGUUGAGCGAAUUGAGUUUUAAAAGAAAUUAAACUAAUUAAACUAAGAAAACAAUUAAAGUAAAUGAGAUUUCAAUAAGAUAAAAAUUACCAAGGUUUCAGAAUCCACCACUAUUCAACUAGUAAUUAUCUAAUUAUUAAUUAAUCCCUAAUUUUAGAGUGACAACUCGAAAUCAAUUUAUGUCAUCUCAUGGAUACAACAAUUAAGUCAAAUAAAAUUAAUCUUGUGUAGGUUCUUUUUCUGCUUAAUAGUAUGAUAUCUAAGUAUUCCAUGUAAACAUAUUGAGUAACAAAGAGUCAAAGUUUUCCUAAGUACUCUGUGUAAAUAAUUUAAUAAAAGACAUAGAAUCAAAGAUAAUCAUAUAUAAACUUUAUAGAUUCAAGCAUAGAUUUAAUCGAAUAUUAAUCGUAACAAUCAAUAAUACAUGACAGAAUUAAUGAAAAGAUUUUAAUAACAUCUAAUUAAUCAUGUAAAAUAAAAACCAUAAUCAUCAAAGAAUAUCUAUAGGGAAUUAAAUAAAUAAAAAGAUAAUUAUUUCAUUGAAUAGAGUUUCAUCCUUAAGCUCAGUAUAAGAAAAUUAACUAGACGUACUUAAAUAGGGAGCAACAAAAAAAAUAAAAUCAGCCAUGAAAAGCCGAACUGUUGCAGUCGGAUUUCUCCCUAAUCGCGUCUGCGCUUUUCUUUUCUUUUCCUCUGGCGGCUGCCCCUCCUCUCCAAAAGCCAAAAGCUUGCUUUUAUAUUUAGUCUUUAAAAUGGGCCCCACCUCUUAAAUUCUAAAAAGGGCUUGGCCCUUUUAUUUGCUUCGUCUUGCACGUGCACUCCACUUGGAAUUUUCACUCUUUUUUUUAACGCCAUACAAUUGCUUCUCACGUGAUGGCCAUAAUCUUCUUUAUCUUCAUGUGCAUGGAUGAAUGAACUUGUCUUGAAUUCACAUGCAUAUUUGCCUAAUUGCUCCUAAAAUCAAUCAAUUAAUACCUCCAAAAUUUAGCUCUUUUAUGUCCUUUUUUAUCCAUAAUCUCCAAUUAAUCCCCUACUCAAUAAAAUAAUUCAAUUAAUUAAAAAUAACAAAUAAAAAUAACUAGCAAUUAUAUAAUUAAGGGUAAAAUAUGUAUGUAUUAUAUACUCAUCAUAGCUUAUUGUGAGACACAUUACGUUGUUUAAGAUAUGAGAGUGCCUCCAUUGACUUUGGAAUUUCUCUAGAGAGAUUGUUGCUAGGGAGAUCCAAAGAUUCCAACCUUAUCAAACUACCAAAUGAUUCAGGGAUCAGACCAUAAAAUUGGUUUCUAGCCAAGGAUAAAGUUGCUAGAUCUUUGAGGCCACCAAUACUUACUGGUAUAUCAACUGAUAAUUGAUUUCUUGAUAAAUCAACUCUAUUAAGACCUUUAAGUUUUGUAUAUCUGAAGAUAGAGGACCACUUAGAGAAUUUGUUGACAAGUUUGCAUACAAGAUGUACUCAAGACUCCACAAGGAUGAUGGGAUACUAGAAGUGAGCGUGUUGGAGCUUAAAAAGAGUGUUCUUAGAGAAGUCAAACUACCCAAGCAUUGCAGUAUAUGCCCGAAGAGCAUAUUUUGAUUUAAAAAUAAACCAGUCAACCACUCCAAGCGGCAAAGAGUUAAAAGAUAAAAUGCUCUGUAGAUUUUGUUUGUUUACUUAGAAAACAGGAGAGAAAGUUUAUUGACUUAGAGAAAAUACAAAGCUCAACAUAUUCAUUAAUUACAAUACAACACUAUUUAUAUUAGUGUGUAAAAUCUUCUCAAGGUUACAAGUUUACAAAACUUGUGAGCACAGAUUCUGGUAUUCAUAACAAACUUUUGGAGGGAAGCUAAUUAGCUUUCAACUAACUGCAAAACUAACUUUCCAGCAUGGCUUGAUGACUCAGCAGAUGACUCAGCAUUUUAUUCUUAACAUGCCCCCGUAAGCUCAAGGUCGUGGACAGACAUUGAGCUUAGUUCGCAUAUAGGCAAAAUGAUCAAAGCUCAGAGGUUUUGUAAGCACAUCAGCUAACUGAUUAGAACUGGACACAUGCUCAAUGAAUAGCUGCUUAUUAGCUAUGUGUUCUCUGACAAAAUGUCAAUCCAAUUCUAUAUAUUUAGUUCUGGAAUGAUACUUAGGAUUGCUGACCAAAGCUUCUGCACUGUUGUUAUCACAAUGAAGAGCAAGAGGUUUGUGGAGUGAUACUUUGAGCUCUUUCAACAGAUAUGUAAUCCACAAAACUUCAGACAUAGCCAAGGCUAAAGCUCUAUACUCAGAUUCAACAGAUGAUCUGGAAAUAAUGUUUUGUUUCUUAGAUGACCAAGACACAAGGUUUGAUCCAAGAUAAACACAAUACCCUCCAAUAGAUCUCCAGUCAUCUGGAUCAGACCCCCAAUCUGCAUCAGAAGAUGCUAUGAGAAUUGGAGAGCUUGACUUGAAGAACUAAAGUCCAAAAUGUGUUGUACUCUGCAGAUAUCGUAACACCCUCUUGCAAGCCUGCCAAUGCAAAGUAGUUAGAGCAGCUAAAAACUGGCUCAAUUUAUUUACUGUGAAUGCAACAUCUGGUCUGGUCAGUGUCAGAUAUUGCAGAGAACCAAUGAUGCUUCUGUAAAGUGAAGAAUUUUCAAAUGUGCAGCCUUUGUCCUUCUGCAACUUAUCAGCAACACUGAUGGGUGUAUUACAACCUUUUUUUUUUUUUUGAGAAGGGUGUAUUACAACCUUUACUUCCAAGCAUUUGAGCUUUUCUCAAGAUAUCACCAACAUACUUAGUCUGAGAUAGAUGUAAUCCUUCAGCAGAUGGAGUCACUUCUACCCCAAGGAAAUAAUUGAAAUCUCCUAAAUCUUUAAGUGCAAACUCUGAGCUGAGUUGACUGAUAACCUCUGUAAUGUAAACAUUACUAGAGACUGUUAUUAAGAUAUCAUCUACAUAGACAAGGAUGAUUAGAACAUCACAUCCAAUAUGCUUAAAAAAUAAUGAGGUUUCUGACUUGGAAGACCUGAAACCCCACUGAACUAGAGAUCCUUUCAGCCUAUCAUACCAAGCCCUGGGAGCCUGUUUAAGACCAUAAAAGGCUUUAUGUAAUUUGCAGACAUGAUUGGGAAACUGGGAAUUGGUAAAGCCUUCUGGCUGAGGCAUAAACACAUCUUCAGUAAGCAUGCAAUUAAGAAAGGCAUUGUUAACAUCUGAUUGCCGAAUUGGCCAACAAUUCAUGACUGCUAAGCUGAGAACAAUACGAACAGUGCAGGGUUUAACAACGGGACUAAAGGUUUCAAAGAAAUCUACUCCAUAAGUUUGAUGAAACCCUUUUGCAACCAACCAAGCCUUAUACUUGGAAAUGCUGCCAUUUGGGUUAUACUUCACUCGAAAAACCCACUUAUUGCCAACAAGUUUUGUAGCUGUUUCAGCUGGAACUAAUGUCCAGGUGCCAUUUUUCUGCAAAGCAUUAUACUCAUCUUGCAUAGCCAUCUUCCACUUUGUAUCAACCAAGGCUGCUUUAACACUCACUGGUUCAAGGUCUUGGGUAGCUGUAAGGUAGGUCUUUGGUUUAAAAACACCAGAUUUGGCUCGAGUAACCAUUGGAUGAGUGGAAAUUAUAGGAUGAGGAGAUGGUUGUGAUUCAACAUAAGGAUUGGAUAAAGAAUUAUGUGAUGAAGAAUGUGGUCAUGAUGAGUUAGAGGAAUCUGAUAUUGGAGAGGGACAAUGAGAAUAUGGAGCUUGUUGAGGUUGUUGAGGUGAAUGUGAAGAUGGUGAUAUUGGUAACACUACUGAAGCAGGAGAUAUAGCAGAUGACUGAUGCAAGCCAUUGUCAUUGAGGAUACAAAUAGAUGGAGAGUAGGAUGAUAGAGACUCAGAGGAAGAUUCAGAUGAGAAGAACAACUCUGAGUAGGGAAAAUCAGACUCAUUGAAAAUAAUAUGAGCUGCAACAUAGACUUUGCCUGAUUUUGUUAGACAUCUAUACCCUUUGUGAAGAGGACUGUAUCCUAAGAACAACCUUUUUUUUUUAAUGAAAGUCAAGCUUGUGGUUAUUGUAAAGUCUGAUAAAAGGGUAACAAGCACAGCCAAAAACUCUGAGAAGUUGGUAAUUUGGUGGCUGAUUAUGAAGUUUUUGAUAGGGAGAUAAGUUGUUAAAUGUAGUGGUAGGCAUUCUAUUAAUGAGAUAAGAGGCUGUAUGAAAAGCCUCCCACCAGAAAGAAAUAUGCAUUUUUGCUUGAGCAAGAAGUGUUAAUCCAAUUUCAACUAAGUGUCUAUGCUUUCUCUCAACAACACCAUUUUGGUGAUGUGUAUAGGGACAACUAAAUCUAGCUUGGAUGCCUUCUUAUUGAAGAAAGGACUGAAAGAUUUUAAAUUCACCUAAGCUCUUAAAGUUUUUUAAAGUAGUAAGAGCAUAUGAUUUCAAUACUAAGGGAAAGAUCCAACAAUAUCGGGUGAAAUCAUCAACAAAGGAGAUAUAGUAUCUAUAACCAUCCAAUGAUAAGACAAGUGCUGGUCCCCAUAAAUUUGUGUGUAUCAAUUCUAAAGGACAUUUUGUUUUGAUUUCAGUAGCUGGAAAAUGCAAUUGGUGUAACUUUCCAAGUUGACAGGCAUCACAGAAAUGAAAAAUUGAUUUGUUAACAUGAACUGACAGUAAACAAUUGUUCCUGAGAAUAGUUUGUAUAACAUGUUUGCUUGGAUGACCAAGUCUGUUAUGCAAUACAUUAGCUGACAUAGAACCUGAAGCUUGAAAGCUUAUAGGAGAUGUAGACUCAAAACAAAAGCCAUUAUUUGAAUUUUGAACAGAAGUAACUGCAUUAUUGAAAGAAAGGGUUGACAUCAUAGAACUAGGAUGACACAUUUGCAGAAAAGAAGAGGAAUGAGAGAUAUAUUCCUCUUUUGACAGUAGCUUGUACAGACCAUCUUUAGCAAUCCCUUGAGCUAACAGAGUGCCCUUCGCCUUGUAUUUUAGAAAGCAAAUGUAACACCCCAAAAAUUACCCAUGAAAACACAAGGGUAAAAUUGGAAUGAAACCUCACAUCAUUUAUUCUUAUUAAUAAAUCUCAAGAUAAACAAUCAUUAUUCAUACUCCAACUGAAUCCUUACAUAAAACAUAUGAAAUAAAGUCUCCAAAGUAAAGUCUCUAAUCCAAAAUAAAAAGUCUAGCCAAAUUUAAUCUUUAAAGCAACUCCAAAGAUCCACUAAGAAAAAUUCUCCAUCUAAGCACCCAAGCCACAUUUCUAAUCAAUCUGCAAAAUAUUAGAGACGAGGGGUGAGCCGUCAACUCGGUAAGCAGAUCCAUGCACAAUAUUUGAAAACCUUUGUCAUGUAUCGUUAAACAUUUUAUAACAACAUCUUCAUUUAGCAUAAGGGGUGGAUUCAUAUAAAAACAUUAAAACAUUUAUAAAAACAUUAAAGCGUAAACAUUGGUAGCUCAUGCCUCAUAGUCAUCAUCAUUCAUCAUUCAUCAUUCAUCAUUCAUCAUUUAGGGUGUUAUACCCUGCAUUGUUCCUCAUUCAGGGUACUAUACCCCACAUUGUUCGUAACAUCCUUGUGCACAAGAUCAUCAUCAUACCAGCAAGCUGGCCAUAACAUUUCAUAACAUCAUAACAUUAACAUCAUAUACAUUACUACGGACUAUGAGCCAAAACAUUUUUGAAUCCACCAUACAUUCUUUCAUAAAUAGCAGUUAAAGUCUUCUAAAACAUUUAAGAACCUUUCUUUGAUCAUUUAAUUCUUUUAGAAAAUUCUUUAAGAAAACAUUUUGUUUAAGAAAACUAAUUUCUUAAGAAAAAUUAAUUUUAAAAUAAUUUUAUAUAAAUUCAUUUAAAAGUGUUUUUAUUUUACAAAAUUAAUUUAAAUAUUUUAGAAAUCAGUUUUGUAAAAAUUUCCAUUUAAACAUAAUUUGUAACGUAAAUUGCAUUUAUUAUAAAGCACAUCAUGCAUGAAUCUACUUACCUCGAUCCGUAGCAAUCAAUUCAAUACCUCAAGAACAACCAACGAGCUCACCCUCGUCCUAUAAUCAUCAUAAAAAUAUUCUUAUCAAUAUCAUCUCUAACCUUAAACAUAAUCCCAAUCAUCCUUAAAUCAUAGACACUAAUACUACCUUAAUACUUAUACAUAUUCUAAACAUAUCCUAUACUUAUGAGUAUCCUGCACAUGCUGAUUUUUAAUAACCUAUACACAUGUCGGAAAACCAUGAAAAUUUACAGAGGCACUGUGAACAUGCAUAGCAUUGCAUACAAUAUUUCACAAAAAAAUCAGCACAAGUCAAAAUCGAGUCAGAAUAUUGACCUUUCACCAAAGUUAGAGCUGGCAAAAUGGGUCAUCGGGUCGUGUUCGUGUCGUGUCAGCUUCGUGUCGUGUCAAAUUUAGGUCGACCCAAACCCGACCCAUUUAAUAAUCGUGUCAAAAUAUUGAGAUCCAAACCCGACACGGAAAAAUAACCGGGUUACCCAAUAACCCGUUUAAUAUCUAUAUAUUGAACAAAAGUUACAUCAAAUAUUUACACACUAUCAUACAUACGUAUGUACAUAAAUACAUACAUACAUACAUACAUACAUAAUUUAUCGAUAUUAUAAAAUAUACAUAUCUACCAAUAUAUUACACAUGUACACUAUUGAGUUUUAAUUAUAUAUAUAUAUAAUAUUAUAUAUCAAUAUUAUAAAAUAUACAUGUCUAUCAAUUUUUACACAUUUACACUAUUGAAGCUCUAAAUGUAUGUAAAAUUUUAUAAAUAAAAUAUUGUGUUUAUAUUCACCCUUUUAAAGAAUAAAAAAAAAAAGAAAAUCAUCUCUAAUAUUUGAGUUUUAAUUAUAAGAAUAUGUAAAUUAUUUUAAAAUAGAAAAUAUAAUCGGGUCAUUGAUCGGGUAAAUGGGUCAAGAAUUUUAACCCAAACCCGACACAGAAAAAAAUCGUGUUGACCCAGACCCGACCCAUUUAAUAAUCGUGUUAAAUUUGACGACCCAUACCCAUUUAUUUAUGUCGUGUUCGUGUCGGGUAAUCGGGUCGUGUCAAAUUUUGCCAGCUCUAACCAAAGUAACAAAAACUGUCCAGCACUGACCAAAACAGACCUUUUCCAAUUAGAAAAUUCAUAAAAUAUUCUUUGGUACUCGAAAUAAUAUGUUUCUUUUUUCUAAUUACAGAAGACACAUUCAAAAAGCAUAUAAUUAAAAUUCAUAAUUUUUGGACUCCUGAAACUAUUUUAAAACGUUUUAUUUCCGAGAACAUCUAACCCGUCCAGACAAUUCCAGAUUUGAAAACAGAAUUUCAAAAAUUCGUAUCUUUUAUUUUACAUGCCCAAAAAUCGUGAUUCCAGUUUUUAAAGACAGAGGAAAGAUUCAAAUUUCAUUAUAAAAUCCUAACAUGGCCUGUAAUAUUCAUAAACUAGCCCAACUGUUACACGUUUCAGCUUCUGAAAUUCUGGAAAACAGUUUCCAGAUUUGCAGCAGCCAUAUGUUACGAUUUUUAGUAAUUCAACCAUAAAGAAUAAAACUACGAAAUUAAACAUGCAAGCAUAGGAGACAUAGAUCUGUUGGCAAAAAAAUCGGCAUAAUUUUAAAGGAUGUGUAACCUUAUAGAAAAAUUUCCAGAGUUGAGAACCGCUGCUGAAAAUCGGAAUUUUCCAGCACCAGUAACCCAACUUCGAAAACCCAGAACAAUUUGCAUACUCAGACGAUUUCAACACAAAGCCUAUCAAUGGAAAGCCUGGGAUGUCUAGUUCCAUGAUAUGUAAGAUAUUCAAGUGAUUCUAAAUAAAGAAAACGAUUUCAAGCAAGGAAUAGAGAGUGUUCAUAUCAUCACAACAUUACAAACACACAUAUAUUACCCAAAUCAUACUACAAGUAAUUAAAGGCCAACAAUUCCAUAAAAAUAAAUCAUAUAAGUCGAAGAAAUACUUAAUACCUUAAGGCAAACACUAAGAAAGAAGUGAUAAAACUUUCUUUUCCUUCUCCAAAGACUUAUAUUUCCUUCUUUUCUUUCUAGGGUUUGUAACGGUGUAAAAAAAUAAAAGACGGCUUCUUAAAAAAGAUGGUUUUCUCUUAAAUACUAGGUAAUUAAUAAAUAUUUAAAAAGAAAAAAAACUAAUAACUUACGUAACUUAUUUAAAACAAUCCGAUAAAUUUUACUCACACACAAACACUCAAUAAUAACUAUCCUACUCAAUUUAAUAAGGGCAAAAGAGGAAAAUUAAAUAAAUAAAAUUGGGCGUUACAGCAAACAUCAAAGAAAAAUUCAAUGGUUAUAUCAUUAUCAGUGAGGAGUUUGGAAAUACUAAUGAGGUUUUUGGUAAUUUGAGGAACACAUAAAAUAUUAUGUAGUUGUAAACAGGUGCCAAAAGAAGUGUAAAGUUGAGUAUAACCUAUGUGAGUGAUUCGAAGGCCUUGGCCAUUACCAACAGUUAGUAAAUUUGAGCCAAAAUAGAUCUUACCAUCACUCAGAUUCUGAACUGUGUUGGUUAAGUGAUGAGUUGCACUACUGUUCAGAAACCAUCCUUGGUCAGCAACUCCCUCAGAUGUUGUUAUGAAGGCUGCUCUUGGUCCCUAAUGCUGAUUAGAGAAGUGAUUUGGAGCUGGAGCUGGAAAAUUUGGAACAAAAUUCCUGUUGAACCUGUCUCUGCACUCACCUGCUGUGUGAUUAAACCUGAAGCAUAUUUGGCAAGCAACACCAGUUCCCUGAGCAAAAUUCUUUCCAGCGCCUCCUGAAUUGAAACCACCUCUGCCAUAAUUGUUAUUGAAGCCACCAGGACCAGGAAAUCCAUUGUUAAAUCCACCAGCAAAACCUCUGAAGUUGUUAUUAUUCCAGUUUCCUGUUCCUGGAUUGAUUCCUUGAUAACCACCUCUUCCAUUACCACCAAAACCACCUCUUCCACCAGAAUUAUUGUUCCAAUUAUUUCCUCCAGCCUUGUUCUAGUUGUUUUGAUUAUUAUUAUUACCUUUCUUUGAAAAAUUUCCAGCCUGAGCUAUAUUUGCUGCAUAAUUGUUCUUGGUUUCCUUACUAUCAUGAAGCUUAUUGUUCUCAAGUCUAGCCUCAUGUGUGAGAAACAUAGCAUAAGCCUCACUAAGAUCCAUAUUCAACAUAUUUGCCUCAAUAUAGACAACUACAAGAUAAUAUGACUGAUCUAGGCCAGAGAUAAGAUGAGUAAUUAGAUCCAAAUCAUUCACAGGACUACCAACUAGAGCAAGACCAUCUGUGACUGUUUUAAGCUUUGUAAAAUACUCAGACAUGGUUAAAGAUCCUUUUCGCAGGUUACUUAGAAGCAUUUUCAGAUGAACCUUCUUAGCCAUAGAUUCAGAUCCAAAUUGUUUUUCAAGGUUUUUCCACAACUCAAAAGAGGUCUUAGAGCUUACCACAAGACUAAGAAUAUCAACAUUCAUGGAUGACAUAAUCCAACUGAGCAGGAGCUGAUCUUGACGUUUCCAAGCUGCAUACUCUGGAUUCUCUUGACCUUCGAUGCUGGAAGAAGAAGAACCUUCAGAUCUAGCCUCUGGUGGAAGAAAUUGACCAGGACAGAUCCUGGAUCCAUCAAUAUAGCCUUCAAGACCAUUGCCACGAAUUGAAGAAAGUACUUGCUGUUUCCAGAUCAUAUAGUUCGAGCGAUCAAGCUUGAUUGGAUUUGUGACGGUGAAAGAAGUUAUGGGAGUGUUGCUGGAUUGUUGAUUAGAACCGAUUAAGGCCAUUUGAUUCAAGCUUUGAUACCAAGUUAAAAGAUAAAAUGCUCUGUAGAUUUUGUUUGUUUACUUAGAAAAACAGAGAGAAAGUUUAUUGACUUAGAGAAAAUACAAAGCUCAACAUAUUCAUUAAUUACAAUACAACACUAUUUAUAUUAGUGUGUAGAAUCUUCUCAAGGUUACAAGUUUACAAAACUCAUGAGCACAGAUUCUGGUAUUCAUAACAAACUUUUGGAGGGAAGCAAAUUAGCUUUCAGCUAACUACAAAACUAACUUUCCAGCGUUGCUUGAUAACUCAGUAGAUGACUCAACAUUUUAUUCUUAACACUCAGCAGAUGACUCAACAUUUUAUUCUUAACACAAAGAUCACAGGGAAUGCAUCCUUGCAAAUUAUUGGCAUCGAGAUAUGAAACUUGUAGUGUCUUUAACGUUCCCAUUGAUGCUGGAAUAGUUCCGUCCAAGUCGUUAUUGGAGAGGCUUAAAGGUAUCAAGCCACGAAAGUUACCAAUCUCUUAAGGAGUGCUGCCCCUAAUUUUGCAAUCAUGUGCAAAAAUUUUCUGAAGCGACUCACAGAAAUUCCCAAUUAAUGGUGGAAGGAUGCCACGUAAAGGAUUAUAACCUAAGCCUAAAAAUGCUAGCAUCCUUCAAGAAGUCAAAGAAGGGAGAAAACUCCACCCACCAGUAGAUGAUUCGUCGUCAGGUAAUAUACGCCAAGGAAUCUCAGGUUGCCAAAAGUGCUUGGGAUAAGGCCGGAGAAAGAGUUGUAGCUCAAGUCUAGGACUCUGAGUUUAGAAGCGUUGGUGAUGGAGUUGGGAAUUGUGCCGCUAAGUUUGUUCUUUGCCAAGCUUAACCAGUCCAUGUUUGGAAGCGAGUGGCCAAUCGUUGGUGGUAAAUGGCCUGUGAAGUGGUUUUCAGCUAGAGUAAUUCUUGUUAUGUUGAAAUAUUGAAGAUCGCGGGUGGAAUAAAACCAGUUAAGUUAUUGGAAUUAAGAGCUAAAUACUCCAGAUUUUUUAGAUUGCCCAUCUCAGUUGGAAUUUCACCUGCCAGAAUAAAUGCCCACAUUAUAUAUUAACGGUUAUUGAGCUGAAAGUACAAGCAGAGUAAUAUAUAUGUUCAAAUGCAUUAAAGUCGCAAGUUUCGUUUGACACCAAGCAUAUGGAUUAUGGUCUCUCUAGUUAAGCGAUUUUGUUAAUUAGUUGAAAAAAAAAUAUGAUGGAGAAUGUUUGAAUUGGGCCUUCUAUUUUCAUUAUAGAAUAAAUUAACUAUUAAUUUUCAUGAGAAAAAUACUUAUUUCCAUAAAAUUAUUCAAGCUUUUAAAAAGAUUCAGAAUUAAAAAUCAAACUUUGUACUGUAGAAAAUUUGCCGGUACGUUCAAUUAGUACUUCGUUUGAGGAAAUAAGAUUAGAAUAGGCUAAAGGUACGGUAGUUAUGCGGUACCUGUUUCAUAACCGUAGAAUAGUAAAUGUUUGACUUUUUUAUUAGAAAUAUAUCAUUAACAAUUUUGUUCGCUAAUUGAAUAGAGAAAGAAGGGGGGGGGGGGGGGGGGGGGGAGAGGGCAAAAAGGUUAACACAUUUCGAAACUACAAACGAUUGCCUUUUCCUAUUAAUAAUGUUUGCGGAUUCUAACAAUUGAAUCUCAAGGUCAUGAUAUAGUGAAUUUUAUAGUGAAUAAAAUUAAUAUUCCACAUACUAUCUAUUUAAUUAAUGUCACAUCAAUUGAGACUUAAGAUAGGGCUCAAUUGUUGGGAUACCUGAUAUUACUCUCUUUCUAAAUAUAAAAUUAAUGUUAAUAGUAAAAGCAUUUGGAAACUGGGUCGAAUCCCCCAUUAGGGAUCAAAUUGGGAUUGCGGUGGCUGAUGAAGCUACUUUAUGUUGUAUGGAUUAAAUAAGACGCCGAUUGAAAAAAUAACUUAGUGUUUUGAAAAUUGCGUUGUUAUGGUUACUGUAAGUUUGUAAAGUAGAAUACAUGCUUUUAGUAAAUUUGAUUACGAAAAUGUUGUUUUAUUAUAUAAUGACAAAAAAUAGACAUAAGUUUAAAUUGCCUUUUAUUUAUAUAUUAGGGUUUGCAGAAAAAUAAGACUUAAUUAUCUUUUAGUUAAAGUUUUAAGGUUAUAAUAAGAACUUUAAAAGUAAUGGCAGCUUAUUUAAUAAGCUGCUUAUAAAAUGGAACUUCAUAUCAGGAAGUCUGAGGAUAAUACGAGUAGAGAAUUUGAGAAGGCAGCUAGGCGCCUAGAGAAUGCUCGACUGGUUUGUGGCCUAUCUUUUAAUUUCUUCAGAUUCGGGACAAAUUGUCUUGGAGUGAACUGAUGUGUUGCCUUUUCUUUUUUUAAGCUUGAAUGAUCUAUUUGCUGCAGUAAGCAGUGAACGUCCUAAUGAAUGUUAAAUUAUGCUGUUUGUUUCGAUUUACUUUUCUAUCUUAGCUCCGUGUGAUUAGUGGAAUGCUGGUCCUGCGAGUAUAAAAAUGAACUCCUUAAGUCAAAUUCCUUCUUGGGGUGUUGGAGAAAGAACUAAAUACAUGUAACAUUUCUUUCGGAUAUGGAUCAUCUGAUGGAUGUUGUAUUUUCUAGGUAUUGAGGAGAUUCCCUAAUAUUGAAAAAUUACGUUCCCGAGCAUCAAAAGAUGAUCCCCUAGAAUUGCGUUCACCUGUGACAAAAGAGGAGCUUGUAGCUGAGGUAUGGAUUUUUAUCUUUCUUGGUUGUUCUUUAUAGUCGUUUCUCAUUAUAAUAGCAAAAGCAGUUUGUUCUGAGUGACCUGUGUAGUCUACUAUCAAUCUCUGCCGAUUCUAUCAUUAGUACUAUUGACUAUGUGUGCUUAGAUAUUUUGUUUUUACCAUGUAAUUUCAUAUUUGAUACAUUUCUAAUUGUGCAUUGCAUAGCGUCCAUGAACGGGAAUGAUAAAAUAAAUUUCAAGCGUGUUUAAGUAGAUGAAAAAACUUGGUACGAUUUAGAAGGAUUUACUGAUUAAAUAAUUUUCCAAUUUGUUUGCCUGGAGGAAUUGAAUAGUUAAUUGAUUAAAGGAUUGCAAGGUGGUUAGGUCCAGCCGAGCAUUGUAAAUUUUAACGAUCAUUAUGAAUGUGUAGUUCCUAUAUGUGAAAUUGAAUUUCCAUGGUGGCAUGAUAAAAUGAAUUUCUGCUAGGGUGUGAUCGUAUGGUAGUCAAUUGUGAGAAACAGAUCCACAUGGUAAUAUAGAUUGAAAUUUUGCGUCUUAAUCCACGAAGAUAUAGAUUUUGGCAAUAUUAUACAAGCACUGGGGGUUACCUUAAAUAUUCUGGACUUGCCAUUGAUAGAGUUUCUUUUACCUAGUUAUUGAUAUUGCUUUCAAUUUUCUAUUUUACUGAUACCAUAUAUACAAAUUUAGGUGGCAAGACACCUCUGUCUGCUUUCGGGGAAUACGAGGUUCCUAUGCGCUUACCCAAAGGUCCAGUGGACUCUCAAUGUCAAAGCCCGCGGCAAAUAAACAAUCGUUUCAUUUGUUUUGUUUUACUCGGUUCGGGAUCCAAAUUCCAUUGUAGAACAGUUUUUGGUUUUUCUUCAUAUAACAUUCUGAAGAUAAUACAGGCAACAUUGUUUGCAACGCUACAGCUAAUUUGCAGUAGCAUGAAACAAUCAGAAUUUUGCCUUUUUUGUGUAUAAAAUUUUAUUUUUUUAAUUGUGAUAUUACAGUUUUGCCCAUCGAGCAUUAUGAGGCCUAAUAUUUGGAUAAAUGUUAGGUUUAAUAUAUAUAUUUUAACUUCAGUGUUUAUUUAUUUUUUAGUUAAUUGUUUAGUCAAUAAAAAGAGGUAAUUAAAAAUGUAAUUAAUAAAUUACUUAUUAGCAAAUUAAAAAAUAAAUAUUAGCAUAAAAUAAUUGAUAUUUUAUUCUCUUACAACAAUCUUACUAAUUAUUAUUUAUAAAUUACUUAAUACAAGUUAAUUUAAAGUAAUGUUUAAUAUUCUUGUAACAACCUUCCUAAUAAUUUUUUUGUAAAAAAUUAAUCCUAAAAGUAAAAUAAUAAUAAUUAAUUUGUAUUUUACUUGGUAAAUUUAAAUUUUUUUAACUAAUAUCUCCAAGAAUAUGGUUGUAAGGAUAUUAUUACAAAAGUAAAACAAAUAUAAGAUUGUAAUAUAUUUAUUAGUAAGAAUAACUUAAGAUAUUUUUUAAGAUAUAAAAAUUAAACAAAUUCCUUCUUUGAAAAAUCGCAUUUUCUCCUUCACAACAACAGCUACAAUGUUGUAAUUUUAUCUUUUGUUUAGUUUCUUUCUGUUGCCUUUUUGUUUCGUUUUUUGAAUUUUCUGUGUCGUUUUUCCUGUUGAGGCCUAUUGCCUGUUGCGAACGGGAGUGAGCCGAUUGAGGCCGUGAUAACGAUCGAUGUUUUGAGAAGGUCUGGAGCUGACGUCACGGUUGCGUCCGUGGAGAAACAGCUUCGUGUCGACGCGUCAUGGUGUCAAGAUUGUCGCUGAUGCUCUCGUGUCUGACUGCCGCGACGCCGUUUUUGAUCUUAUAGCUCUUCCCGUAUGUAUUGCAGCUCACCUCAGCUCAUGCCAAUUUAUGUGAUGUUUGUAUAAUUAUAGAUGAUUAUUGCUGAUACUGAAUGUUAAGCUAAAUAAUUCGUCGUUAAGUCAUCUUCAUUUAAUUUUCGAUUGAAAAUGAUAAAAUAGUAAUUUUGAGCAAAGAAAAAUGUAGAAAAUGUUUAUUUUGUUUUAUUUUAAUUUUUAAUUUUUUGAGAUUUCCUUAUUGUGGCUGUUAUCAUUCAUUAUAUGGUCAUAGUUAAAUAUUUCAAGUUGUUGUAGUCAGUGAAAUUCUUUUCCAUAUUUAUUCUGGCAUGUGUAUUUUUCCUUUCAAUUUCUUUUGUUGCUGAUUCUUUGAUUGAUUAUGUUAUAUCCUUUUUUGUUUCCUUUGUAGGGUGGCAUGCCCGGUGCUACCAAUCUGAAAGAAUCUGAAGUAUUAGAAACCAUUGUGAAGAAGCAGGCUUCAGCUGGGCGUCUUUAUGCUGCUGUCUGUGCUUCACCUGCUGUGGCAUUAGGGUCUUGGGGUCUGUUGAAGGGAUUGAAGGUAAGAAUUAGAUAAGCCUUUUUUAUGUUUUGUGUUCUUUUGGGAAUUGCAUUGAUAUUUGUGUUAUACAUCAGUUUUGCUCUCACCGAUGAUUGUUAAGUUCUAAUUUAUGGGGUUAUUCAUUUUUUGUAGGCUACUUGUUAUCCGUCAUUUAUGGAGCAAUUAGCUCCUGCUUGUGCAGCAACUGUUGAAUCAAGAGUACAGCAGGAUGGUAAAGUUGUUACGAGUCGUGGACCUGGCACUGCUAUGAUUUAAUUGUCUUGCCAGUGAGUUGGGGUGCUUACUCUUGCUUCAUAGUCUUUACCACAUUAUUGACUUACUAACUACAAUUUAUCCAUGCACAUUGCACACGGUGGACUUGGUGGCAACAAGGCACUUGAGCUUGCAAAGAUAAUGCUUUUUACUCACGCCUAAUGUUUGUACAGGGACCUGACUACUAUUAAACUAGUGUGUUUAUUUUUGUAUUGCUACAGCUUGUAGAGAGGGGAAAUGGAAACUUGAAUUCAUGUUUGAAUAUGGAUUCACUGCGUGGGUUUGUACAGCAGUUUGGUUUAUAAAUAAAUGAGUUCAUAGAGUCACUUC
Molecule: long non-coding RNA, 88751 nt
Filed under: Citrus maxima (pomelo)
Lineage: Eukaryota; Viridiplantae; Streptophyta; Magnoliopsida; Sapindales; Rutaceae
Description: long non-coding RNA (CMAX_LNC003046)
Source: RNAcentral